ACCAUAUUUAUUUCAUGACAUGAAGGUAAACAAAAGAUAACUUAGGACCACUAGUACAACACACAUAACUUAGUACCACCAAUACAACUCAAUCAAACCACUCCACUUUUGCAUUACGAACCUUUAUUAUGGUACUGCUAAGUCAUAAGCAGCAACUAUUGGUAAUAGCUGAUCACACAGUAAUGUAUAUAUAGACUUGGGACUAUUUGUUCUAAUUAUCUUCUGGUGGAGGUGGGAUGUACUGAGGGGCCAAGCUCCAGUCUCCAGUGACCUCAUCUUGGACCAUGUUCUUGUUCUUCGCCACCAACCAAUAGGCCGGAAUUUUUCUUUCAUCCUUCAGAGCAUCCAUUCCCUUGUUCACCAGCUCAAUCCCGCGACGCUUGUCAACAUUGAAUUCGUUGCUAUCGAUGCCUUGUGUGCCCGCGAUUAGAUGUAGGCACGUCUCCAACAUAUGCCCGAUUGCCACGGCGCCAGUCAUACCGCUGUAGAGAGGCUUCAGGUCCGGGGACUUGCGCGAGUCGACCAGCAGCUGUUCUCCGACGUGGUAAUAUCUGAUUGGAGGGAUGAAGGGAGUGAUAUCAAGGGCGUUGGUCACUCGAAGGGCUCGGAGCUUCUCGGACGACGAGAACUUCGCCUGGAAGUUCUCGUCCCCGACGUUGGGGCUGGCGAAGGGGAAUGCGGUCACCAGACAGGCAUUCUCGGGGUGGUCGGUGGGCGCGUUGUAGCCAUUGGUCAAGAUGUCCAGCGCAUUGAUCGUUGCCAAAGCCGCGCCCAGGCUGUGGCCGGCCACUGUUAUGCUGAUUGUCUCGCCUUUGCCGGCAUAGAGAUCGACUUGCUUCCGGACCUCCCUUAGAACCUGACCAAAGUUGUCCAUCAAUACCAGUUUUAAUUUGACAAAGUAGUCCAAACAUCACGUGCUAUAUCUUAUCAUAUUUUUAGAUUUAUAUAUAAUAAUAAAAAAAAGGUGAAGACAAUUUGGAGCUUAUUCGGGAGGUAAAUUAGCAACAGCAAUCUAUAAAGGAGUGAAAGUUUCAUACCUGGUCUCUGGCACUAAGCCUUGUGUACGGAUUUACAAGAUCCCACUUCGUAUACAAAUCUAAAAAGCCAGCGUGAAUCUUAGUAUGGGUGUCGUCCUUGAAAAUGUUGUUCGCCGGGGCCAAAUCAUCUCGAAUAUCUUCCAUGGACUCCAGGAAAUUCGCCGUUCCUCUCCAAGUGACCAAAAUGUCCCUUCUCCCUAAUGCCUGGGUCCCCUCAUCGGUGCUCACUGCCACAUAUCCGGCCCAAGACCUGUCCGGCUGCUCCAGAAAGGUCGCGUGCGACGGUACGUAGAAGUACCGGGUCACCUCAUACCUGAACUUGUUGUUGUCCGUCUCGAGACCCACUUUAGAGAAGAGCUUGUCCAUCGGGUACAGGGGCAUGCCGUAGCCGGCUCCAGACUCCUACUGGGCGUUGUACGCGUCGUAGAUGGCUUGGACUCGUUCUCCGUAGUGUAUGAGGUACAUCCGAAGAUCCUCGUCGAGAGGAUCCAACAUGUCCUUCCAGUUGGUCUCGCCGCUGAGCUCGGUCCAUGGCCUUGAGCUGCCGCCUCCCAUGGUAUGUAUCUCUCUCUCUCUCUCCCUCUCCCUCUCCCUCUCCCUCUCCCUGAACUCUCACUGAUAAUUGUUUUUUCUCUAGAUGGAAAGGCUUGUGGAGAUGCAAUCCUGCUUCCAUGCAAUUUAUAGACUCUACCUCUUCACUGCGCCAUGCGCGGUCACAUUACGUUUCGAGGGUUUGUUUUUUCUUUAAAUUGCUACGAUAAGUUACGUGAUGGAGUUGCUUUAUGCAUAAUCUGGCACGUGAAAAUCUCCCCUGAUUAUCUAUCAGAGAGUACUCAAUUUCUAGGUGAGUCCUCCACCUUUUUUUGCGUGCCCACCUAUAUUAAAUAGCACUACGAACCGAAUGGAUCAGAGGGACCGUGCAUAUCUUCAGUUUAGUAGAUAAGAAUGUGAAUUUCCAGUCUCAGUAGCUCGAAACUAAAUAUGAAAGAUUACAUGCCUGUCUUUCGUAAGGAAUGAUACUUGUGCUAUAAAAAUGUGCCAAUAUUUUGUUUCCACAUGAUGGGUAAUGCAGCUUCUGUGACGGGAAUGAACCAUCCACUUUGUAUUGGGUCUCACUCUUUAUAUAACUAAUUAAAUUCAAUCUUGCCGUAUUAGGCUGGAAAUCAUUGACAUGGACUCCGACUAUUGUAUAUGAUAUGACCGAUGCUGAGAUAAAUUAAUUUUAGAAUUUUUUAUUUUAUUGAUCGUGACCAACAAGAGUCAUGGCCCCCGCCUAGGCCAUAGCCAACCACGGUUGAGGGUGGCCCUUGCAUGAGAAAUAUUGCACACCUAAGUCAAUAAAUUGCUUCUCUGUCAAUAGGAGAAAUUUAGUAAUUAAGAAGUCUUCGAUACCUCUACAUUGUUUAGAUUAAAUAUCUAGAUGCGUAAAUUUGUACUUUCCUAUUUUUAGCAGUUAAAUGUAUUAGUCCUAUAUACAUAUUGAUGAAUUUAACAAAAAAUGCCAUUAUUAGGGAUUUUUUCGCGGUUUUUUUUUUCUUCAUGCAAGCGUUGCUCAAUGAAUGAAUGACUUAGCAUAGGUGGCAGGACCCUAGGUUGUUCUUGACUAUUUGGGAUGUUUUAGAGAGUUUUUUUGCUCGAUUGGCUGGGGACAAGGCUUAUUAAAAAUGGCCCUACCUAAUUGCUUAUUCAGAAUGGCCCUACCUAUUUUCUAACCCUUUUAAUUAGAUUUCUUGUCAUUAUUAUCUAACUGAUGGUCGGUUAUAUAUUCAAUUUUUCGAUCGCUGAAACUUGUCAAACGUGCAAAGCGUGCGAGCUCCGGGGAUCAUCCACCCGUUAUAUGGGCAGCUCGCUCUUGAACCACAUCAGUUCUGGAAUAUUUGCUUGUUUUUUUGGUUGGACCAUUCCAGUCCUCUUGCAUUAGAAAAAUGAAGGGAACUGUCAUGCAACGCAGUGAACAGUGGAAUUAUGGGGACAGCUGACCUCGACCAAGAGCAUCUCGCUGGUACAAAUCCUUUCAGUUUCCUGUUCCGCUCAUGCCUGAUUUCUUCCUCCUUCUGUUUUAACUCCGAAUAUAAUAUUUCUUGUUAUAUAACUAAAUACAUAAUUUCUAUCUCGUGACACUCUUAUUCUAAGACUAACAUUUUCUAUGAUAAGUUUGUAGAUGUUUUUUAAUUCAAUCGUUGCUAGUGAUUAUUGUUAAGAGCAUACAAUAGAAAUCUGAUAUUUCUACUUGGGGAGAUUGUCAAGAGGGGGUCUAAAUUUGAAUCUAUCAACAUAAUUAGUUGGAUCCAUCUUCAUUCAAAAUCUUAAAUUAAUGGGUCAUAGGCCAACUAAAAUUGUAUUAACUGCUCCACAUAUAGGAUUUCUCUAAUAUAACUCACACAUAUAUUUGAAAAAUCUCUCUCUCAUGCGUAAGCUCAUGCCAAUGCUCCGAUGUGAGAUUUUUCUAAUAUAAGUCACACGUGUGUUUUGACAAUCUCCCUCUCACGUGUGAGCUUAGUGUUAGGUAUAUUCUUCCUUAAUUUAGGUACUAUUCUACAUCAACUUAUUGUAAGUUGAGUCUCCACGUCAUUGUAAUGCACCCCCAACUAUGCACAACAAUAAUCAUCGACUGCUAACUUGGGAUUACAUCCCAUAGUCUCUAUCAUGCAGCAUAGACCAACUAUCCAUGUUCUCUUCUUGCCAGAUUAAUUGUGAUGGCAAUUUCCACGAAAAACGAGCAUUGAUCAUGAGAUUUCUUUUUUAAGUCGGAACAAAUUGGGGGUGGAACAGCAAUUGACUAUCGUCUUUGAUAUCAUUUAUUAAGAGUGCGCAAUAGAUACCAGAUAUCUUCACCUAGAGAGAUCGUCAAGAGGGAGCCCAAGUCCGAGCCCUUCAACAUAUCAAAUUGGGCCACCUUCACUCAUAAACUUAAGCCUAUGAGUUAUGAGUCAAUUAUGAUAUAUUAACUACUCCAUACCACAUCAAUUUUCCAAUGUGAGACUUCACUACCAUAACUCACGCAUAUAUCUCAACAAUUAUCGCCACACCUCUCAAGUCAAAAUUUUUUUCCUUAUAUUGCAACGUUAUGUCAUUACUAUUACUAAACCAUAACAUUGUAGUUUUUUUUUUCAUCGGUAUAACAUUGUAGUUUGAUUAAGCACGUUUUUUUCCUUGCUAAUCUCUCGAACUUUCUUGCUUUCUAUAACACAAUGCUUCUACAUCAUUUCUUUCUUUCUUUGCCUUUUCCUGCUCUCCAAAUAAACAGUUUUAGAGAAUAGGAAACGUGCACAUGUAUGCGAUGUAAGAUCCUAGAAUUAGACAUUUUAUGUAUGUCAUUCCUUGUCACUAGCAAAAACCGGAGGGCCUCAUUUAUCUUUCAUCUAGUGCCUUACGCAGUCCAAUGUCCCUCGGAGGUGUCUAUGAGAACUAAUUUAAAUGUCCCUCGUGCACGAGAAAAAUGAAGGGAAUUUCUUUUGGCGUGAGAAAAAUUAAUGGAAUUGCUGUGCUGUGAACGUUGGAUUAAUGAGGACCACAGUCCUCGACCAAUUGCUUAUUACAUAACUACUAUUAAAUACAGCAAUUUAUUCAUUCAUCGAUGAAUUACAUUAAGGUAGUUUGUGGUGAUUGUGUGAUAAAACAAUUAAUUCUUGGCAAAAGAACAACGCAAAUGCCAAAACUUGGCACAGGGAUACCUAAGUGCCAAAAGUUACGAAAGGUAUCCUUAAGUGUCAUUUUUUUUUUAAAAUUAGGACACUUGAAUGCCAAGUUCGGCGAUCCUAGUCGGAAAUCCCACGUGGCAAUUUUUUAGUAAUAUAAUUCGCCUACAUGGCUUGCCAGAGAGCUAAAUUAGCAAAGAAGAGCAAGAACAACGUCGUUUUGCCUUUUUUUGAAUUUUAAUAUUGAUAUUAAUUUAUUAUUAAGAUAAUGGAGGAGAUGAAGAUUGCAGAAGGCGAGGGCUUAGCCUUCACCGUCGUCUCCCUACCAUUGCCGGGAAGGGUUGGCCAGGAUUGUGACAUCCUGAAAUUUGACCUCGUCUCGAAUAUAUGAAAUAGACAUUUCGUUGACAUGCCUAUGGUCCUUUUUCUUUGAGUUGGCCACUCACAAGUUAAAUAAUCUAUUAGAUGAAGUCGUUAAGGGAUAUAAACGCGGCAGACUAGAAAAUUGCGGGUAAUUCCACACGAUUGUGAAAUUCAUGUCAAACGACACUAACCUGAUUUUCUGUCGAAUUAUACUCGGGACACGUAAUUGAAACCUUGCGAUUUUUACGACAAUCGAACGUCAUUUACGAGUCAGAGAUGCACAAACGUGGAUCGAAAAUUAUCGACCACGGGUUGUCGCGACCUCUUUUUUUUUUUUGGCGCCCGCAAUCAGGUACGGGCGCCUUGCGGAGCCUGAUGGCUCAGCUGAAAUUAGUUAUGCCUAGACUCUCCCAAGUCCAUCAAUUCACGACUUUAAUAGUCUAAAUUUUUAACCUAUAAAUUAAUUUUAAAACGGAGUCACCACUAAUCGGUUUGGGGUGGGUUGAUUAGAAACCCGAGCGAAGUAUUGGGAGAAAUACUCGCUCCUGCGCAACCAGAGAAAUUAGGAUCGGGGAGUUGAUUACACUAGUUAAUCACUAAUGCCCUUUCGGUACCUAAUCUUGUUUAAACCUUGGGGUUUUUUGGAUGUUCGAGGGAUUUUCCAUGCAUUUUUGGGAAGAAAAACAUUUUUUGAGUCUUUUUCUAAUUUUUUUGGACACAAAAGGGAUUUUUUUGGGAUUUUUUGAAAAAAAUACAAAUCUUUUUUGGCCUUUUUCUGAUUUUUUUUUUGGCUUUUUCAUGAAUUUUUGGCUUUUUUUGGAUUUUUGGCAUUUUUUGGAAAAUAUGGAAUAUUUUUGAUUUUUUUUUAUUUUUUUGGAAAAUAAAAUAUUUUUAUCAUUUUUUAUUAUUUUUCGAUUUUCUGGAAAUUAAAAUAUUUUUAAUAUUUUUCUAAAAUAAAAUAUAUUUUUGAUUUUUUAAAAAUAAAUUGUUUAUUUAUUAUUUAUUUAUUUAAAAUAUUAUUUAAAAUAAGAUUUAAAAAAAAGGGGCCGACCCGAAUCAGAUCCGCGGGUUGGGUCCGACCCGGGUCAGCCCAAAACGCAGAAGGGCUCGCUACGCGGGCCUGACUUUUUUUUUUUUUUUUUAAAACGACGUCACGGCCGGGCGUUUGGGGACACUCGGCCCGACCCGACGACCCGGCUCCACGACCCGCUCCCCUAAUGAAACCCUACUCGGAUCCGACCCGAACCUCGACCCGACUUCCGCCGCCCCUAAAAUCGCAGAAUCCCUACCCAUUUUCUAAACUCGGAUCUGCUUCGUGACCCGGAAAUCGCAGACCCUAGGGUUUGUGAAUUUGCGGCGCCAAAAGGGGGGGAAACGGGAGCAUUACGGUGGCGACGGCGGUGACGGUGGCUACAAUGGCUACGGUGACAGCAGUGAAUGGCAAAGGCGAUGGCCAUUAGAGCUUUGGAUGGACAGCGUAGGUAGGGCUCCAUCGUCACCUAUUCUCAGCUUUGGCGCAGCACAGUGGCACAGCUUGCGGUGACGAUGGCGACCUUUAGAUCUGGACGGCGUUGAGACGGUGUUUGGGGCGGCGUUGGAGCUGAAUCGACGGCGGAUCUGAGCCUCGACCGUCUCUACACUUUGAUUUCCCUUAUCUCUGUAGGCUCGCUUGCCCGCGGCCUCCCCCGGUGUCUCUUGGUGGGAGGCCGUUUAAGCUCACGACCUACCUCCGGCGGGCCUCAGAUCUUCGACUGCGCGUCCUCGGACCCCCCCUGAAGUCUCUCAAUGGGGAACCUGAAGUCUGCAGCCUUAGAUCCGACUCCCUCUCUCUCUCUGUUCGUCUCUUCGGCAGAAUCUCUCCCUCUCUGGCCGCGAGCUUUUGGAUCUAGGCUUGCUCGUCUUCGGCCCCCUUUCUAAAGUCUCUCAGUAGGAAGCACGAAGCUUUGCAGCAUUCGAUCGUUCUCGGCGUGCCCUUUGCCGUCGUUGGGGGAGCCCUAUUUAUGGCGAGGAGGAGAUCGGUCGAUGGAGGUUUGGCCGUCGGCCCUCGCACGCCGACCGGACCCCCACGGCUGAACCGGCGUCCCAUCCGAGCUCCUGCAACAACGCAUGCUCGGCAUUGAAGGAAGCCAAUGAUGGCGCUUGAGAUCUGUCUCUUCCGGCUGACGUCGGCCUACCCUCCUCGGCCGUAGGUUGUCUUCGAGCGCGUCAUCGUCACUACGCGUGAACUACAGAGGCGAAGAAGGAAGGAGCAAGGAAGAAGAGGAAGGAAGAAGAAGGAGAGAGGGGGGUGGGCCGGGUUGUGCGAGCCCACGCGAAAAAAAGGAUGGGGCUGGGCUUGGAUGCCAAGCCCUAAUGGCUGCUGCUUUUGUUUUUUCUUUGUUUUAUUUUUUUUUUGUUGUUUUUGUUUAUUUGUUUUGUUUAUUAUCCGAAAAAGGAAAUAUAAAAGAAAUUAAGGCCUAAUUAAUAACUUAAUCAAAAUUUAGGUGUCAACACGGGUCAAAUGCGCUAAAAUCCCUAAAGGCUACUCGGUAGGUUAGGUUGUACUAAAAUCGCGUUCAGUCGAUUUUAAUCAUGAAAUUGAAUUCAAUUUNNNNNNNNNNNNNNNNNNNNNNNNNNNNNNNNNNNNNNNNNNNNNNNNNNNNNNNNNNNNNNNNNNNNNNNNNNNNNNNNNNNNNNNNNNNNNNNNNNNNUGAAAAAAAAAGGGAAUUUGGAGGGGUAAAAAAAAGCCCCUUUUUUCCCCAAAAAAAGGUUUUAUUUUGGAAAAAUUAAACUUAUUUCUUCAUGGGGGGGGGGCUUGCUUUUUGGGUUAAAACUUUGGGGGGUUUUUCCAGAACCCUUGGAAUUUUUCCCAACCCUUUUAAUGGGCCCUUCCCUGGAUUUUUGGCCCUUUUUGCCCCCCCCCCCCCCCCCCCCCCUCUCUCUCUCUCUCCCCCUCCCUCAUGUGUGAAGACCCAACUGCAGCAGCCCCUUCUUUGGGUGCAUUUGGGAAAGCUUUUGGAAAAAGCCUUUAAGGAAAUGCAAAGGCCUUUAGUCUAAAGGGUUUUGAUGAAAUGCAAAAACCGUUUGGUAAACUGUAAUUGAAAAGUGCCUUAAAAAGCAACUUUAAGAAAAUGUUGUUUGGUAAACAUAAAUUUGAAAAGUCAUUUUAGUGUGAUUAAUUUAAGUUUUUAUUUUAUUUUAAUUUGUUUAAAAUUGACAAAAAUGAUUGUAAUUUUUAUAUUUUUGUUAAGAAUAAUGUAUUAAAGACAAAUUAACAAAUUUAUAAACCAAAAAAUAUAUCAAGGUGGAUCAUUCUCAAUUAAAAAGAGAGUAAUUUCAUUAAAAUAAGCAUGGUCAUAUAUGUUCUAAGGAAAGAAAUAUGUUAUCCUUAAAUAUUACACGAACAUUCUUGGACAACAUCCAAAGAGGCCUAAUUGACCAUGAAGAACAAGACCAAAUGUUGCCAUCCCAAAUUCUGAGUUGAAGAUCUUGCCAUCCAAAACUUUAGCUCCACGAGAGUCAAGACCAGUAAUUGUCUCAGCUUCGUCAUCGCCAGAAGUAUAUGAACUGCUCCCUGAUUCAGCCUCCUCCAAAUGCAUGACACUCUGGUCAUCAUCUUCAUUUACAGACAUCAGUAAGUGACCUGAAAAUAAGGUCAAUGACUGGUCUCAUCACUGCAUAGGCAAGAAGCUCCCUGACAAUGCAUCUGACAAAUGAGCAUUGCAAAUGUUCAGGCUCGAAGGUAAAAGAGAUAAGUCCAUCCAUUACAUGUUGUAAAACCUGAGCUGGAAAAAAAAAAAAAGCAUGUGUAUAGCAAGGAACAUAAGUAUGUCUAUGUAAAGGAUAUUACAAGAAAGCAACCUUGUGCUCAGCUUUAAUGGAAAAUAAUGCUGAGUGCAAUUUAUUUUCAGAAGCCAAGAUACGUCUUAGUUCACCAUCUAGUUGAUGAACAGUGAGGUGUUCAAACUGUUGCUUUUCAAUCUUUGCCCGUGUCAUGCGAAAGAUCUCCAAAUGUGUUCAGAUGAGACCAACAAGGUCCCUGCACCAGUUAAUAAGGUCAAUGACCUUGAAAACCAGAUUUAAAAAAAAAGAAAAACAUACAGAGAAAAGAUGAACAAUAUCAUGAUGAGAAUACCUUGUAAGAAGGUCGAUAAGGUUAAUGUUCCUCACGCGAUUUGAAAAUUCUGCAAGAACAUGAUUGAUGAUGCACACCAAUUCCUCUGGGCCUUCUCUAUCAAGUGUUAAACAAGAAUACCAAUGAUCUGUGACCCACUCGGAUACUAGAUGCCUGGUAAAGCAAUCCAUUGCAUCUUCAACUACAGGAGAACCCACUUUACUUCUCCACUUCGACUAUGUAACAACUUUAGGAGUUUGAACAGGUUUCUUCAGAGAUGCAGUGGUGCUUGCAGGUUUUUUGCUGUUAUAUACUGCAGCUUUCCUUCGCAUAUCAAAAUCCAUUGAAAAAUAGAGAAGGGCUAUGAUUAAUGUUGCAGCAGCGGGCAAGUUAACCCACACAGAAGAGCUUGUCACUAGAAACAGAGAUAAGAUCAGUGAAUGUCCCAUCAUAAGCAAGAAGAUUAGCAAAUAAUAGCAGAAAGAAUCACAGGACAUAAAUUUUCAACAAUACCUUCAAUCUAACAAAUUUUCAAAUUAUGAGAACACAUCAAAGUUUCGCACAAAAUCACAAGACCUGAUUAUUCCAAAACUCCACAAAGCUCCAUUAGGUUUCAAAUUUUGAUGCACCAACAGCAGCAAGGACAAAAAUGCUAUCUUCGUUGAAAUGGUCGGAAAUGAAGGUAUGAAGCAAAAGAUAAUUCUAGCAAGAUAUUUGCUAACUGUAAAAGUUACUUGAGUUUAUCCUUCUUUCUAAUGUUAUUUGUUGAGGCCCAAGAUAUUGCCAAGCCUUUGCUAUCUUAAUUACUAUGCCAAUUGGGUAGCUACACAAGUUAGGAAGUGUUUAUGUCCACGGGAGUGAAUUACUCACAUCUCUUUCACUGACAACUUUGUUAGACAGGGAUAUUUGUUCUGAUCUCCGUUGAGAGGUCGUACUCUGAACUCUAAAGCAAUAAAGAUUAAGUCUGAUGCAUUUCUGGUCAAAAAAAAGAAAAGAAUCCUUGCUCUCUUUAUUCUUAUUGCCACAGAGAAAAAGAGCGUCAAUCUCACUCUUUAGUAUGAAUGACAAUGCUAGCGAGUCGUCCACCAAUAUAAAGCAAAUUAAUAGCUGGGGUUUUAUUUCAAAGAUCAUUACAAAUAAUCAAAAUGGAACUACAAAAGAGUAGAAUAGUAUAAGUUAGCAUCAACAAAACCGAGGACAAGAAGAAGACCAAAUGUUGAAGAAGCACAAGAUCUUCAACUCAGAAUUCAUAUUUCUACACUAAACAAGCAAAUAUCCACAUCUCGUCAGAAAUUAACUGUAGCAAGACCAAUGAACAAAUAACUCGACUUAAUUCAAUCAUCAAAACGCAAAGUCCUGGAUGCCCCGAAGCCUCGCUAAUCAAAGUCAAAAUUCCAAAGUCAGAUUAGCCCAUAACAAAAUAAAAACAUCGAAAGACUGACAACAAAAUUAAAGUUCACUAGAAAAUAGAAACAGAUUGGUCCACAGACAACCACAAUCAACAAAUGUGGAAUCACGACCAACACAACCGGAGAAAUCAACACCAAUCAAAUAAGUAUUGAACAUCAGUGGCAGAGAUUAUAGUGAAAGUGAAGACCUUGCCAAUGGCAUUGCGGAGGAAGCCAUCGCGAUAGACCUCGCGCUUCAGCUUCAACGUCAAAUGCUUCGUGAAGGUGACGUUCCAUUUCUUCGGAACUUCGAUGGUUGUUGAAUAUGGGAUGAUAAUUUCUAGGAUUACUUCGGAGCCCAGGCGUCGCCAGACCCCAGGCGCAGUGCACCGGUGUCCUGCGACCUCGGCAAACCUCGCAACAACAGAUCUGUGCGACGACGCGACCGUCGACCAGGCGAUUAGCGGCGACCGUCGAUUAGGCGACUGCAAGCGACUGGGCGAGUAAUGUUCGCGAGGCGAAUAAAGAGAGGUGAGAGAGCUAUGUUUCGUUAGGCAACCGCACGAGUGAAGAGAGGCAAAGGAAGAAGAGCGACAGAUCUAAAGGGUUUUUUACGUUAGAAUAGGGGGUAAUGUGGAAUUAUGAUUAGUGAGUGAGGGUAAGAUUGGAAAUUCAAAAAAAUCAUUAACUGGGUACUGUUGCAUGCCGAGAAUGCCAGAAAGCUAAGGCAGGGGAGAGGCAGCCUUGAGCUCAAUGCCUUUACAAGGCCUUUGGAAAUACUAGCAUUUGGGAAAUGUAUCCCCAAAAUUAAAUGCCAAACGCACUUGUCUUUGCCUAAGGGCCUUUAGAGGUUCAAAGGGCUUUGUAAAGCUAUCCCCAAGCGCAGCCUUCUUCAUUUCAUUUCCCCUCACCCUCACGUAUUCCCCCUCCCCUCCAUUUUCCUUGCUGCAUAUCCACCACCUGGUUCCCCCACGAUCACCCUCCUUCUAUCACGCCAACUCCACACCAACUUCAACAACCGCUAGCCUCCCAUCUCCAAUGACCAGUAACGCCAACACCACCCCAACACCAGUUUCACCGCUAACGCACCAACAACUCUGCCCAUCUCCGCCCACAACUUCAUCCGCCCACCCCCACCACACGCUACCAGUAGCGCACCACCCACCAGAAGCCCCAACUUCAGCUCAGCUCACCCCCAACCGUCUAGCGACUGUAGCUCCACAGGUCAACCUGCCACAGAACCAAACCAGCUUUGGCCGUGAGCCCCCUUACGGAUUUCAGCCACUGUUUGAGCUCCAUUGGAGACACGGUUGUUCUGGGCCUUCACCGCCAUCGCCGUGAGCCCGCCGCCAUCAAAUUUCGGUGAGUUAAUUCCCUAAUCCUUGAUUAGGUUGUUAAUUGCGCUUAAGGGGUUAGAUUAGUGCUAAUUAGCUUAGUUAAAUUAGUAUUGAGUGAUAUUAACCUUAAGAUGGAUUAGUCUUAAUCUAUUUUGGUUAGAUUAGCCUUAAGAUGUAUUAAUAUUGAUCUAGUUGGUUGGAUUAGUUCUAAUGAGGGUGAUUUAGUUUGGUUUAGUGGAUUUCUCCCAGAUCAGUUUGCUGGAUGCUCACCGCUUGCCAUUUUUGUGAGGAAAAAGUGCUACGAUUUUGAGGUUGUUUCCUUCUUGAAAAAUGUUCUAGACAACUUCAGCUAUGACAUAUAUUUUACUCCAUAUUUUAGGGAUUUAAAAGAAUGAGAUUUCAGUUUCGUUAUUUGCAAAACAAAAUCUCGAAUUAUGCUGGAAACAGUGACCUUGUGGUGUUCAAAUGAUUUUUAUCAACUCUUAAGGUUCGAUUUUUGAAAGAGUUUCUUCAUAAAAGUUGUUCAUUACAUCUUGUAAUUUAAUAUAGUUAAAUUUCAGAUCAAACAAACAAGUUUUGGAUUUCGAACUAAACUGAUUUUGGAAAACAUAAUUUCUAGACAAGGACAUAGUUUUUGUAACAGUUUGAGAGAUUUACUACUCUCAUUCUAGAAGAAUCUGGGUUAUGGUGUCUCAUAAAAAGUGUUUGAUUAAGUGUCCUUUAGAACAUAUUAAAAUUUGAGAAUUUUCUGAGCUUGUUUGAUUAUGUUUAUGAAAUUAAACUUGGAGGCGCACCCGGUUUCUGCCGAUUAAGAUCAGUAGUGAUUUUGUGAUUGUUCUUAAUGUUGUGCUUGCUGGACAAUGCAUAUUUGGUGGUGUGGUUGACUUUUGGCAUGCUUAGAACUUAUGUGUGAUGAUAUGUGAAUGGUAGUUCUACGGUGGUUGUUUAUUGUUAUUGCAAAAAAAUGACCUUAUGAGUUUUUAAUUAGAAAAACAAUGAGGUGUCGGGUUGGAUACCAAAACUUAUUUGCUCAAUAAAACAAUGAGAUUUUAAAUUAGGCACGUGCAAAUUUUGACAGAUUAAUUUUGAGUACAUGAGCAUCUAUGAAUUUAUUUCUAAAAGUUUUGAACAAAAAAGGCGGGGUUACUAAAGAUUGUUUUUAAAAGGGAUGGUUGGGCAAGAAAAUGGAAAAAUAAAUGAGGUGUCGGUUGGACACGAGGUUUUAUGUGGUCAAUAAAAUGAGGAGGUUUUAUACUAGAUGCGUGCAAAGUUUGACGGGUAAAUUUCAAAUACGUUACCCCGUACGAAUUUAUUUCGAAAAGUUUGAACAAAAAAAAAUGGGUUGCUAAGUUGAUUUUUUUAAAAAGGGGUUUUGGUGUUCAUGGCUACAUAAUGGAGGAUAAAGUUGACUUGAUUGAUGAUAUGCCUGCAUGGUUAAGUUAAUUAAGUAGUUCAGUUUACUUAAAUGUGAUUUAUUUAAUUGAUCGCAAUUAGCGUAAUUAGUGACGGAUUAGCCGUUUCGUGAAAUUAUGUGCUGAUUCUCUUGGUUGAAUUUAUAUGUGAAAUUGAUUGAUUAUAAGUGCAAUUGAGUGCUUGGUGGUGAUUUUUGAAUAUUAUUACAAAACCUGAUUUUAUGGUAUUUAAAUAGAAAAACAUCGAGUGUCAGUUUUUGACGCCAAAAUUUUAGAUACUAUAUAAAAUCAUGGAGUUUUGAACUAGGAGUGUACCAAAUUUGAUGGUUCAAUUUAAAUGCGUGAUCACACGCGAUUAUUUUACUAGGAUGAUUUUUAAUACGAAUAAAAGUGGCCAAGUUCAUUAUUCGAAAUUGAGGCAUUUGAGUGCAAAGCACGAUGUUCUUGGCUGAGUAUGGAUGUGCAUGUGGUCACUAUCAAAACCCAUCCUGAUGUGUAUGAAUACGCAGGGCGAUACUUGAUUAAGUUUGGAUGCCCCAAAUCAAUGGAUGCCGGUCUCAGUAAGGGCUGGGCUGAUGCUCUUGUGUGGAAUGCCGUCUUGAUGCGUAUGAAUACAUGGGAUGAUGUCGUGCUCGAUGGAAUGGGACGACGCCUGGUUAUGCCGAAUGACCGCCAACUGUCGAGUUGGCCGUGGUCAUUGGAUCGUAAUAACUAGAACAUGCAUGAAUGGUUGUGAUAAUUGUGCCUAAUUAUGGGACAAAAUUGUGUAACACGGUAUGGACGUGUCAUAAUGGUUCAGUCUUAUAAUUGGGACCCAUGUAAUUGAAAUGAUGUGUUCCGGUUAUUAAACUGUGCUUGCUGCACUGAUGAUGGUAUAUAUGUUGAGCUAACGUGCAGGUACGUGCCGAGGCGAGCUAAGAUCUGUAUGGUGUUUGCUUAGGACCACCUUCGAGGUGAAUUUGCGUCCUAAUCAAGGUUUAGGGUUUUGACUCACUCAGAUUUUUAUCUCAUCUCGUCGUGGGCUAACCUUUUUCAAGGCCGUAGCGUGGUGAUCUGAUGAGUUCGGAUGUGGUGGGUGUGAGAUGCGACACCUUGUGGCUGGCCCUGCCGUUAGCGAAGUUUAAGGUGAUCAUGAUCCUUGAGGUCUUUUAAGAGAGUCAAGAGGAAGUAGCCGCUGAAGGGCUUGUAAUUAUUAGACUUCCUUGGGUCAACAGUUGGUAAGGAAAUUGUUAGGUUUGGGAAAUUUGUUCCUUGUGUUUAUUAUCCCUAUUGUUUGUUUAUUGACCAAGGGUUUGUUUAAUUCGCUUCCGCAUGUGCUUAAUUGAAAGAAAAAAAAUGGGUCAGCGAUGCGUCCUGGGACGUCGCAUUUUUAAGUCAACCGUCGAGGGAUGCCACACACUCAGGGUUUGGGGCGUGAUAGGGGUCACUAGGCCCUAGCUAGGGGUUGGCAACCCUAUCUAAUUGGCGAUGAGGGCCUACAAGCCCUUGCUUAGAUCUAGGGUGAAGGUUGCGGCCUCCCCUAGAUUUAGCGAGGGUCGCCGGCCCUUCUAGGUACAGUUGCUCGGCACCUAUUGGUGUUACUUGAACAAAGCCCUUGAUGUCGCGAUUAUUGCCUCCCAAAAGAACUUGACUCCAUAAUUUUGAUGCGAGAUCACCAAAUUUUCUUUUAGAUCUCUCCUUCAUUCGUUGCUGAUCCCCUUUAUCUACAUUGCGUUUUUGGCCCCUAGCCAGCGGCAACCCUUUGCCUAGUAGGGCAACGGUUGGCGACCCUCACCAAAUUUGGGGGAGGGCCACGACCCCUACCCCAGAUUUGGGUGAGGGCUUGCAAUGUGGCAUCCCAAAAUUCAAAGUCAAGUUAUAAGAUGUGUUAAAGUCUCUAAUUAGGUAAUGAAAUUACCUAUGGAUUAUGCUUUAGCCAUUAGUCUCUUUUUAAGAUUAGAUGAUUUGUGCAUAUGUUUGUGAGAAUUUAAAUUUGAUAGAUUAAUGAUGAUAAUCUAUGCUUGGCCAUGCAUCUUACAAAUUAAAUUCCUAUAAAUAAAAUGUCACAAGACUUUGGCCAUGUGGAAAAAAAUUAAAAUUUAAAAUUUAUAGAAGAAAUUCAAAAAAAAAAAAAGAAAAAAAAGAGAGAUUUGAAUGGGCCUUAAGCCCAAAGUGGAUCUUUAAUGGGCCAAGUUGGCCGACCCAUUGAAGCCCGCAAGUGGGCUGCCGUCGACCAAGAAGGAGGCCCAAAAGAAGGCCCAAGCCCAAGCCCAUUAUGCAUGCAAUGAGACAAGUGGCACAAAGGAGGAUGUCAUGCAUUGGCUAAUUUGAAGGCAAACAAUGAUUACCAAUGAUGAGGAUUAGGGGGAUAAAAGGGAAGAGAGAGAGAAGGGUGGCCGGUUCAUUCGGCCAAGAGAGUGGGAGGGAGAGAGAGAUUUCGAGAGAGAGAGACACCGUGCGAGAGAGGGAGAGAGUGGCCAAGAGAGGAGAAGCCGAGGAGGGAGUUGCCGUCGCUCACCGUCCAUCUGCCGUGCUCGCCGCCAUGUGCCGCCGUCCGUCCAGUCUAGAGGCAAGUGGGAGUCCUCUAACUGCUCUUGCAUGUGUGUUUGUUACAUGUAUGGUUGAUAUAGUGUCGAGUUUGGGUGAUUAGGUGAGGAAAACCGAAGUAUGGAUGGAUUGUUCUUGGGUGGUAUGGCUGUUUUCGCUUGAACAGUUUGAGUCAGAAUGUUGUGUGAGCUUGCAUGCAUGUUUGGAGUCCGAUUUUGGCUUCUAUCUCUUCAUGAAAGUUGUAGCUAACAUCUUGAACUAAAACAUACUAAAAUUUCGUGGAAAAUUAUGGAUAUUUGAGGGGUUAAACUCUCAUCCUACGGAGACCUCAGAUCUGGAAAGAUUUCACUGACCUUUUGAUGGAUUUGUGGUUGCAUGUUGAUUUGUGCUAAGAAUCUUUCUUCGAUCUCUCAUGAAAGUUGCAGGGGACAUAUUAAACUACAACAUACUCAAAUUUGAAGUGCAACGAACAAGUAUAGCCUAGUAAAUCGACUAGAUCUUGAAGACGGUAAUUCUGGAGAUGUAUUUCGGGACACCCGAGACUUCAUGGACUUAAAUGACGACUAUACCCUGGUUAUUUGACUUAUAUCUCUUCUUAAAACUUGUAUAUGACAUCUUGAUGUAUAACAUAUCCAAAUUUCAGAGGAAACGAAAGAGAAUAGGUAGGUGAAAACUCAGUAUUUCGGAGAAGCAUGCACUGGAUGAUGCGGUAAUGGAUCCAGAAGCUUCGUGAGACUGUAGAAAUUAAUCUAAAAAUAAUCUGGCUUUGGAGUCUUCAUGAAAGAUGUACGAAAAUUUCUUGUCUGUAACUCAGUAAAAUUUCGUAAUUUUUGGAGGAUGUAUGGAUAUUUUAAUCGAAUUUAUUCAAAAACUGUGCAUUCUGAUUUCACCCGAAAAUGACAUGCCAUUUUGUGAGAAUUGUGAAAUUGUGUGAAAUUCUAUUUGGCCAUGUAUUUUGCAUGAAAUUAUUAUUCUAUUGUCUUAUUUAUCACUUGCCUUAAUUUUUUUUAUAAUUUAUAGAUAUUAAAUUUAAUAUUUUUGAAAAUAAGAAAAGCUGGAAUUUAAAUAAAAAAAGGGCAUGAAAAAGGGAUUAUUUUAUUGGCCAUAAAUUCCAUUAAAUUUAAUUAUACCAUGUAACAUGUAUGAUGAGGUCUUGAUGUAUGCAUGACAUUGAAUUGACAUACAUGUAUGAAUUCCAUGCCAAGUAUGACUUGUUUGAUGUCACGUCAUAUGCCAUGCUAAAUUAAGACUGAAAUUGGUAAACAUGGAUAAUGGUAAAUGAGGAGGUGGUUGUGGUGGACGAUAAUGCCCGGAAUGUGGGGGGCCGGAAGCCCUGUCGGAGGUCUUUGCCCAAGGGGAAUGCCUCGCGAUGCGAGGAUUGGAGUGCGGGAUGCCCGGCCAGGGAGUGUAAAUGUUGGAAGCCCUGUCGGAGGUCUUUGUCCGAAGGGAAUGCCUUGUGAUGCCAGUUGGGAUGCGAGAUGCCUGGAAUGUGGGGGGCCGGAUGCCCGGUGGCCUGGAAUGGCUGAAUGCCGGAGGUUUUUCUCGCAUGGGAUGCGAGGGUAUAGUAUGAGAUGAAAUUGAUGAUCUAAGGAAGGAUGAUGAUGCGAGGGUAUAGUAUGAGAUGAAAUUGAUGAUCUAAGGAAGGAUGAUGUGGUGAUCAAAUUGAAAGUUAAAAGUGGAAAUCAAACCAUGAUGAUAUGCAUGAUGAUGAUGAUGAUGAUGAUGAUGAUGAUGAUGAUAUAUGAUAUGGCAUGAUGAUAUGCAUGAUGAUGAUGAUGAUGAUGAUAUAUGAUAUGGCAUGAUGAUAUACAUGAUGAUGAUGAUGAUAUGCAUGAUGAUGAUGAUGAUGAUGAUGAUAUAUGAUAUGGUAUGAUGAUAUGUAUGAUGAUGAUGAUGGUGAAAUAUGAUAAGGCAUGAUGACAAUAUGUCAUGUAUAUGAUGAUGAUGACAUGUGUGUAAUAUAAUAAUAUCAUGAUGACGCCAUAUGAGUAUGACAUGAUGAUACACAUGUAUGUGUUAUGAUUGUGAUGAUGAUGCAUGAUAGUAUGCGCAUGGCUUCAAGGUAAGUAAUGCCUGAAAUGCAUGUAUGACUUGUAUGAUGCAUUGAGUGGUUAUUGGAUUCCUUUACCUGCUGAGUGGUUGUACUCACCCCUUUUGGGGACCAACAUUUCAAAUUAGCAGCAUGCCGCUCCCUGCCGUCACGCGGGGUGUAUUUUACGGUUUACCAUUCGAUGUCGAGGUUAAGUGCGAGGAGUUCAGCUGUCCUUCUGUGCCUGGAUUGAUGUAUAUACGAGUGCGUUACGACAUAGGCCUAGCUGGGGGCUCGAUUGUCCAGGAGUUCGUCUCUGUCCACGUUCGUCGCGAUGGGGUUAUGAGAGGGAUGUUGCCACCGCCACCACCUGACGCACCGGAUUGGGUGUGAGGCCCGUGCGUGACGAGUAGGAGCUAGAUCUUUUUGGGAUAGUUAGCCGACACUGAUGAUGGGGGUUGUACACAUGAGAUGUAGAGGGUCGAGGGUUCUUUUUUGGGUUUUAAGCCGGACAUGGCUGAGUCCUGGCUUUUCCUUUUGAUGUAUCGACCCAAAGAAGUCCCAUUUUGAAAAUAUAUGUAAAUAAAGUGUCAUGGCUUGUCUAUAAAAUCAAGAUGAUUAGUGGUGCAUAUUUGUAUUAUGGUUGGUAGGGGGAGAGAUGGUGAUGUUUUAAUUUGCUUCCGCCAAUGAGUCGCACUGGGACCGUUUUGUUUAAAAAAAAAAUGUGUUUAUGAAUUACGACGUUUCUUCUAAGGGGAAAGGUAAUAAGGUGUAACAUUAGCGCUGGUGGCGACCUACGAAGGGUUCGGGGUGCCACAUGCAAGGUCCUUGCUGCCGGUCGACUAGGGUCACCCGGCCUUGGCCCGCCAAAGGGUUGAUCCCUCACUUUCUACAAUCUUCAUCUUCAUCUUUUUCUUUUUCUUUUUUUUCAAUAAUUUAGUUUUAAAUUUUAUUUAAUUAAUAUUUAUAUUAAAAUUCAAAUCCAAGACAAGAUGACUUUGUUUUGGCUUAUCUAGCCACGUCAACGUACAAAACGACGUCAUUUUGCACUUGUCUCAUCAGAAAAACAUCACAUUGGUAUUUCGAUCAUAUUUUCUCACCAUUGGGACUUAAUUGAUCAAUUUUGCUACGAUUUUGUCACUUAAAUGUACAUUUCUUAAAUUUUGGCACUUAAGUAUCCUCCAUGUCAAGUUUUGGCACUAUAUGGAUUUGGGUCUCAUUAAUUCUGAUACAAUAAAUCCCGUUCAAGGCUUUCAAUCAGAGUAAUCUAUCAUUCUAUGGUUGGAGUUUCGUGAAGUAUAUCUUGAUGUAAUAGUUUGCAAUCAUUCGUGACAUUUGUGUAACAUAAGGUUUAUGAUCAUAUUACAAGAGAAAAGGAUCAUAAUUACUACUCACACAUCAAGAAUGCAAAGAGAUCCACACAAAGAAUGAGGUUAAUGCAGUUAUGAUUAGGCUAAUAAGUACCUAAAACAUUUUAUUGUCAGAGGACAUAGAAUUUUUACUUAAGUUCUAUUGUUCUCGAUGAUAUAAAGGUGACCAAGAUUUGAAAUGUGCAUACUCUCAAAAAAUACCCUAAAGGAACGAAAUUGACUUUUGUUGUAUUAGCUGACCCUAAAGUGCCAAAACUAAAUUUUGUCACCCUAGGUUGUCGGCUAAGGUGACUCAAGGCAACAAAUCAUGGUUUUAUCAUUUUAAGUCUGCCUCCACUUGAAAAGAAGAAGAAGAGCGCUAGCCAUUCUUGAAGGUGCCGCUAAGCUCCCUCGCUUAAAUUGUUGAACAAAAUAAGAUCUACAUUUUACCAUUGCCAUGGGCCGGCACUACUUAUCUGUGUUCUCCUCUAUCACAGUACUGGGUCUAGGCUCACAAUGCUAGAUCACCAAACAUCACGACCUUUUUUGAGGUGAACCAUUAAAAAAAAGUAAAUGGAUUAUUAGAUGAGCAUAAAUGAUUCCUUGUUAAGCUUCGACUCAGUUCAAAUGGGAAGCCAAGCAACCGCAGAAAGAAAAUGGCAGCGAUGACUAAUCUGCAUCUCCGGUAUCCUCCGACUAUCUCCAGGCCUUCACUUCUGUUCUUGAAACCUUCAUUAUCUCCUCAUCUCUACUCCUACGCAUAACAAACACCUCAGGUCUCUCCCUAUUCUCUCUCUGAAUUGAUGCGCUUGGUGUUUCCUACUCAUGUAAUUCUAUGCUUUAUCUGCCUCUCUGACGCCCUUGCUUGCAAUCAGAGUGCCUCUUCGUUGACUCUGUUGAGCGGUUCAAGUGUUGGAGAUCUAGUGGUUGGCUGCUGACCGACCUCUAGCAACCUUGUGUGAGGCUUGAGCCUUGCUUGGCUCGUUGGAUCUGGCCAGGUGAGCCUUGCCAGAUUUGGACGAGGCUUGAGCUCGCCUAUGGCUAGUGGCUGGCCAUUAUUGUGGCCAGUGACUGGUCGAGGAUGAAUCAGUAAGAAAUGAAGAAAAAAAAGAAAAAUUAAUUAAAAAUUCAAUUUUUUUUAAAUAUUAUUUAUGAGAAGAAAUGUUUCAUUAAUCAAUGACAUCAAUGACCCAAGUUCAAGUGCCGAGGACCCAAGCCUGAGUGCCGGGGACUCAAGCACGGCCUUUAUGGACCCAAGCUUGAGUGUCAAGGCAUCAAGCACAUGCAUUAGGGGUUCAAAGCCAACCUCAUUGGACCCAAGCAUGGGCACCGAGGGCCUAAGCUAAAGCACCGUGGUCCAAGGCGUAACCAUGGGAGACCAAAGAACCAACAUUGGGUUUCCGUGCCCAAGCGUAGUUUCGGAUUUAAGUUUUGGUACCUAGUCAUAUUUUAUAAUAUGCUUUCUGAAUUUUCAAAGAGAAAAUUUCCUUAAUUUAAACUUCAGUAGGAAAUUUUUUUUCUUUACUUGAAAAACAUUUUCUGUUGACUCAUUUUUCUAAGUAAACCAACUACCAGAAAAAUGAGUAAGAUAUUUUCAAGAAUUAUAUUUUUUAGGAAACAAACGGAGCUUAAAGAGAUGGUAUUGUCGCAUAGCACGAACUCUCCCUAGCCUAGACCAAUCGCAACUUUGGCAUUUUCAAUAAAUCAUUUAGACAUGCAAUUUAACUUAUUUUGGAGGUGUCACUGAUCUAUUAUGCUUAAGACGAGAAGCUCCAGUCAGCAUAAACAAGCUUGAAUUUCUGAAUUCGGUGGUCAAAGAAUGGCUAAAAGGAGACAUGAGGAAAUGAAGGGCGUAAUUAAAUGACACGCAAGAGCAUAUUUGCGCUUGGGCAUUAUGAGAAGCGUAGGCUGAGUAGGUAUCAAACGAAGUGGCGUUUUUCUUAAGGAGGUGAACGAAUGAACGGACAGGGAAGCACGCGAUACAGGGAGAUAGAAAAGGGUGAGUGCGCAUGUGGAGGAACAGAAAAGAAGAGCAAAGAAGCAUGUCACAGGCAAGAAGAAAGCAAAGUCCAGAGGGAAUAUUUGCUCAGCUACGAAUCGGAAAUUUUGGGAAGAGCAGGUCAACAUUCAUGGCCGAAGGGAGAGGAAGAAACAGUAGCAUUCUAGAAGAAAGCAAGAACACGUUUAGCUAAGCAUGGAUAAAACGUGAUGGAAAAAGACGAACCCGCACUUCGGGAUGGACUUCAGGGAGCUCUUCCUCCAUUUUGUUUUUCUGUUAAAAGGAGAUUGACGGUGAAUUAUAGAGGGGGGAAUUUCGGGAGAAAAAGAGAGGAGAGAAAAGGAGGAUUCAUUUGAAUAUACAGAUACACGACGUGAUUCACUCUCUCCCAGGUUAGAUGGCUACACAUAUUGCUAGAGGCAAUGGCACAUUCGAACAAAGAGAAGGAGAACCCAUGAGUAACUAAAGAUGAUCACCUGUUUCCAUCCGUCGACUGCAUUUAUCCUCAUUGAUCACUAGUCCAUCUUCACUGCCGCAAUUAAUGUCGUAAAUUCUGUCUUGGCUGCUGUUCUAGUCAGCAAUGCCGUCACCCACUGCCCGUGACGUUAUUGCUUGAUGAAAUAAUUUGAAUUUGAAACACUCGCAACUCACACAUCUCAAGGAAGUGAAGGAGACAAGAUGGAUUUAUUUAUUUAUUUAUUUAUUUAUUUCACCUUAUCAGAACGAUGACAAUACUUGCUUUUAAAUAAGCUUGUUAUAUGACUAUUACACUCAAAUGACUCAUAAAUAUAUUUAUCAUUCCAAUGAGAUAAAUCUCGAGAAUUUACGAAACAUUAACUCAACUUAGAAACACAAACAAUCAAGACAUAGAAAUACGAAUCGACUCUUUAGAACAACAUUACAAUAAAGACUCUUCUUAACUCAUAAACGUGUAGUGGAAUUUGAAUGGACACCAACAUUAAACUUGCCCAUCAAUACAACAUUAUGAAUUUGGUUUCUAACAUUGCUAAUGUGAACUUUGGAGCUACCCUCCUACUCCGCUUCUAUGGUGGUUUGAGCUCAAAGAUUGUAGCAUCAUUACCGUUUUGAGCCGCAUCAUCUUUGCCAUUCAAACUGCAGACCUUAUGUACAUCUAACUUCAUGGACUAGGACGUCAAUCGAUAAGCUAAAUCCAACACUUUCGCUCUUUUGAUUUUCCAUAGUUUCGUGUGUACGAUUUUGUAAUAGAUGGGCUCAACAAGCUCAAGCCUAUCUCUCCCAAGCCCCAACCCAUUUUAAUUUUCUUCAGCAGAUUAAGUGAGACGUCUCCGACGAACAAAACAAGGAAAAACAGACGGAGCUCAUCCUGGGCAGAAGAAGAAGCGGAAAAGGAGAAAAGAGGAAAAACUUUAGCGCCUAGCCAAUUCAGACACCACGAUUAGCCAAAUCAACUACAAGUUGCAACACUUGGUGAGUAUUCAAGCCGAUCAUUCAUCUAAUUGGAGUAAAUUUCUGAUUUAGGGCACGAGUUCAAACUUAUGUGGACUCUAAUGAACAAUUGAGGAGCUAUUAAGCUUAGAUUUAUAUGGAAAUGAUAGAUAAAGGCAUUGUAGAGCUUUGGAGUUUGUAGAAAUUUAAUUCUGAAGUACAGUUUGAUUGGAACAAAAUUAUGAAGUUUGCGUACAAGUUACACAUAAUGGAUAAUACACGUAAGGAAAAGGAUGCAUGUGUGCUUUGAAUGAGGUCACUCCAAACGCAUAGAAGUCAUUUUGUUGAUGAUUAAAUGUAAUUUACUCUAGUCAUUUGUUAGAGUAAUUGAUAGGAAUGCAAGUGCAAUAGUUUGAAUAACCACCGUAGGUUGGUUUAUGGUUUUUUUAGGUAAAUGAUAGUAUUUCUUCUUUGAGUUUAUAUAUUCAUGUUUCAAAAAUGAAAUAAAUUAGUUAUGUUAUGAGUUAAGAACAAGCAUAUUCCUUGCAUAAAUUGGAUUGAGCAUUUACUACCAUUUGCGUAUUAGAUGUGAAAAUGUUAUAUUUUGAUUAUAGUCUAAAUUGAUUACUUGCAAAUGGGUUUGCAAAGCCUUUUGGGAAAGACUCAUGAGAAGUCUUUGAUUUUAAAUAUGGUUUGUGAAUGGUUAUAUACUGAUUUGUGAACUAGUUUAAGAAAUGGACUUUGAAAUAGUUUGGGAAAUGUAUUGUGAUAUAUAAGAUGUGAUUUAAUAGAGAUUAAUUAAUGGACUUGACUAUUGAUAUUUGAAUUGUAAUGGUGAAAAGUUGUGAUCUAGUUAUUAGACCUGAGUUGUAAGAUGGUAUUUUAUUUUAUUUGUGGAUUUCUAGAGAUUAAGCUUGAUGGAUUAUGCUUAGUGUCUUUAUAAACCUAUUGAGGUGUGUGUGGGUAUGUGCAUACCAGUUUAGGAUAUUUUUGUGGACAGAGUCACUAGCUAAUAAUAGGUGAGACCUAACUAAGGAGAGAAUCUUCGUUGCCUUUUUACAAGCAUUAUGCAUGAUCACGACUAGAUACUUGAGCAUGAGAUUGGUCAAUGGAAUGGACUAUUUAUUGGCGGAUGAAGCCAAAUCUUUUUAGGGGCUUUUUUUUUUUUCCUUUUCUAUUAAUUUUGCUUUUAGGUUAAAAGCUACGCCUUUAUAUUAGUGAUAGUUAGAUAUUAACAAUUAGCCAUCAAGGGUUUGAAAAGGAAAAUAGAGAGAAAAGAAAAAGCGAGAAGAAAAAGUGAGUUUUUCUUUAUGAGUGUACUCAACCUUUUUGCGCCUUGAUCUUGACAGAAGAUUAUCACUAUAUUCUAAAUUUCUUCAAAGUGCAUUCAUAGAGUGCCUUGUGCGAAAACAUAGCCUGGGUUUGGAUGAACUUCAAUAACACAUUUUCUAGUGUGUUCUUUCGACUUUGCUCUUUAUUAUUAUAUUAUGCUUGAGUGAAUUGUUUGUGAACGUUAUUUUUUGAAAUUGACAUGCUAUUUCCUAACAACUAGUAUCGUAGCCUGGGUUGGCUAAUUGAGAACAUAGAGGGGGGUUUUUUUUUUUUGGUAACAUUUGAGUGAAAGCAAACAACAUGACAAAAGAUAAAAUUAGAAUCAACAAGUUCGAUGGGCAGGAUUUCGGAGGUGGAAACUCCAAAUUGAGAACUAUCUUUAUUGGAAAGAUCUCUAUGCACUACUCAAGGGUUGGAAACCCAAGAUCACGGAGGUGGAUCUAGUAAUAAAAUUGGGGUGGAAAAUUGAUCGAAAAGCAUUAGGUACAAUUCAUCUAGGGCUCAUGAAAAAGAGAAGAUACCACAUUGCGAAAGCAAAAACUACAAAAGAAGCCAUGGAUAUUCUAACGAAUAUUUAUGAGAAGCCAUCCACAUCAAAUAUGGUAUUCUUGUUGAAGAGAUUGGUUAAUAUGAAGUUAUUUGUGGCAUAACUUAUCAAUAGUUUCACAUAAGUCAUAGAUUAGUUGGAAUUCACAAGCAUAAUGAGGAUAUGAAGUUUCAAGCAUUGUUAUUUUUAUGUUCCCUUCUAGAAAGCUACAAUACCAUAGUGCAAGAAAUUUCAUGCACCAUGAAGGAUGAUUUGACUUUAGAUGGAUGAAUAGAUGCCAAAGAAAGUCUCAAGUGGAGAUAAUUUGUUGGCAUCUACAUCUUUUUCCCAAUGACCAAUGUCAUUUUCAGUCACACAUCCACCUCAUGAUGCAGCAAUUCCAUGAUUUAAUUUAAAAACACGUCGACGUCAGUACAAUCCAGGGACUCAACCGUCAAUCGAAUAAAUCCUUAGUCAUUUCUUAUCCUUUAGAGUAAUAUAAACUCACUAGUGCUGAUAUUAGAUGAACUGUAAAAGGAAUCUCAUAUUCUAGGCCUUAAAUUAGCCUUAAAAGGUGUUCUACGCGCCUUUAGAAAUGACAUUUGUUAUCUAGGUAAUUAGGUUUAAAAAAUUAUGAAACUUUAGUAUAAGGUAGACAAGACCUAGAGGGACAUUUUUCAGCGAAGGACCCAAAGUCCAAUUCAGCUCAUAUAGUUCUAAAUAACUUUCAUGAAGGAUGCAUGUUAAGAUUCUUUGACUGAAAAUCUGUGGAAAAUGGAAAGCAAAAAGAGGUUGGUUCAAUGACCUCAAAAACAGAUUUCUAAUAAUGUAGUUUUCAAAUGUAUUUUUGUCAUAUGAAGUCCUAAAAUUUGGAUAUUAAAGUAUGUUGCACAACGGCCAAAAAUGGACAAUUUUCAUGAAGAAUGCCCCUAAAAUUCACAUCAUAGAAAUCAGUACAAAAUUAGCAAAAGUUCAAGGUUGGUCUAAAUCGAAUCUGUCCUCAAUCUCGGCACUAAUUUCACCCAGAAAUUCAACUACCAGCCCGUACGUGGUAAAUAUUAACCAUCCAUGUUCCUACGACCUAACCACAAGCUCGACUACUUUGAACUCGACAAUGUAGCUAGGUAACAUAAUUAAAACUUUUGAUAAAAUGAGGAUCUAAACAAUGUUCAUGUAUUUCACCAAAAAAAAAAAAAAACAAUGUUCAUGAAUUUCUAGGAAACCAUCCUCAUCACACAUAAUCGGUUGACAUAGGAUAGAACGGGAGAAAUCUACUUGCCUUGGGUCCUUGUGGAUUGUGGUGGGGGUUCGGCAGGACGAUGGGGUGGUUGAUGGUGGCGACGUGCGUGGCUGCAAUGGAAAGGGGAGCUGCUAGUGGUCGCAAGUUGUAGUGGUGCGCUUGACAAAGGCUUGGGGGAGAGAGCAUGACCGUGAACUGAGGAGGGGCAGUCUUCGCUAGCUUCGAGCUUGCUAGCAUAGACAUGCAAAGGGCAACUGAAGAUGAGUGUGAGGUUAACUGGGCCAUCACAACAGAAGAGAAAGAGGGAGGGGGCAUGUAGGGUCUGAAGAGGGAUUGAGGAAGCAGCUUCCGCUCUGAGCGAGGAUGGGUAGAGUUUUUAUUAUACUCUAUUUCUACCUUUUCGUUGCUGUUUUGGAGUUGGGCAGCACCGUUGCUCGAGUUGGUUGUCGUGAUUGACUUGAGCGGCAUUGCUGCUGGUGGCAAGUGGAAGAAGGCCAACCGGUCAGCCGUGUCUUGUAGGGAUGCGGCCAGGUGGUAGCAUGCAGAGGUGCUGAGUUGGCAAGCUAGCGUGGUAUUAUUGUGGCAGUGUGGUGGUGGUUUGCUAGUGCCGGAAACUACUAAGUGUUGGAGAAAACUUCCUUGUGUGUUUUGAAGAUGACAAAACGUUUCCAUUAGUCUAGUCCGAAGACUUGCAAACUCUUUAGUCAAAGUCUGAAGAUCGUCGAACCGCUAGACUUAAGAUUUAAGGUCUAUCCUCAUUGACAGUUUCUAGACCGUCGAAAAAGACUUAUCCAGAACUGAGUUGUGGCACCCCUCGACGGCCCUUGAUCCAUUAGGGUCGCCACAGUUCGCUCUACCUUUCACUUUCCCUAUUAACAUGUUACUCUGAUACCAUUUCAAUUGCAGCGGGUCCAUACAACCAUGGGGGUUCACACAUUUUUUUUUCUCUUUUUUAACUAAAGGUCCCUUGCACAAUUCAUAUACGAAAGCACGUCCAACAACUCCCUUUCCUAUAUUCAGAAAACGAUGCACACCUACUAAAUAUUUAUAAGUAAAAGCCGUACACUUUUAUUUGCUUAAAUCAGAUGGACAUCAUUCAUCGGUCCAUCAAAAUGUCUUAGUCUUUUAUAUUCGGCUACACUCCAAAAGAUGAACGACAUUUCCUCAAACAGUCAUACACUUUAAGUCCAUCGAUCUGUGUCAGCGUCCAAAAGCUCCUUCCCUUGCUAUCCUCCUCCUCACGGUCACAUCCAACCGUUCAAACCAUCUACUAAUCUGAAAUGUUGGUCCCCAAAAGGGGUGAGUACAACCACUCAGCAGGUAAAUGAAUCCAAUAACCACUCAAUGCAUCAUACAAGUCAUACAUGCAUUGCAAGCAUUACUUACCUUGAAGCCAUGCAUAUACUAUCAUGCAUCAUCAUAUCAAUUUAUAAUACAUACAUGUGUAUCAUCUUCGUAUCAUACAUGUCAUCAUCAUUAUCAUCAUGCAUAUCAUAUCAUGGGUGAUCAUCAUUAUUUCACAUCACAUAUCAUCAUCAUUUCCAUGCAUCCAUGCAUGUAACAUCAUCAUCACAUCAUGCAUAUAUCAUCAUGCAUAAUUUAAUUUCAAUUUCAUUUUGAACUGCCGCAUUUCUCUUUUCCCGGGAUCAAUGUUUGCAUCCCACAUUCAUCACUCGCGCCCAAUCCUGGCAUUGCGAGAACCAUUCGGGCAUGUAUCCAAGAUACAACCGGACAUCCGGCACCCCCACAUUCCGGGCAUCUCGUAUCCCAACUAGCAUCACGAGGCAUCCGGGCAUGCAUCCAAGAUACAACCGGGCAUCCAAAGGGCAUCGACUCAUUCGAACCUUUGGGCAUCUCGCACCCCACCUGGCAUCACGAGGAAUCUCCGGGGCUCGCCAUGAAAAUGGUUACCCCUACCCUCCGGGCAUGCAUCAUGAUACAACCCCUCACCCUCCGGGUAUGUAUCAUAAUACAACCGGGCAUCCCAACACUCCCGGGGAAAACCUCUGGGCAUGUAUUCAUAAUACAACCAGGCAUCCAAAGGGCAUCGACUCCUUCGAACCUUUGGGCAUCCCGACUCCCGGGGCAUUGUCGGCUCACACCUCCGACGGUAUCAUCAUCACCACGAUGCAUAUUCUCAUACAUCUCAUUUCUCAUCUUCCACAUUUUCCAAUAUUUUGAUCUCAAUUUAACAUGGCACAUGUCGUGACAUCAAACAAGUCAUACUUGGCAUAACAUUAACACAUGCAUCACAAUUCAAUGUCACACAUACACCAAUAUCUCAUCAUACAUGCUACAAUGUAUAAUUAUUUAUUAAUAAAUUCAAUGGAAUUUCAUUUUAUUAUCAUUAUUAUUAUUUUUUAAUAAAUAAAUAUUAAAUUCAAUAUCUAUAAAUUCCCAAAAUUAUAAAAAUUCAAGCAUCUACAAACCAAUAGAAUUACAUGCAAAAUUCAUGGCCAAAUCGAAUUUCACAAAAUUUCACAAUUUCCACAAAACAGCCCAUAAUAUUCGGAUAAAACCAGAAUGCACAGUUUCUGAAGAAAUUCAAUUAAAAUAUCCAUACGGCCUCCAAAAAUUACGAAAUUUUACAGCGUGAUAGCCAAGACAUUUUCGCACAACUUUUAUGCAGACUUCUAAGCCAGAUUAUUUUUAUUUUAUAUUAUACAACCUCACGAAUCUUCUGGAUCCAUUACCGCAUCGUCCAGUGUACACAUCACCGAAAUAUUGAGAUUUAUCCUACCUAUUAUUUUUAGUUUCCUAUUAAAUUUGGAUAUGUUAUACAUAAAAGUAUUCUCUACAAGUUUCAUGAAGAGAUCUAGGUCAAAUAACCAGAUUAUAAUCAUCAUUUAAGUCCUUGAAGUCUCGGGUAUCUCGGAAUACAUCACCAGAACCAACAUCUUCAAGAUCUAUUCGAUUCACUAGGCUAUACUUGUUCAUUUCACUUAAAAUUUGAUUAUGUUGUAUUUUAAGAUGUCUCCUACAACUUUCAUGAAGAAACCGAAGUGAUAUUCUCAACAAAAACCAACAUGAAACCAUGAAUCCAGCAAGAGGUCAGUAAAAACUCUCCAGAUCUGAGGUCUCCGUAUAACAAGACUUUAACCCCUCAAAUCUCCAUAAUUUUCCACGAAAUUUCAGUAUGUUAUAUUACAAGAUGUUAGAUACAACUUCCAUGAAGACAUCGAAGCCAAAAUCGGACUUCAAACACACAUGCAAGCUCAAACAAGUUUCUGACUCACAUGAUCCGAACGAAAACAGUCACACUCUUCACACACGACUCAUCCAUGCUUCGGUUUUUCUCAUCUAACAUCCAAAAAUUCGACAUGCAAACAUCAUACAAGCAUGAAAGAGAAGCUAUAGGACUCCCACUUUCCUCUAAGACUGAGCAAACACGUCCACACUGACGGCAAACCGGCGACGGACGAACGGCGUGCGGCGGCGACGGGCGAGCUACUUCCUUUCUCUCUUCCUCUCUUUGUCUCUUUCUCUCCUUCUCUCCUCUCUCUCGGCACCUCUCUUGGACGACAGCCCUCAAUCCAUCAGCCACUCUCUCUCUCUCUUCCUUUUUGGUUGUAUUUAUAUUGCAUGUAUUCUCUUUUUGCAUGGGGGACAAGUGUUCUCAUGAGGAGAACAAGUGGCAACAAGGAGAGGACAAGUGUUGGAGGACAUGCAAGUUUAAUGGGCCCUCUUCUUGGGCCAACCUUGGGCCAUCAAAUGGGCUGGUCGACCACUCCUUUUUGGGCCUCUAUUGGGCCGGCCAACUUGGCCCAUUAAAAGCUUAGGCCAAUGGGCCUAACGCCCAUCCUAAAAAUUGACCUUUUCCUCUCUUUUUUUUUUUUGAAUUUCUUUUUAUAAAUAUUUUAAACUUUAAAUUUUCCACAUGGCCAAAGUCUUUCGACAUUUCAUUUAUUGAAAUUUAAUUUAUAAAGUGCAUGGCCAAGCAUAGAUUAUUAAUUUAUCCUAUAGUCCUAAAUUCAAAAUUCAUAAACACAAGCACAAUAACACCUAGCCUUAAGAAAACUAAUGGCUAACACAUAGACCAUGGGUAAUUUCAUUACCUAAAUAUAGGCUUUAAUUUCUCUAGGGAAUGACUUGAAUUUUGGGAUGCCACAAUUCUCCCCUCCUUAGAGAAUUUCGUCCUCGAAAUUAGACAUUUCCUAUGUCUCUUGAAAUAAGUGAGGGUACCUUUCCCUCAUCUCAUUUUCACUCUCCCAUGUGGCUUCCUCCACAUCAUGAUAUCGCCAUAAUAUCUUAACCAAUGGAAUUCUCUUGGUCCUGAGAAUUUGUUCCUUCCGAUCCAAUAUCAACACAGGCUCUUCGAUAUACCUCACUUUCUCAUCUAUUUUGAUGGCUUCAUGAUCGAGUAUGUGUCCUAGAUCGGGCUGAUACUUCCUCUUAAGUUAAGGAUGCAAGCUCUUAACAUAUCUUAAUUUAUCUCAACACCAUAAACAUUUUUAAAACAAUAACCACAUCUGAAAUUUCUUUUGAAUGCUUGAUAAUCUUCCUUCAUGAAAUCAAACAAUACAAACUGAGUUCAAAAGCAUUCAACGACAACAGCAACCUUUGAAAUCAUAUGUCAUUUCCAUGUCAAAACGUUUUCAAAUCACCAAUGUGGAAAAUCCUUUGAGUUCUUGAAAAUUCCACCUCAUGAUAUCAAAUAAUACAAAAUAAGGAUUUCAAAGACACAUCGUUAUAACAAUGAUAGUAUUUGAGAAUAGGUAAAUCUCAUAUUGUUGAAACCAAUUCAUAAAAUCAAAAGCAUGAUACCAAUUCCAUAAAAUCCAUGUUCACGUUUAAAUUCUAAAUGUUUUUCGGAAUUCACAUGUAAAGCCUUGAGUUGUACUUGCAUCACGGCGCGAAACAAAAUACUUUAUCAUAACCCUUAGUGAAUUUAAAUCGGUACGUUGGCAAAUUCCAAUCUCAAUCCCAACUCCGAUGGGUUGGAAUGUUUUCUAUAAAAAGUUCAGAAUUCUUUGAAAUAGAAAACAUUUCUUAAAACAUUUGGGCACGGUGUCACAGUACUCAUAAAUUUUGAUGAAAUUCAAGAGAUUUUCUAAAACGGUUCAGAAUCAAAAUCUGCUUUUCAAUUGAAGUUCAAAACUUGGAAUGUACAGGUGAUAAUUUCCUCCAAACACCAUAAGCAUUUCUUGAAGUAUUGAAAAUCAUAGUUAAGCAAAUUGAUAAUAUUGGUCCUGUCGUAAAGAUUUUUGAAACUAAAAACUUUGAAUACCAAAAUCCUAAGCCUUUCUUGAAAUACCGAAAUCAACGCAUCGGCGAGUCAUCAAACUCAGUCCCGACCUUAAGAUUUUCAAAGUAAUUUACAUGCAAAAUCUUAGAGCUUUGAAAACAUCCAAACUCAAGUGUUUCCAAUCUAAUUGCACUACAUCAGACAACAAUGGCAAUGCAUUAUAUAGGUUAGUAGACUUUCACUUGCUGGCAUGUUAAACGCUAGGAAACGUGUUUAGCUAAGUCCACCUUCAUGCUAUCCCACCAAAACUAUUGGUGUAAUCUCUAUACCUUUGUCACCACCAAUUCAAGCCUAGAACCAUCAAAAUCAACACCACCAAUAACUCAUUUGGUUCAGUCCAACAAAGACAUUCACUAUGCAUUCACCGCAACAUAGAUUCAAGCCUAAAAUAUAAUACCAUUCAUUUGGUUCAAAUAUCGAUAGUCCACCAAGACUCAUUCAAUUCAAAGAUCGACAAUCUACCAAAAUAAAACUUGUCUAGUUUCCACCGAAUAUAUCUCAGAUCUCAUCCUAAAGAAUCAUCACUUAGACUAACCAUUCAUCAAAUCCACAACUUGAACUUCCACCAUUUCACCUUGGAAAGUCUAUAACCACAAAUGAUCAUGUUUACUAAUUCCACCAAACCUUUUUCAAACUGAGAUCAUCACCUAAAAUUAAAAGUUGACUACCAUCGAUCAAACCUAUUAUUCCGACAUAUAAACCACAAAUAAUUUUAUGUCUCAUAUGACCACUCAAACUCAUGACUUCCAAGAUCAAUCUAUACAUACUAAAUACCUCCAUGUAACGCAUCAAGAUUUCCAAUGAAAUCCUCAAAUAGGAAGUCACUACUUAGCUCAAAUGAUCGUAACUUAAUCCUCAAAUUCAUAAUUCACUCUCUGUAAUCCACUUCUUAAGCCUUGCUUGCAGCACUACGGUUAGAUGCUACGCAUGCUCUUUAGGUCCUUUAGGAUAUAUCAGGAUAUCAUCAAAUGAAGACAAUCACAAUUUGAUUCAAAUAAGGCUUAAGUAUUCUACUCAUUAAAUCCAUGAAUGCAGCUAAGGCUUUCAUCAAUCCAAAUAGCAUAACUAGGAACUCAUAAUAUCCAUAGCGAGUCCUAGAUGCAAUCUUAGGAAUGUCUUCCUUCUCAAUCCUUAGUCGAUAUCCUAAUCUCAAGUUAGGUUUAGAAAGACCAAACUUCCUUGCAAUUGGUUGAAUACGUCAUCAAUUCUAGAUAAUGAGUACUUAUUCUUAAUGGUCACCUGAUUCGGCUGCCUAUAACCAAUACACAAUCGCAUCGAUCCAUCUUUCUUUUUCACAAGCAAUAGUUCUACAAGCUUAACCAUGCUUCCACUGCGCUACUCUAACAAAAUUAUCCCAGAAACACUACCUUUCCAGUUCAGUUCAUAGUUCGGUUCACUCCUACCCCUUUUGCCAUUCUAGAAGCCUGCCAGGAGCCGCUCCUUGUUCAGGUCCUCUGACCUCGGCGUCCACUCCCCGCCCUCAUCAAACUAGGACGUUACAGGUACACCAGCUUUCGCCUGGUUCGAACCCGAACUACACAUCUACUGAAGGGUCUCGUUUCAAUAGGGAUUAACUUAUGGAGAUAUUAUCCGCUUUAGCUUAUCACAUUCUUAGCCUCACGAUUUUAUCCUUAGCACACGGGGAAGUACUAUCUUAGGAGAUCAUUCAUCCUAGUCCAUUGCUUACAGAGCUAGUCCAUUCUUAUGAUGACAUCAAAGUCAUACAUAACUAUCACUAUCAAGUCCAUUUCCAAAUCUCAUUCCCCUAGGGUUAUCUCACUCAUCUCACAUGCCAACGUAGAUAACAACAUAUCUUUCAGCGAUGUAGAAAUACGAAGAGGUAUAUCUAGAGAUUUGUUCCUACUCCUCACAAUCAUCUAUAUUUUUCGGACACAAAUGAAUGCAUGUCACUCACAUCAAAUAACGCAUGUACCUUCCUAUCCCCCUAUCAAAAUCAUACCUGAGAUAACACUUUUGGAAGCUCUUGCUUCCUCUUGAGUGACUGUAUACACCCUUCCUUGUAGUGGUGGCCUUUGUGGAUUCCUUGGUGGAUUUGGUCCACCAGUACUUUGUUGUACCUGUCGCACCGAGCUGACAUUUGGCUGCGACCUUCCUUGGGGACAAUCUUUCUUAAAGUGACCUCUCUGCCCACAGCCAAAACAUUUCAAUCGAUCAUUACAGGGUCCUGGUCCAUGUUGUCCACCACAUCUCUGACAAAUGUUACCCUGAUAGGGUACUCUUCCUAGAAUCGGGCCACUCCUGACCUUUCUAGAAUUCCCAAAAUUAUACCUCUUCUUAGAUUCCCAGGUAUGACCUUGACCAGGAUAGGGUCUCUUAUCCCUUCGAACAUCAUUAAAGGUCAUUUGCCCCUUAGAUUCUGAUUGCUCCCUCACUAACUCUUGCUCCAUCAACUGUGCCCUCUCAUAAAUCUCAUUAUAAUCCCUUAUAUUUAGAGGCACUAGUUGUUUUCUAAUAUCAGUCCUUAAUCCUUUCAGAAAUCUCUUAGCCUUUUCCUCUUGAUCCUCAACCAACCUAGGAGCAUACCUAGACAAUUCAGAAAAUUUUGCCUCGUACUGAUCUACUGCCAGCUCCCUUUGUUCUAACUGAACUAAUUCAGUGAUCUUUCUAUCCUUGGCACAAUCAGAGAAAUGCUUCCUAUUGAAAGCCCUAACAAACUCAUCCCAGUUCACAUCAGUACCUGGUGGAAAGAUCGUAUCCUUCGAGGCUCUCCACCAAAACUUUGCAUUUCCCUCCAGCUGGUACUCUGCCAAAACUAUUCUCUCAGCAUCACUGCAGUCCAACAACCGGAAAAUUCGUUCCAUUUCAUCGAUCCAUUGUUCCGCCUCCUCAGGACUUCCCAUCCCACUAAACUUAAGUGGUUUCAACUUUAGGAAUUGUUCCACCAGUCCCUGAGGGCGACGUUCCACUCCGGGUUGUUGUUGCACUUGCCUUUCCAUCAGAUUUCCAAUAUUGGCCAAUGCUUGCAGGAUAUCUUCCAUUUGGGGUUCAGCCCUUGCAGCAGAGGCUUCAGCCCUCGAUGGAUGAGCACUUCCAGCUCGUACCAUGACUUUCCUGCAAUUUUCCAAGCAUUGCCUCAGGAAUAAUCUGAGACUCACUCUCUCCAUUCAAAGCAAUUACUACUACAACUACUACAUAAGUAACAUAUACAUGUUACUGGUACCUAAAGACAACUCAAAAUUAACUACUAGGGAUCUACGAGUGAAUACUCAUCACCCGUUAUUCAAUGUUAAUCAAUUUUUCCGUUUUAUAUCCUAUGGUGUGCAUCUUUCUAUCCUCAUUUCCAUCUGAGGCACCUUAUCACUCCAAAUAGACCAUAGCUCUGAUACCAAUAAAGGCUGUGGCACCCCUCGACGGCCCCCGAUCCAUUAGGGUCGCCACAGUUCGCUCUACCUUUCACUUUCACUAUUAACAUGUUACUCUGAUACCAUUUCAAUUGCAGCGGGUCCAUACAACCAUGGGGGUUCACACAAUUUUUUUUUUCUCUUUUUAACUAAAGGUCCCUUGCACAAUUCAUAUACGGAAGCACGUCCAACAACUCCCUUCCCUAUAUUCAGAAAACGAUGCACACCUACUAAAUAUUUAUAAGUAAAAGCCGUACACUUUUAUUUACUUAAAUCAGAUGGACAUCAUUCAUCGGUCCAUCAAAAUGUCUUAGUCUUUUAUAUUCGGCUACACUCCAAAAGAUGAACGACAUUUCUUCAAACAGUCAUACAUUUUAAGUCCAUCGAUCCGUGUCAGCAUCCAAAAGCUCCUUCCCUUGCUAUCCUCCUCCUCACGGUCACAUCCAACCGUUCAAACCAUCUACUAAUCUGAAAUGUUGGUCCCCAAAAGGGGUGAGUACAACCACUCAGCAGGUAAAUGAAUCCAAUAACCACUCAAUGCAUCAUACAAGUCAUACAUGCAUUGCAAGCAUUACUUACCUUGAAGCCAUGCAUAUACUAUCAUGCAUCAUCAUAUCAAUUUAUAAUACAUACAUGUGUAUCAUCUUCGUAUCAUACAUGUCAUCAUCAUCAUGACAUCAUUACCUUACACAUGUCAUCAUCAUCAUGGCAUCAUCAUUAUCAUCACGCAUAUCAUAUCAUGGGUGAUCAUCAUUAUUUCACAUCACAUAUCAUCAUCAUUUCCAUGCAUCCAUGCAUGUAACAUCAUCACCAUAUCCUCAUAUCACAUGUGCCAUCAUCAUUACCAUGCAUCCAUGCAUGUAACAUCAUCAUCACAUCAUGCAUAAUUUAAUUUCAAUUUCAUUUUGAACUGCCGCAUUUCUCUUUUCCCGGGAUCAAUGUUUGCAUCCCACAUUCAUCACUCGCGCCCAAUCCUGGCAUUGCGAGAACCAUUCGGGCAUGUAUCCAAGAUACAACCGGACAUCCGGCACCCCCACAUUCCGGGCAUCUCGCAUCCCAACUAGCAUCACGAGGCAUCCGGGCAUGCAUCUAAGAUACAACCGGGCAUCCAAAGGGCAUCGACUCAUUCGAACCUUUGGGCAUCUCGCACCCCACCUGGCAUCACGAGGAAGCUCCGGGGCUCGCCAUGAAAAUGGUUACCCCUACCCUCCGGGCAUGCAUCAUGAUACAACCCCUCACCCUCCGGGUAUGUAUCAUAAUACAACCGGGCAUCCCGACACUCCCGGGGAAAACCUCUGGGCAUGUAUUCAUAAUACAACCAGGCAUCCAAAGGGCAUCGACUCCUUCGAACCUUUGGGCAUCCCGACUCCCGGGGCAUCGUCAGCUCACACCUCCCACGGUAUCAUCAUCACCACGAUGCAUAUUCUCAUACAUCUCAUUUCUCAUGUUCCACAUUUUCCAAUAUUUUGAUCUCAAUUUAACAUGGCACAUGUCGUGACAUCAAACAAGUCAUACUUGGCAUAGCAUUAACACAUGCAUCACAAUUCAAUGUCACACAUACACCAAUAUCUCAUCAUACAUGCUACAAUGUAUAAUUAUUUAUUAAUAAAUUCAAUGGAAUUUCAUUUUAUUAUUAUUAUUAUUAUUUUUUAAUAAAUAAAUAUUAAAUUCAAUAUCUAUAAAUUCCCAAAAUUAUAAAAAUUCAAGCAUCUACAAACCAAUAGAAUUACAUGCAAAAUUCAUGGCCAAAUAGAAUUUCACAAAAUUUCACAAUUUCCACAAAACAGCCCAUAAUAUUCGGAUAAAACCAGAAUGCACAGUUUCUGAAGAAAUUCAAUUAAAAUAUCCAUACGGCCUCCAAAAAUUACGAAAUUUUACAGCGUGAUAGCCAAGACAUUUUCGCACAACUUUUAUGCAGACUUCUAAGCCAGAUUAUUUUUAUUUUAUAUUAUACAACCUCACGAAUCUUCUGGAUCCAUUACCGCAUCGUCCAGUGUACACAUCACCGAAAUAUUGAGAUUUAUCCUACCUAUUAUUUUUCGUUUCCUAUUAAAUUUGGAUAUGUUAUACAUAAAAGUAUUCUCUACAAGUUUCAUGAAGAGAUCUAGGUCAAAUAACCAGAUUAUAAUCAUCAUUUAAGUCCUUGAAGUCUCGGGUAUCUCGGAAUACAUCACCAGAACCAACAUCUUCAAGAUCUAUUCGAUUCACUAGGCUAUACUUGUUCAUUUCACUUAAAAUUUGAUUAUGUUGUAGUUUAAGAUGUCUCCUACAACUUUCAUGAAGAAACCGAAGUGAUAUUCUCAACAAAAACCAACAUGCAACCAUGAAUCCAGCAAGAGGUCAGUAAAAACUCUCCAGAUCUGAGGUCUCCGUAUAACAAGACUUUAACCCCUCAAAUCUCCAUAAUUUUCCACGAAAUUUCAGUAUGUUAUAGUACAAGAUGUUAGAUACAACUUCCAUGAAGACAUCGAAGCCAAAAUCGGACUCCAAACACACAUGCAAGCUCAAACAAGUUUCUGACUCACAUGAUCCGAACGAAAACAGUCACACUCUUCACACACGACUCAUCCAUGCUUCGGUUUUUCUCAUCUAACAUCCAAAAAUUCGACAUGCAAACAUCAUACAAGCAUGAAAGAGAAGCUAUAGGACUCCCACUUUCCUCUAAGACUGAGCAAACACGUCCACACUGACGGCAAACCGGCGACGGACGAACGGCGUGCGGCGGCGACGGGCGAGCUACUUCCUUUCUCUCUUCCUCUCUUUGUCUCUUUCUCUCCUUCUCUCCUCUCUCUCGGCACCUCUCUUGGACGACAGCCCUCAAUCCAUCAGCUACUCUCUCUCUCUCUUCCUUUUUGGUUGUAUUUAUAUUGCAUGUAUUCUCUUUUUGCAUGGGGGACAAGUGUUCUCAUGAGGAGAACAAGUGGCAACAAGGAGAGGACAAGUGUUGGAGGACAUGCAAGUUUAAUGGGCCCUCUUCUUGGGCCAACCUUGGGCCAUCAAAUGGGCUGGUCGACCACUCCUUUUUGGGCCUCUAUUGGGCCGGCCAACUUGGCCCAUUAAAAGCUUAGGCCAAUGGGCCUAACGCCCAUCCUAAAAAUUGACCUUUUCCUCUCUUUUUUUUUUUUGAAUUUCUUUUUAUAAAUAUUUUAAACUUUAAAUUUUCCACAUGGCCAAAGUCUUUCGACAUUUCAUUUAUUGAAAUUUAAUUUAUAAAGUGCAUGGCCAAGCAUAGAUUAUUAAUUUAUCCUAUAGUCCUAAAUUCAAAAUUCAUAAACACAAGCACAAUAACACCUAGCCUUAAGAAAACUAAUGGCUAACACAUAGACCAUGGGUAAUUUCAUUACCUAAAUAUAGGCUUUAAUUUCUCUAGGGGAUGACUUGAAUUUUGGGAUGCCACAAUUCUCCCCUCCUUAGAGAAUUUCGUCCUCGAAAUUAGACAUUUCCUAUGUCUCUUGAAAUAAGUGAGGGUACCUUUCCCUCAUCUCAUUUUCACUCUCCCAUGUGGCUUCCUCCACAUCAUGAUAUCGCCAUAAUAUCUUAACCAAUGGAAUUCUCUUGGUCCUGAGAAUUUGUUCCUUCCGAUCCAAUAUCAACAUAGGCUCUUCGAUAUACCUCACUUUCUCAUCUAUUUUGAUGGCUUCAUGAUCGAGUAUGUGUCCUAGAUCGGGCUGAUACUUCCUCUUAAGUUAAGGAUGCAAGCUCUUAACAUGUCUUAAUUUAUCUCAACACCAUAAACAUUUUUAAAACAAUAACCACAUCUGAAAUUUCUUUUGAAUGCUUGAUAAUCUUCCUUCAUGAAAUCAAACAAUACAAACUGAGUUCAAAAGCAUUCAACGACAACAGCAACCUUUGAAAUCAUAUGUCAUUUCCAUGUCAAAAUGUUUUCAAAUCACCAAUGUGGAAAAUCCUUUGAGUUCUUGAAAAUUCCACCUCAUGAUAUCAAAUAAUGCAAAAUAAGGAUUUGAAAGACACAGCGGUAUAACAAUGAUAGUAUCUGACAUACCAAAAGUCUGACCUAUGUACACCAUGCGUAUUGGGAAAACAGGUAAGAAAUUCAUUCAAACCAAGAAAUCAAGUGUCCACUAAUCGUGUACUUCAGCUCUUGCAUAUGGAUCUCUUUGGACGAACCAGAACUCAGAGCAUUGGAGGUAAGAAAUAUUGCCUAGUAAUUGUGGAUGAUUAUUCACGAUUCACUUGGGUAUAUUUCCUAGCAAGUAAGUCUGAAACAUUUUCUUAUUUUAUAAAAUUUGCUAAGAAAGUUCAAAAUGAGAAAAUGGUAUGUUAUUUCAAGUAUACGAACAGACCAUGAAAGUGAAUUUGAAAAUCAAGACUUUGCUAAAUUUUGUGAUGAAUCUGGUUUUUUAGUAUGUAUUCUCCUCACCUUAUACUCCAAAGCAGAAUGGAGUUAUGGAAAGAAAUAAUAGAUCAUUACAAGAAAUGGCUAGAACUCUUCUAAUUGAAAGUUACAUUUCUUCUCGUUUUUGGGCCGAAGCAGUUUCUACAACAUGCUAUAUUAUUAAUAGAGUCUUCUUAAGGCCUAUUUUGGAGAAAACUCCCUAUGAGUUGUUGAAAGAAAAUAAGCCAAUUGUUUCUUAUUUUCAUGUGUUUGGUUGCAAAUGUUUUAUAUUGAAAAAUGCAAAUGAUCGAAUUGGUAAGUUUGAAGAAAAAUUAGACGAAGGCAUCUUCCUUGGAUAUUCAACCACAAGCAAAGCCUACAGAGUAUACAAUAAAAAGACUCAAUUUGUGGAGGAAUCGAUGAAUGUCAAAUUUCAAGACUUUAUGCAAAAUCAAUCGAUUCAGACUCAACUUGAAGAACCUGAACCUGUUCCAAACUCUACAAAGUUUAAAUCUCCAGAAGCAGCUCAAACUUCAGAAGACCAGCAACAAAUGAUCGUUGAAGAAUCAAAUGAAGAAAAUAAUCAAUAGUCUGACAAAUCAACCAGCAACUAGAAGCACAAGUCUAGUCAUCUUAAAGAACUCAUUAUUGGUGACAUUAAUAAGGGAAUUCGUAUAAGAUCCAAGAGGCGUGAAGAGUCUAGUGUUGUGGCUCUUAUUUCUGAAAUAGAACCCAAGAGCAUAGAAGAAGCUUUAACUGAUGAAAGUUGGAUUGAAGUUAUGCAAGAAGAACUCAGGCAAUUCAGUAUCAAUGAUUUAUGGGAGUUGACUCAUAAACCGAAAGGUAAAUCUAUCAUUGGAGCUAAAUAGAUUUUCAGGAGCUAAAUAGAUUUUCAGGAACAAGAUGACCGAGAAACGAAAAGUCAUAAGGAACAAAGCAAGACUCGUGGCCAAAAGAUAUACGCAAGAAGAAGGGAUGGACUAUGAUGAGACUUACGCACCAGUAGCAAGGUUAGAAGCAAUUAGAGUAUUACUUGCUUUUGCUUGUUAUAAGAAUUUCAGGUUAUUCCAAAUAGACAUCAAAAGCGCUUUCCUAAAUGGAUUUAUCCAAGAGGAAGUUUAUGUGGAACAACCUCCCGGUUUUGAAGACCCAAGGAAACCAGACUCUGUAUUCAGACUAAAAUGCGCUAUAUGGUUUAAAGCAAGCACCUCGAGCUUGGUACGACAGACUAAAUAAGUUUUUAAUCCAAAAUGGUUUUAUUAAUGGUAAAGUAGAUACUACACUGUUUAUGAAAAGAGAAAGCAAAAACUUCUUGCUUGCUCAAAUUUAUGUUGAUGAUAUUAUUUUUGGAUCUCCUAAUGAGAAUUUGUGCAAGAAAUUUUCUAAGACUAUGCAGGAUGAGUUUGAAAUGAGCAUGAUGGGUGAACUAUCCUUCUUUCUCGGACUUCAAGUAAAACAAUUGAAGGAAUGAAUUUUCAUUCACCAAGAAAAAUAUGCUAAAGAUAUUGUUAAAAAGUUUGGCUUGGACAAUUGCAAAAAGACAUAGAUACCAAUGUCAAGUUCCUUGAAGCUGGACAAAGAUGAAGGAGGAAAAAAAGUUGACCAGAAGCUAUACAGGAGUAUCAUUGGUUCACUUCUUUAUCUCACUGCUUCUAGACUUGACAUUCUGUUUAGUGUUUGUAUUUGUACCAGAUUUCAAUCAGAUCCCAAAGAAUCUCACUUAAGUGAUACAAAACGCAUCAUCAAAUACGUUACAUCUACUUCUAAUCUUUGUCUCUAGUAUCCUAAAGAAGGAGACUUUACUCUUCUUGGAUAUUCAGACACAGACCUAGCAGGAUGCAGAGUUGAUAGGAAGAGCACCUCGAGCACUGGUCAAUUGCUUGGGAACAAGACAGUAUCUUGGUUUUCGAGGAAGCAAAGUAUUGUAGCUUUUUCUACAGCAGAAGCAGAAUAUGUGGCUCUUGAAAGUUGUUGUUCACAAAUUCGGUGGAUAAAACAACAGCUAAGAGACUUUGGGAUUGAAGAUUCAUGCACUGAGAUCAAAUGUGACAACACUAGCGCAAUCAAUCUCACCAAGAAUCCAAUUCUUCAUUCAAGAGCAAAGCAUAUAGAGAUUCAACAUCAAUCCAUUAGAGAUCAUGUUCAAAAUGGAGAAAUCUCGAUUGAAUUCAUUGACUCAAACAAUCAACUAGCAGACAUCUUCACAAAGCCUUUGGAGAAAAGUCAAUUUGAGCUUAUUCGUUCCAGACUCAAUAUCUUAAAGUCUGAAGAAGUUCAAACUCAGGGAUAAAAGUCUAAUGAUACUCAAACUCAGAGGAUGAAGAUCAACGAGUAUAAGUUAUUUUCGUUUUUAAAUUUAUCUCUUAGAUAAAAUCUUGAAAAUGUACGAUUAUCUAUUAAUCUAUAAUUGAUUGAUCUCGAAAAGGUACAAUCAUCUUCCCCAGUUUUCGUGAUUAUUGCAAUCAUUCCUUUUCAAAAAAGGAGUUAUUUUUGAAAAGACACUUAUCUAUUUUUUCAAAAAGGCAGUUAUUUUUUAAAAGGAAUUUUCUAUUUUUUUUUCUUUUUACGUCGCUCCGUAUGCCUCUUUUCCAUUGCUUUAUAUAACGUUCGUCUUCCUCACAAACCCUAAAAGUACAGACAUUUGUUUUCUUACUCUCUAGUUUAAUCUUCAAAUUUCUCACAUUUUUUUUUUUUUGCGAAUCGAGUUUGGAAUCUCUCAAAAACUGUGAGAAUGGCAUCCCAAUGAAAGUCUUCAAGGAUCGCGAAUAGGUGACCACAACAAAUGCGUGAGGGUCCUACACAUUUUGACCUCACUGAGGAAGAAGAAUCCCUAAGAUAGCAGCAGAGCCCACAAUAUUCUCAACAGCGUCAAUCUCCUAAGCUAGACCUCAAGGUAGUGAUCGUGGAGCGGAGGAAGAAAUCAUUGAAGGCGUAGAACCCGUAAGAUCUCAAAAGCCCGCUUUUAUCUUUAAGCUUUACUCUACUUUGAAGAGGGGAGGGACUCCCUUGAAAUAUAAUGAUGAAUUUUUUAAAGAUAAAGGGUAUCGAAAUGAAACCCACUUUUUGCGAACAAUAGAAUGAUUGGAGAUUGCUCCUGUGGGGUCAGCAGAUCGAGCAUUUGCGAAUAUUCCUAGUGAUCCAUGUGUUGAAGGUCUUAGUCAGCAUGAUGGGAAUGAUGAUGACAAAAUGUACAUUCAUUUCAAGCCUAGAAUGGGUGUUGGGGCGAAUAUUCGAAGUAAAAGGACAGAUUUGUUUCGCUCAGAUGAACACAAGCGACUUUACUCUAAGUUGCUAAAAAGAGGGGUGAUCAAUCCGAGAAGUGUAGACUUUGAUUUUCUUGAUUCUGUGAAUGUGAAGCUGCGAGAGAAAUUCACUCAACUUCAGCUUGAGCAAUUUUGUUCUGAGACGACUAAGGCAUAUCCAAAACUUACUGCUUACUUCUAUUCUAAUCUCAAUUUCUUGGAUGCGAAUAGAUUUUCAUUUAGUAUUCGAGACCAGGUUAUGUUGUUGACAUGGACACAUUGGCAGAUGUGAUUGGAGUAGAGCGAGGAGCUUUCCAAUCGAUUAAUGUGUCUGUUGGUUGUGCGACGGUGGAGCUUGUUCAGGAUGGAAUGGCUGAAGGAAGAAUUUCGUACUUGAGGAUGAAUGCCUCUAAUAUUUUGCUUCACAAGAUCAUGAUCAAUUGCCUCAGAUCCAAGUCAACCUCGAAGACAUAUGUCUCUAACUUAGAAGCAAAGUUGAUGUAUGCCAUCAACACUGGCAAGAAAUUCUCUCUACCUCACACAAUCAUAUUUCACAUGUACAGAACGAUGACGAAAGACAGAGCGCAACUUCCUUACUCAAGGCUUGUUACAAAGCUUUUCAGAUGUUUCAAUAUUCAGCCUCCCAAGAUUUUAUGUGUUCAAUCAUGUGAUCAAAUGGUAGUGGGACUGAAAAUGGUUUCCAAAAUGCGUUUGAAAGAGCUGGACAAGGCUUUGGAGUGUUUGAAAGAGAAAACCCCUAUCAAGUCUCACCAAGGUUCUUCAAUUGCUAAACGGAAAGGGAAGGAGCCCAUGACAGCUCCAUCCAAGAAAAGAAAAACACUCGUUCUGGAGGAUGAAGAGGAUGAGGAUGAUAUUACCAUUUCUGCUUUUGCACUGAGAAAUCUUCAAAGUGCUGUUCCAGAGACUGUGGAGAGAGAGGAUCAAGACAGAGAAGAAGAAGAAGAAUAAGAAGAAGAAGAAGAAGAAGAAGAAAGGAGUAGAGAGAGAGAAUCAACGCGAAAAGAAGCAGAGGAAGAAAGGAUUGCAGAAGAAGAAGAAGAAGAAGAAGGCAGAGGUGAACAGGUAGAAACAGAGCAUGAAGAGUACUUCUCACCUCCUAAGGGCAUUGAAACAAGGGGAAUUACUGAGGAAAGAGGUACAUCUCCAAUUGAUGCUAAUAGUGAAGGUGUUAGUUGUUCACCUGCAGAUCCAGAAGACAUUUAUGCCUCUCAAUUCCCAGAGGAAGGUCAUGAGGUUUCAUCGCCAAAUCUGAAUGAUCAUGCUGGCUUACCAUCAUCUGCAAAUACUCCUACUAAUCAUGUAGAGGCCUGUACUCAGACUGAUAAUUCAGGAGACCUUUGUAGAGUGCUUGAUGUUCUUAUGGAGAUGUGAGGCCAGAUUUAUGCUCUGGGAAGUGAAGUUCAGAACUUGCAGAAUGCAAGUCAAGCCUCUUCGGUUUCCUUGCGUGAUCAAGUUAAUGCCCUUGCUCUUCAAGUUCAAGCAAAUGCCAAGGGUGAAGAUGUGGCUCAACUGAAGGAGGAUUUGAAAAAGCUAGAAGGGAUUGUCUAGUCAAUGGGAGAUUUCCAGCUCAUUCACGUUCCUAGGCAACCAUGAUUCCAUUAUCUUUUUUAUCUCUACCUUUUUCAUGCUGACAAAAAGGGGGAGAGAUGGUGCAGAUUUGAAACUUGAAACUUGACUUGACUUUCAUUUGACUUUACUUUUUAAAUGACUUUUUACUUUUAUUUGGUUGUUUGGUUGUGACUGACUGUAUUUGGAUUUGGAUUUGGGUUGUUUGAUCGUUUGUUUAUGUUAAGCACUAUUGGUAUUUCAUGGCAAAGAUAGCUGUUUAUUUACAGGACUAACUUUUUCCUAUGAAUGUAGAUCUAAUGAUAUCUUUACUAAGUCAAUUAUCUUUGUGAGAUAUCCAUGUUUGCGUGAGUACUGUUUUGCAGGUCAAAAAUAUCCAAAUUUGCAGGAAAGUUUUGUCACCAUCAAAAAGGGGGAGAUUGUUGGAGAAAACUUCCUUGUGUGUUUUGAAGAUGACAAAACGUUUCCAUCAGUCUGGUCUGAAGACCUGUAGGCUCUUUAGUCAUAUUCUGAAGAUCGCCAAACCGCCAGACUCAAGAUUCAAGGUCUAUCCCCAUUGACAGUUUCUAGACCGUUGAAGAAGACUUAUCCAGAACUGAGUAUCUUAUUAAGGAUUUGAUUCUAUCAAUUGAAGAAGAUCUCUCGGCUGGAGAUAGCAUCUUGGAAUCUGUUAUUCGUUUUGAUUUCAAUUCAGGUAAUUUAGAUCCGUUGAUUGGCGAAUCAUACUUAGAAGGUUCUACUUAUAGAAACCUAGAUCCUGAUUGUAUGGGCAAGCAUGAUUGAUGGGCUAUUAUCAUAUUCCUUAAAUAACUCGAAAUCUCCCUAAUUGAUUAUGUCUAACGGGUAGAUUGGAAGAACUCCUUUGGUAAGUGUUAACGGCUAUAAAGGCAUGGAGAAGUAUAUAAGGAAGAUGUUCUAGUUGUUUGAGUGUGUGCGCAAUAGAAUAAUUCCAAAGUCUGAAGCUCCUUAUUCUUUGUCAAUUUGAUUGUUGAGCGAAAACUUGUACUCAAAAGAGCGUUUAUACUUCUAUGAGACAUUGAGGAAGUGUAGCAGAGUCUCUACAUUGUGGAAUCAAGGAAGAGCAAUACUAUAACAACUCUUUUGAUUCUUAGUCAAAUCCAGCCAGUGGGCUGUUAGUGCGGAAGAGUGGACGUAGGCUUGGAUCAAGCUGAACCCCUAUAAACCUUGUGUCUUUAUUCUCUUCCCUAAGCUCUUUUACUUUAAUCGUAUUUUUAUUUGAUUAUUAGAGUCUAAAUUCCUUUUCAUAAUCUAUUGCUAAACAGAGUCGGUAUAAAAGCAAAAUUAUACUCUUUACUCUGCAAAAUUUGUUUUCGCACCUAUUCACUCCCUCUAGGUGCUCGUACUAGCUUUCACACUAAGGCAAGGCACGAUGGAUCCGGUGUUGAAAUUCAAUAGUGAGCUUGGCAAUUACGAGGUGAUGGUAGGACCUGGUGGUUUGUUUUAAUGGCGGUUUACGACACGAUACUAAGUGAGGGAGUGGUGGUGGUACGUUGCGAUGAUGUCAACUUGAUAGACCGAGGCGUCUUGAUGGUGCCGUAGGGGAGCUUACUUGUACUGCACGAUUCGUCAAGUAUUUGAGGCUUGUUAUUUUGUUGAGCAAAAUUUUGGAUGCCACACUCCCCAUCCCUAUGACUAUGCAUCACCACCAAAUUGACAAUUUUUUUAUGCAACUUCCAAUUUUCAUUAAAAAAAUGUGCAGUGAGGCACAAAUAAUUUGGGUUUUGAAUGGAACUUUAUGUAUCAGUCGUGAGAAUGAUUCUAAAUUAAAGAAAAAAUAUCAUCUGAAACAAGAAACUUGACCAAGGAGGUAUGGUAGCAACCUUUGGAUUUGGAGAGUGUGAGAUAACCUUAGAGACAAGAGUCGUAGCGAAGGGAAAUCAUACAAGUAUACUUUACCUUCUCCAAUGAGACAAUAUUAGUGAUAUGGUUGUAAGUACAGUGGCUAUAGGUAAUUUGUCUACUCUUUGGCAUUAUCGUUUGGGACAUCUUGAUGAAGUGUGUAAAGUAAUUAAAUUCAAGGAAAUUACUUCUAGGUUUGCCAAAAGUUGAGUUGGAUUUCUAUGAGAAUUGCACAUAUAUAUAUAUAUAUAUAUAUAAACAAAGGACGGCAGUUGAUUUUCAAUUGAAUGGGUGACAAAAUAAAUGUCGAAAGUUAGAGUUAGUUCAUACUAAUGUGUGGGGGCAUGAUAGAAAAAGAGAGUUCAUACAAUCAAAACUCUGAAGUUUGAUCAUAGUAGUAAAUACAUAAGCAAGGAAUUUGCAGAAUACUUGAGCUAAGAAGGCAUAUAGCAGUUGAAGAUUAUUCCUAGAAACCCUCAAGAAAAUGAUGUAGCUAAGAGGAUAAACAGAACCCUUCUAUAAAAUGUGAGAUGCAUUAGGCUACGCAUGCGUCUCUUUCUACACUUAUAAGCUAUUACAGUUAAUGUGGCUGUUUACAUUAUCAACCGGAGUCCAUCUAGUGCGUUGGAUGGAGAGAUACUGCAAGUGCAGUGGUCAAGUAAAAAAGUUAAUUAUUCAUAUCUACUAGUAUCUUGUUGGAUUGCAUAUGAUCUGAUUAAUACAGAAGAUAGGAAGAAGCUUGAUGCUAAGUCCUAGAAGUACAUCUUUAUUAGAUAUGGUGAUGAUGAGUAUGGAUAUAUGCUUAGGGAUUAUGAGAAUAACAAAGUCAUCUGCUGAUGGAAUGUGGUAUUCCACGCAAAAAAAAAAAAAAAAAACGUACAAGGAUUGUUAGAUAAAGCAUGAGAAGGCAGUAGAACUAGAAUAUCUUGAGCUGGACAAAAUGUACGUGAAGAUGAUUCUAGAAAAUUAGAGUGCACUUGAGGGAGAGGUUAAAUAUGAGCCUAUUAUCAAUAAGGAGGUAGUUUAAGAGGAACACAGUGACUUGGAGUAGACUAACAACCUUGAAGAACUUGUCUUGAGGAAGUCUGCACGUGUGAGAAAGUCGAAGGUAAUUUUGAUCCACUAGCAAAUAUUAUUAUGAGCCAUGUCUUAUAUAUAAAUUUAGGAGAGUGUGAGACUUUUGAUGAGGCAAAAAAAAAAAAAAGACAUCACACAGGCAGUGGGAGCAUGCUAUGAAAGAAAAGGUGGGCUCGUUACUUCAGAACAAAACUUGGGAGUUGACCAAGUUGCCUAAAAGUAACAAGGCCUUAUUAAACAAUUGAUAUUAAAACAAGUGAGUGUAUAGGAUUAAAAAUGAAGCAAGUAAAGGUAUCAGAUACAAGGUGAGACAUGUGGUCAAAAACUUUUCUAAAAAUAAUGGAUUGACUACACCAAGAUAUUUUCACCAAUAGUUAAAAUGACAUUAAUCAGAGUUCUACUAAGUAUAGUUGUAGUGGAGGAUCUGCAUCUUGAGCAGUUAGAUGUAAAAACAACAUUUUUACAUGGUGACCUAGAUGGAGACUUAUAUGGCGCAAUCUAAUGGUUUUGAAGUCAGAGAUAAUGAGAACAUGGUAUGUCGCUUGAAGAAAAACUUGUAUAGCUUGAAACAAGCUUCGCAGCAAUGGUAUUUAAUUGAUGGUUUUAUGGAAGAAAAUGGAUUUGCUCAUUGUGAGGUUGACCAUUGUGUUUAUUUUCACAAAUAUGAUGAUGGUGAUAUUGUGUAUCUCUCUUUAUAUGUAAAUGACGUGUUAAUUUUCAAUUGAUGGUCCAUGAACUUUUGGUACUUAUUCGAUAUAGUCCCUAAACUAUAUAAAAAUGUUCAAUGUAACUAUCAAUCAAAAUUCUAUAUGAUACACAAAUUAUGUAAUUUGUAUAUUUGGUUGUAAUUAUCUUGUGGUGCAAGGAAAAGUUACUCCCUCGUACACAAUGUUUAUGUCACAUUCACAUGUAAUGAGCGAUUCAAAAUGUCUGCAUUCGUCAAUUGCUUAUGACAUUGAAAGACUAAGCAAGCCAGACACCUUGCAAUUAGAAAGAAGAAAUAUGCCUCGGAUUGAUUAAAUCAUAGGGACCGGAUAGAUGGGAAGAAAACACACGAGGAACAUAAGGUUUUAAUUCAAUAGGACAAACAACAACAAUCGACAGUGCUGAUGAGGCACGUUAACGAUACUCAUAGAAGAAGAACAAGAAGCAUCAAAGGAGGUUAAGAUGGUGAGGGGUCAACGGCCUGAAGACAGUGGGAGCGUGGGACUCAAUGAAGGCCACCUGAGACCUGGAGAGGUGAAGGUAGACCACCCAAUCCCCGUUGGAGAGCGGGCUGGGCAUGGGCAUAACGUACCCCGCUUUGCCUCCCCAUGGGAAGUGGUAGGACCCCAGCAUUGGCUUCCCCCACCCGAAGUCCAUCUCGGUCACUGGGAACCUCUGUCCAGAUGACACCACUAGUGCUGUCGACCCUUCCUCCUCCUCCUCGCUACCGGGCUUGCAGAAUAUCCUUGCCAAUGCUGGCACUGGCCGGUGUCCUUCCACCCAAUCUAUCAGGUCCAGAAAGUGCUCCUUCUUUGCUGCACUCUCCACAAACUCAUGCACCACAUCCGCCACCCAGCUCAACGGCUUCUCCACCACCUCCCUUGCCCUCUUCUCUCCGAAUGGCACCGACAGCACGUUCCCAAAGUAGGAUGACAUGGGGGUGGGCUUAUCGUCCUUGCCCUGACUCAUCAACCUACACCUGCCGUCCACCACGAUCCCCAUCCUUGACAUUGUCUUGUUGUCAUCAUUAUCAGCAACCAAGGAGGAUUCAGCCACCAUCCUCCAAAGGAAAGCGCUGAAUGAUUCCAACUUAGUCCUCUUGCUUCCAUUGGAGCAGGCACUCUGCUGCAACUCACUUAGCUUGGCAUUGGUCACAUAGUACAGGCGGCUUAACAGGUGGUCGUCAUCCCUCAAUGUCAUUGUCUCACAUUGCUCAUCCACCUGUAGCUUGUGUUUGAGGGGUGGGGGCAAUGCGGAGACCGGGAUGUACAUGCGAUCUAGAGAGGGGUCAAAGCAGAGUGGAUGCCUUGGGUUAAGAAGAGAACGACGGAAGGAAGGAGGGAGGGAAAUGGGUGCAGCGGAGCGAGCCGUUUCUGCCCAAAACACCAUGAACAUAUUGAUCGAGUAGGCAUCAGCUAUCCGAUGGUCAAAUGUACAUGCCACCACUAUUCCUCCACACUUUAGCUCUGUUGCCUAAAUGUUUUCCAUCAAAUGAAAAACUUAUGUCUCAAUGAACAUAACCAAUCCUAAUGCGGAAACUGUAUAAAAAAACUUAUGCCUUGGUGAGAUUUAAGAUUACUUCUACACGCUCUAGACAUAACUUUGGUAGCUUACGCCGAGAAGUUAUCAAAUGACAUAUUGACCAUAUAGAACAAUAUUAUUUCAAUAAAUAAUUAUAUAUGUCCGAACAUGGAUAUGCAUGAUUAACAGUGGAAACAAACUUGGUCUUUAUCAUAGAGACUGAAAAUGGUGAUAUCCAUUAUCCAAUUACUUCAUACGAGACUUACUAAAGAGAGGAGAGAUUGUUUAAGAGUAUUAGUAUGUAUUUGGUACCCAUUCUAUUUCCAUAAACAAUUUGUACUUGAAAAUAGUUUUUUCUGAUUCUGCUCUCCCUGAACAAGUUUCUAAGUAUUAGCCCCCUCUUUUCAUUUGGGUUACCAUGACGCCCUUGCACUCCUAUUGACAUUUCCUAAUGUCACCAGAAGUGAAAGUCCUUAUGUUGGUGUCGGGUCCCCCCUGCCCCCCCCCCCCCUUUUGUGUAGUUCUGUUUUGGGUUAAAGUUAAUACAUGCCUUACUUUUACCCCAAAAAAAAAAAACAAGUUUCUAAGUAUACGAUCCUCAAAUUUCAUAUGAAGUAAAAAAAAUUUCAAUUUUUUAAUAAUUUUAUGAGAUUUUUCUUCUUCUUUUUUCCUUUCUUCUUCUUUCUCCUCUAGCUAAUCAGUGGGCCACGGCGAUGGUUAGUAACCAACCAAAGACAAGAGCUAGCGACCUCAUUAGCCCCCGGGGAGGUCGGCCUCACCUAGCUACUAGCAAGGCUCGACCUCACCCAAUCAAGGCAAGGCCAACCUUGCUAAGGGCCAGCGAGGUCACUAGGCCUCAUCUCUGAUUAGUCAUCAGCUAGUCGCCGCCAUUGCCGAGCCCUACAACUAGUUAGAGGAGGAAUAAGAAGAAAAGAAAAGAAAAAAACAAUUUGGUUUUAUAAAUUGUUCCCGAAAACAAAAUAGUAAUUUUUUUCAAUUUCAUAUUUCUGUUCCAAAUCUAUUCCAUGGUCACCGAUUUUUUCUCGUAAAUAGAAAAAUUAGCUAAUGUUAUCAAAUGAUUUUUUUUUGGGAAAUAAAAAAGUAAAAAUAAUCAAGGAUUGACCGGUCAUCUAAUAAGACCUUAACAUGUUUCCCAUGAAGUCAAGGGUAAAAGAGAGAUCCCACCUCUGCCACAUAUAUUUGAAUUCUUUUGUGCUUGAGGACACUGGGAACCCACGCCAUGCCAUUACGGUCUCAAUAAAUUUAAUGAUUGCUUCUAAGGUCCACCUUUGCAAGAAUUUUUCUCUCAUUCAAUUCUGUCCAUUAAAAAAAAAAGCGAUAUAUUAUUAUAACUCAUCUAUUAUCUCGCUGUUCUCUAUGGACUCAAUGAGCCAAUGUAUAAUCUCAAUGAUCACACAAGUAAAGAGAGAAACUCGUGCAAAGUGUGAGAUUCUUUUUCCUUUCAAUAUUUAUGCUCAAUUUGUUUCGAAAAAAAAUAUAAUAUUUCUGAAAAAUAUAUUCCAAGAAAUCACUUUCGAGGAAAUGACAAUAUUUUAUAGUGCUUAGCUAAAAAAUGAAAAUGAAUUAGAAAAUAUUUUCUACCAUUUGAUAUGGAAUUUGAUUUUCCUAGAUAAAAUUGAUAUAUUUUCAAUUAUUUUUUCUAUUCUUUUUUUUAUUUUUCCUCUUCCUCGACCAAUCGCUGGCCUUAGCAACAAUUGGCUAGGCUCAUGCUCUCCAAAUUCCAACAAGCUUGAGCCUUGGCUCGCCUGUGAUGGGCUAUUGUUGUGGUGGUUAAGUAAGAAGCGAAAAGAAAAAAAUAAUAAUAAAAAAUAAUAAUAAUUAAUUAAAAGUUCAAUUUCUUUUUUAUAAGAGCAAACGUUUCAUUAACCAAGGACUCGAGUCCAAGUGCCAAAGACCUAUGCCGAUACAUAGUCAUAUUUUGGAAAAUGUUUUUCAACCUUUUAAGGAGGAAAUCAUUUUCCUGAAUUUUAGUAUAGGUUUUUUGUUAAUUAGGAAAACAUUUACCAUUGACUCAUUUUCCUAAGCAAACCAAAUGAUGGAAAAUGAGGAAAAUGUUUCCUAUAAAAUAUUUUUCACAAAACAAACAGAACCUUAACAUUAAAUGUUUCUACAUUGUUAUGUUUUGUAUGAGAAAUCAUUGAUGUAUUUAUGCUCUAUUUGUUUCACAUAAAAUAUAAUAUUUCUAGAAAAUCUUUUCCAAAAAUUCAUUUUCCAAGAAAAUGAUAACAUUUUAUGAUGCAGAGUUAAAACUUGAAAAUGAACUGGAAAAUAUUAUUCACCAUUUGGUAUUUAAAAUCUAAUUUGAUUUUUCUAAGGAAAAUUACUAAUAAAUUCAAUAUUUUAAAUAAUAUUUUGAAUUUAUUUCUUUUCUUUCUUUAUUAUGUUUUCCCUUCUUCUUCAGCAAGGCUCAAGCUUACUAGAUUUCGACAAGCUAGAGACUUGUUAGAGGUCAUUGAGGCAUUAACUCACCAAUCGGCGAGCUUAAGCUCGAGUCUUGUUGACCUUUGGUGAAGCUCAAGCUAGCUUAUGGGCAAUUGAUGAUUGUUGCCGUGGCCCACAAUUGGCCAAAAUGAAAACAAAAAAAAAUUUCAAAAUUGAAAAUUUUAAAUAUUUUUAUAAGAAUAAACGUUUCAUAAACAAGAACUCAAACUUGUUUGCCGAAGACCCACACCAAUACCAAAUCAUAUUUUGAAAAAUGUUUUCUGAUCUUUCAAAGAGGAAAUCAUUUUCCUGAAUUUCUAAGCAUAGUUUUCCAUUGACUCGUUUUCUUAAAAGAACUAAAUGCUGGAAAAUAUUUUCCGUGAAACAAACAAAGUCUUAAUCAUAGAUUAUGCUGUUAAGCGUGAUCAAAGUCCAAGCAUUAUUUUUCUUUUUGAACAAUGGUGAAGGGUAUCCAAAUCAAUCAGUCAAAUUCGCACGCCAAGUGAUGUAAACAAUUAGUUUAUAUUCAACACCUAUUGAAAAAACUUCAAUAGCGAUGAAUAAAUCAAUUUUGUGAACCGUUCUAAGUAAAGAUGGAAAAUUUGACUGAUAGACUAGAAGCAGAAGAUACACUAUUUCAUUCGACGUUGGUUAUGCAUGAUAACGUUUCUAGUUAGCAAUAUUAUCUCUUGUAUCUAAUUUAAGAUAUUGUUGAUAUUGUUCCCAUAUUUUCUCUGCUUGCCUUUAAGCAUCCUCAAUAUCCCUAAUUUAGGGCUCUUGUAAUAUCUUUAUAUAUAGUCUGUACAAAAGAGAUCAUAUGACAAUAUACAAAAACUAUGAUUUCUUCAAUGCAUAAAUAAAAGAUAUAAGGAAAAGACUAUAGAUUUAGGUGAAAUGAAGAUGAAAAUGGGCGCGGGUGCAUAUACGGUGAUAUGAUCUCUUGAGAUGGAUAAACGAUAUAUAGCCAGGCUUUAUCUAAUAUCAAUACCUGAACAGCAAGCACGCCUCGCUUCUUUGUGGGCACUAGUUUCCCUUCAACGGUGUCAUCCGGAUUAUACAGGUUGAGAUGGCAGAGUUCCACGUCGGCGAAAGCUUCGAUGAAGUCGACCCCUUGAUUGUUGCACAGGAGCUCAGGCUCAUCGGCUGAGUUCGGCACCACCUCUCCGGCGAGAGCAUAGUAGGAGACCAGAGCUUGGGCCAAGGCGGCUUUCAGAACACCAAACAUGGACCCAUAUUCCAGCCUCUGUGACGCGGUGGUGGUUGGAUUGGCGUAGCAGAAGAAGACGCCUACGUCAAGUGGAGGCAAGAGCAAGUCGAGGUUGGAGAGGGGCAGCCAAUGCCCUUGCAUGGGCAGUGGUGCCGCCACCACUUCUCUCUUGCCCGACUUCACCACGAACUCUCUGCCUGCACCUCCAUCUGCAUCCAUUUUAUGUACUCUGGUGCGAGUUUGAGAGGAAGGGAGGAGGAGGAGGAGGAGGAGGAAGAGGGACCGGUUUAUAAGAUUUAUAUUUAAAUCCCUCCACAAGUCCUCCCGGUUGCUAGGGACUUAUAAAACCAAUUUGCGGUCACAAUUGAACCGCUAUCAAUUUAGAAUAACGACACCAUCCGUCUAGCAAGGCCUUGUGGAAACUAGCAUUUCUCUCCCAUAUAAAUAUGAAUUCUUCGCGCUUCAGGUCAAUGGGGAACCCUGCUGUAAUGUUACGGUGUCUCAUCAAGUUAAUUAUCAAUUCCAAGAUCCUCCCUCGCAAGAUUCUUCCAUUCAUUCAAUUCCAUCCACAACGGACAAAAUGAUAAUCUCCUCCUUCAUUUAUAUUAUUAUCACUUAAGCAUCACACUAUUGUUAAAUUAUUAUAUCAAAGUAUUCAACGUAAUCUUUUUUAUUAAUAAUUGAAAUUGUUAAAAAUAUGACCCAACAAGCCAACUUUAUAGAAAGAGAGUGGUUUGGCCCUAAGUACAACUUUAAACUGCUUCAUCCGAGACUUCGUGCAAAUCUCAGCAUCCUUUAGAUGUUAAAUAAGCAGUGGGUACACUAGCGUAUGUGGCUUGAAAAAGAUAUUAUACCAAUAAGAGAGGUAAAGCAUGUAGGUCCCGGCACAUAAAAAUAAGGGAUCCAAUUUAACAGUCCACCACAUUUGUCGAGGGUCGUAAACAGUUUCAGUUGUUGAAAACGACUAAUGUUGAUCAAAAGGUUUAAAAGUAAACCACGUGAUUCAUGAUAAGCAUAAAAAUCAUGUCAAGAUUGUCUUAUUGAAAUGGAAGAUUUCUUAUUGGAAUAAACAAAGAAAUUGAAAAAAAGCAUGUGAAGAGUCAAAAGUUUGACCUGGUCCACCACGAUUUGUGUUUCACGUGCAGAGAGUCUCGGCAGCCUUUUUUUUUUCUUCUUUUGUCUGCAUCGCCGAACAAGAAAUCAGCGUGAAUGUGUGCCACGAUUUGUCUUUUACGUGCAGAGUCUCGGCAGCCUUUUUUUUCUUCUUUUGUUCGCAUCGCGAAACAAGAAAUCAGCGUGAAUGUGUGCCAAAGGUCAGACCUUGGGCCCCACCAACUUUGAUUCUUCGUGCAGGGGGACGGGGGACAUCUUCGGCAGCAUCACCUCAAAGAGAAAAAUUCCUUUUUUUUUAAUUACUUCCUCGUUCGUGCAGCUUUAGCCUUAAGGAAUCCAGCGAAUCGCAUUUUGUAAACACUCAAAUUUGAGAUAUAAUUUAACAGUUUCAGUUGUUGAAAAUGACCAAUGUUGAUUAAAAGGUUAAAAGUAAACCACAGGAUUCAUGACGAGCAUAAAAAUUGUGUCAAGAUUAUCUUAUUGAAAUGGAAGAUUUCUUGUUGAAUAAACAAAGAAAUUGAAAAAAGCAUGUGAAGAGUCAAGCGCCCAAUUUGUCAUUUCGCAUCUCUUUUCCUUUUUUUUGGGGGGGGGGGGGGGGGGGGGUAAGAGGAUUCGUGACAUUUGUUUUACUUAGAGCAUUCUUUCGUAUGGCAAGAACUAGGAAAAUGUCCAUUCUGUACCAAAAAAAAAAAAAGGACAGAAGCUGGUCUCACAUGCUUAACGUGUCGACCGUUGCUGCGAAUUCAAAAACUUCAACAACCAACGUACGAGCUUCGAGCUGAAGACCGUGUGGUCUGACACUCUCGAUGGGUUUGAUCUAGAGUGGUUCGCGUAGUUUCGGAUUCAAGUUCUGGUACCUAGUCAUAUUUUAUAAUAUGUUUUCCGAAUUUUCAAAGAGAAAAUCAUUUUCCUUAAUUUAAACUUCGAUAGGAAAAUAUUUUUUCUUUACUUGGAAAGCUUUUGCUGUUGACUCAUUUUUCUAAGCAAACCAAUUACCAGAAAAAUGAGUAAGAUAUUUUCCAAUAAUUAUAUUUUCUAGGAAACAAACGGAGCUUAAAGAGUUGGUAUUGUCACCUUGAACGAACUCUUCUCAGCCUAUACCAAUUGCAAAUUUGGCAUUUUAAAUAAAUCAUUUAGACAUACAAUUUAACUUAUUUUGGAGGUGUCACUAAUCUAUUUUGCUUAAGACGAGAAGCUCCAGUCAGCAUAAGCAAAGCUUGAACUUCUGAAUUCAGUGGUCAAAGAAUAGCUAAAAGGAGACAUGAGGAAAUGAAGGGCGUAAUUAGUGACAUGCAAGAGCAUGUUUGCGCUUGGGCAUUAUGAGAAGCGUAGGUUGAGUAGGUAUCAAACGAAGAGGCGUUUUUCUUAAGGAGGUGAACGAAUGAACGGACAGGGAAGCACACGAUAGAGGGAGAUAGAAAAGGGUGAGUGCGCAUGUGGAGGAACAGAAAAGAAGAGCAAAGAAGCAUGUCACAGCCAAGAAGAAAGCAAGGUCCGGAGGGAAUAUUUGCUUAGCUUCGAAUCGGAAAUUUUGGGAAGAGUAGAUGAACAUUCACGGCCGAAGGGAGAGGAAGAAACAAUAGCAUUCUAGAAGAAAGCAAGAACACGUUUAACUAAGCAUGGAAAAAGACGAACGUGCAUGUCGGGAUGGACUUUGUGACGUCCUAAUUUUUAGGUUCUGAUUUCGAUUGGAUAAGUUGGGCUUUUCAUCAAUGCAACUAUAGUGUUUUUCUCUAAGAUAACCACUCAUGAGAUAACUGACCUAUCAAAAGAAGCUGUUAAGAAAUUUUAAUGCAAUAGACUUGAGAAUUCGACAAGGAAUCGAUUGUUCAACCAUGCUAGUCUACAAAGGUCAUUACGGUACAAUUAAAAAUCGAUCAGAGACUGGGGAUAGGUCAAUUCGACUGAGAUGGUGAUCAAAGUGUGGGUGAUUCCACCUGAUUGCAAAAUUCUUGUCGAUCGGCACUAAACCGAUUUUCUGUUGUUUUUGGUACUCUGUAUCCGUAUUUGAAACCUCGAGAUUUUCAUAACCACCGAGAGUCGCCAAUAUGUCGAAGAGGUACGUAUGGCUUGAAGAAAAUUGACAACGGGUCAAUUGCACCAAAAAUUCCUAAAAGCUACCUAGUAGGCAAUGUCACACUAAAAGCGCGUCUGAUUGAAAUUAACUGCGAAUUUGAAUUCGAUUUCAGAAAUUGAAGGUCCUGUCGUGUUACAAGUCAUUCUAGGAAUAUUGGCUCACCUUUUGAGGAAAUUCUGGCAAGUUCGAGACUUUUACAGAAAAUCGUUUUGGACGAAUCAAACAAUGCACAGAAAUUUGAAUUGACCAAUUUAAAGAAAUUUUUGGCAUCCGGUGUAAGUAAAUUGGUGAUAGGGAAUUUCGUGGGCUUUUUCCGCUUCAAAUCAGACCCCAAUCAAAGAAGUUUGUUUGAAAAAUUGGAUCCUGAGAAAAACGAAAUGAAAUUCGGAUUUGAAGGAAAUUUGUGGAAUAAAGGGACUAUCUUAUCUUGGUCUUUGUUUAGACUUCAAAUUGCACAUUUGGCAAAGAAAUUGGCCCUAGGAUGACCAAUUGGCAAGGUGAUUUGAUGUUAAUAAUACUAUUAUUUCAUUUUAAUCUUUUUCUUCCUUCUUCCCUUGGUCUCUUGCCCCUUCACGUAAACCCUCCCUUGGCCGCAUAUUAUUUCUUCCUUUUUACUUCUCUCCACAUUUUUCUUUUUCCCCCCAUGCAUGUAGACAUCCCCUCCCUCUUGGCCACACAUUUCUCUCUUUCUUUCCCCCCCUCUCUCUCUCUCUCUCUCAUUGUUGCCCCCACCGAUGGUCCCUCUGUAGAAUUCAACAUCACUUUUUCUGUUUGACCAAGCCUUCACUUAUCCAAUGAUUAAAUACCUCUCUCUCUCUCUCUCUCUCUCUCUCUCUCUCUCUCUCUCUCUUGGCCGCAUGGACGAGCUCCCUCUGUCAUUUUCUACUUUGCUUCCUCUUGCUCAUCUCACAUUUUAUUCAUUUUUGUUGGACGUGGGCUGCUCCUAGACGAGAACCACCGUCCCUCAUGCCCACCGACAACCUUCUGCCCCUUAUCUCCAUGCCAGCAUCACUUGUGGACUUCCUGUUGUUGUGACAUCCCAAAUUUUCAGUCAUAUUUUCUUUUGAAUAAAUCAAGCAUUUCAUUCAUGCGCUUAUAGGGUUGUUCUCAAAGUUGAUCACUUUCGAGAUAACUAGGCUAUUUAGGGAAGUUAUUAAGGAAUUUUAAGGCAAUAGACUUGAGAAUUCGACCAGGAAUCGACUUCUCAACCGUGCUCAUCUUUAGAGGCCAUUACGGCACAGUAUAAAAUUGAUUUGAGAUUAGAGAAAUGUCGAUUUGACUGAGAUGUGUGGCUAAUCGUGGGUGACACUACUAAAUUGGAAAAUUCUCGUCGACCGACCCUAGACUAAUUCUUUUGUCGUUUUGGUACCCUGUGUCCAUAUUUAAAUCCUCGAGAUUUUCAUGACAACCAAGAGUCGCCAAUGAAUUGAAUGGAUUCAUUGUGGCUCGAAGAAAAUCGACCAUGGGUCAUUUGCACUAAAAAUCUCUGAAAACUACCCGGUAGCUUAGGUCACGCUAAAAACGCGCUAAAUGAAAAUUAACCGUGAAUUUGAGUUCGAUGUGUCACAAUAAAUUCUAGGAACGUCGACUCAAUCUCAAAAGAUUUUUCUGCAACCCGAGACAUUUUGGGAAAAAGUCGGCAUAGAACCAUUUUUGUUCAGAAAAUGCCAAGGAUCGUUUUUUGUCGCAAAAUUGAGAUGCAAGAAGGUUAAUUGGAUGAGGAAAAAUAUCAAUUGUAGCAUUGAGGUGCCAAUUGAAAUUAUGAGGGCCAAAUGAGAUUAAUUUUAGGUAGAUCAAAUGUCCAAUUGGUGAUGAAUUGUGUCAAAUUCGUAUGCCCCCCUUAGCCUAGCCAAAAUGUACCAUUUCAAGGUUGUGAAGAGAGCCUUGUUGGCUGAAUUGCAGCCAAGGGGGAAGGCCAUGGCUGGAAAUGGUCAAAGGAGACCAUUGAAUGGAAAAACUUGGCCAAAUGGGGCCCUUGGCCCCCUUAUCCUCUUCUUCUCUCUCCCUCCCAUAGUAGCCGGCAACCAACUCCUUUCUUGCGCUCCAUUUGAGCCGUGAGAAAACUAGCAAGCCAGAGCAAAACUAGCUACAACCGUCGCAUGCACUGCCCACACCGUCGCUGUUCUUCCGUCGUUCUCUACCCCGAGUAGAAAAGCGACCCCCGCACCAUUCCCAUCGGGUUGAUCUGACCUGCGCAUUAAUCAAGUGAGUUUUGCUCACUAAUCCCUUAUUAGUAUGCUAAUGAUGCUUAGGGGUUGAUUAGAUUUAAUUAAAUGCAAUUAGGUGAAUAGAUUAAAUUAGAGUAAUUAAAUUAGAGACUUAUCAAUGUAUGUUAGGUAAAUGGUUGGUGUAAUUAGCAAUGAAAUAGGUUUUAGUAUUUAUUGAGCGAGUCUCGGUAAUUUUCCGGGCUCGUCCCGGCUUCCAAUUAGGCAUUACGGGCCUAAAUCAGAUUUAUUGCAUUUAUUUAAUAAUUUUUGUAAUUAAUUAAUUAUUUAUUUAUUUUCUGGAAAUUAGGCUAGGCUAGCCGAUGACUGAAAUUUUAUACUGAUUAUUGUGUGCAUUCCAUUUAUUUAUGUGAGCGCUAAAUCGUGCUAAAUUGAAUUAAUUAUAAUUUUAGGAUUUUAUUCCUAAUUUAUUCAAUUUUAGAAAUUUAUUGGAAAAUGACCGAGUGUGGGUCUAUAGCAUCAAUAACGUUUUGAUGGGUUAUAUCUUUAAAGUGGUGAGAAAGAAAGUUGUAUUACAUGGCUCGGAGACCAAGAAGGUUGUCCUAGAGAAUACACGUGACUUAUGGAUUUAAUAUAAAGUAAUGAGAAAGAGAGUUGUAAUACGUGGCUCAAAGACCUACAAUGUCGUCUUGGAGAAUGCACGUGGCUCGUUGAUUAAAUAAUUCACCUGUGUAUAGCACGUGGCUCGGUGAUUAGUACGUCACCUUAAAGAAUGCACGUGACUCGGUGAUUUGGUAUAUCACAUUUGAGAAUGCACGUGGCUCGGUGAUUAAGUACAUCGCCUUAAAGAAUGCACGGGGCUUGGUGAUUAGACAUGUCGCCUUAGAGAAUGCACGUGGCUCAGUAACUAGAUGUAUACCGUUGGGGAAAAUGAAUAGUAUGAAUUAAAAUGACUGGGAAAUGGUAUGAAUGACCAUGUAAUCGACUAGGUCGAUUGGUCGAUGAUUCGAUCUAAUUGAGUGAUGUGAUGUAAUCGUGUAUAUUUGAUAUAUAUAUAUAUAUAUAUACUGACUUGCAGGAAGGAAUUAAGGUCAAUGUAAGUCCUCUGACUCGUGUUGUGCUUAAGCAACCCCUAAAGUGUAUUGGCUUCCUAAUAAGGUUUUAUGGGGUAGAACUUGUUGAGACGUAGUCUCAUCCCUGUUGUGGGACAACAUUCCAGGUCUCUAGAUGGUAGCACCUCCAUCUCCUCGUCCUCCCAUGCACUUUGGUAUACCCGAAGAAGUCACUAAGAUAGAAACUCACUUCCCGAUUCAGCCCUACUAGGAAGGAUUAGAGUACGUUUUAGUUAAGUCGACCAUCUGGGCUGAUGUGGGUAAAGAUGCCUUGAGGCUCCAUGAGUAUCGGUCAUGGUAUCGCGAAUAUCAUGAUGGGUGUAGGGAAGGUCCCAUGCCAGAGGGUGAUGUACCUCUAUUCGUUUUAGAGGAAGCAUUCAGAGAAGGGACUGCGGAUCCUAAGGACGGAGUGGUGACCGAUACCAAAGACCCUAAGCUUGAGAGUGACCCCGACUCUCCCAAGCAAUCAGUAGUAGACUCUAGCUGGAGCAUGCCUGAAGGAGAGGUUGAACAAGAAGAUGUAUACCCAGAAAAGAACUGGGAGGAGGAGCCCAAGGAGGAGAAGCCUGCGGAGGAAGAACCUGAAGAGGAGGACCCUGAUGAGGAACUAGAGGAGUCCGAGGAGGAUCCCGAGAAUGAUCCAGAGUAUGACCCGGAUGAAGACUGAGACCUCACCCUAUUUUACAAACCCCAAGUUGGGAUUCGAUGUGUGACAGGUUUGGCUUGUUAAUAGUAUUGUAAUAUAUACUAUGAGGUUUGCCUAUAUAAAAAUGUGGUUGUGGUUUCUUAGUUGUGAAAAAUAUAACCCUACUUUUCUAUCCCAUUGUUUUAUUGUCUGGGGAUUGUUUUAUCUGCUUCCAUAUAUGUAUUAAAAUGAAAGUGUCGGCGAUGUGUGCUAGGACGUCGCUAUUAAUUGACCAAGGUGAGGGAUGGGUGCGUGCCUAAUGAUCGGGGCGUGACAGUUGUUGAUGGAAGCAGCGCCGCACGUCCUCCUCUCUCCGUGUAGCUCUCCACCGAACGCCGCAGCUCCCUUCUCUUCAUGCAGGAUCCCAUCGAAGCAUCCCAUUCGGUCAUCACCAGCAACAUCUCUCCACCGCCCCUCCUUCGGUUCUUGUUUGGCUGAAUGUCUUCAACGGGUCAAAUCCAGCGAAGCCGAAGCUGUUUCUUCGGUUGAUUUGUGGACUGCCAGCAGCGAUGUUGCGCGUCCCCUCCUUGUACGCGAGCCAAGCUACCCAAUAGCGCUAGAAAUGAGCCAGAUCUACACCGAUCUUUCAGCUAGGGUGGAAAGUUGCGUGGCUGAUUUCGGGCCUAUCCCGGCCCCCGUUGGUGCUACCGCUUUGUGGUUUAUCAGCCGCCGUCGUGUCCCCAUUGUUUUGAUCUAAGCGAAUCAUUAAUCGAGUGACUUUUGCUCACUAAUCCCUUAUUAGUAUGCUAAUGAUACUUAGGGGUUUGUUAGAUUUAAUUAAGUGUAAUUAGGUGAAUAGAUUAGAUUAUAGUAAUUAAAUUAGAGACUUACCGAUAUAUGUUAGGCAAUUGGUUAGCGUAGUUAGCAAGUAGACAUGCUCUAUUAUUUAUUGAACGAAUCUCGGAAAUUUUUCAGGUCCGUCUCGGCUUCCAAUUAGGCAUUACGGGCCUAAAUUGGAUUUAUUGCAUUUAUUUAAUAAUUUUCGUAAUUAUUUAAUUAAUUAUUUAUUUCCGGAAUUUAGUCUGGGAUAGUUGACGAUCGAAUUUUAUGCUGAUUAUUGUGGUGCAAUCUGUUUAUUUAUUUGACCGUUGAUUUACACUGAAUCGAAUUAAUUAUGAUUUUAGGAUUUUAUUAAUAAAUUAUUCAAUUUCAACAAUUGAUUGGAAAAUAACUGAGCGUCAAUCUAUAGCGCUAGCAAUAUUUUAGUAGGUUAUAUAAAGUGGUGAGAAAGAAAGUUGUCUUACGUGGCUCGAAGACUUAGAGUGUCGUCCUGGAGAAUGCAUGUGAUUUGUGGAUUAUAUACAUCACUUUCGAAAGACAUGUGGUUCAGUGAUUAGUACGACACCUUAGAGAUUGCACGUGGCUCAGUGAUUUGACACGUUGCCUUAGAGAAUGCACGUGGUUCGAUGAUUAAGUACAUCGCCUUAGAGAAUGCACGGGACUUGGUGACUAGACACGUCGCCUUAUAAGAUGCACGUGGCUUGGUGACUCGAUAUAUAUUAUCUUGGAGAUUGCAUAGUAUGGAUUAAAAUGAUCGGGGAAAUGGUCUGAUUGAUAUGUAAUCAACUAGGUCGAUUGAUCAAUGCUUUGAUCUGAUGCUGUGAAUUGAUGUGGUUCAUGUAUAUCUGAUAUAAACUAACUUGCAGGAAGGAAUAGAGGCCAAGGUAAACCCUCCGACCCGUGUUGUGCUUAGGCAGCCUUAUGACAUAUUGGCUUUCUAAUCGAGUCUUAGGUGAUAGAACUCGUUGAGACAUUGUCUCACUGGUUAUUGUAUAACUAUUUCAGGUCCCUAGAUAGCGGUCAUGAAGGACCGGCAGCCCUGGAGUCUAGGAAGGAGGAGAUCGAAAAAUCGGCAACGUGUCCGAUUAGUGGGUCAUAGAACCAUUACCUUUUAUGGAGCCAAUGGAUUUUGUAAACAGCCUGCUAUUGUAAAUAAACAAGUUUGUUUAUAAAAAACAUUUCGGUUGGUUUGAAAAUUUGGUCAUACUUUCCUAUCCCAUUGGGUUAUUGUCUGGGAAUUAUUUAUAUGCUUUUGCAUGUGUAUUAAAAUGAUUAGGUUGGCGAUGCGCCAUAGGACGUUGCUAUUAUAUCAACCAAGCAGGGAUGGGUGCGUGCCUGAUCGGGCUGUGACAGAUUUCAAGGAGUUCUUCCUCCAUUUUGUUUUUACAUUAAAAGGAGAUUGACGGUGAAUUAUAGAAGGGGGAAUUUCGGGAGAAAAAGAGAGGAGAGAAAAGGAGGAUUCAUUUGAAUAUACAGAUGAACGAAGUGAUUCACUCUCUCCUAGGUUAGAUGGCUACAUGAAUUGCUAAAGGCAAUGGAACAUUGAACAAAGAGAAGGAGAACCCAUGAGUAACUAAAGAUGAUCACCUGUUUCCAUCCGUCGACUGCGUUUAUCCUCAUUGAUCACUAGUUCAUCUUCACUGCCGCAAUUAGUGUCGUAAAUUCUGUCAUGGCUGUUGUUCUAGCUAGCAAUGCCGUCACCCACUGCCUGUGACGACAUUGCUUGAUGAAAUAAUUUGAAAUUGAAACACUCGCAACUCACACAUCUCAAGGAAGCAAAGGAGACAAGAUGGAUUUUUUAUUUAUUUAUUUCACCUUAUCAGAAAUUAUUACAAUACUUGCUUUUAAAUAAGCUUGUUAUAUGACUGUUACACUCAAAUGACUCAUAAAUAUAUUUAUCAUUCCAAUGAGAUAAAUCUCGAGAAUUUACGAAACAUUAACUCAACUUAGAAACACAAACAAUCAAGACAUAGAAAUAUUAAUAGACUCUUUUAAACAACAUUACAAUAAAGACUCUUCUUAACUCAUGCACAUGUAGUGGAAUUCAAAUAGACACCAACAUUAAACUUGCCCAUCAAUACAACAUUAUGAAUUUGGUUUGAUUUUUGACAUUGCAAAUGUGAACUUUGGAGCUACCCUCCUACUCUGCUUCUAUGGUGGUUUGAGCUAAAAGAUUGUUGCAUCAUUACCGUUUUGAGCUGCAGCAUCUUUGCCAAUCAAACUGCGGACCUUAUGUACAUCUAACUUCAUGGACUAGGAUGUCAAUCGAUAAGCUAGGUCCAACACUUUCGCUCUUUUGAUUCUCCAUAGUUUCGUGUGUAUGAUUUUGUAAUAGAUGGGCUCAACAAACUCAAGCCUAUCUCUCCCAAGCCCGGACCCAUUUUAAUUUUCUUCAGCAGAUUAAGUGAGACGUCUCCGACGAACAAAACAAGGAAAAACAGAGGGAGCUCAUCCUGGGCAGAAGGAGAAGAAGCAGAAAAGGAGAAAAGAGGAAAAAGUUUAGCGCCUAGCCAAUUCAGACUCCACCAUUAGCCAAAUCAACAACAAGUUGCAACACUUAGUGAGUAUUCAAGCCGAUCAUUCAUCUAAUUAGAGUAAAUUUAUGAUUUAGGGCACGAGUUCUAACUUAUGUGGACUCUAAUGGACGAUUGAGGAGCUAUUAACCUUAGAUUUAUAUGGAAAUGAUUGAUAAAGGCAUUGUGGAGCUUUGGAGUUUGUAGAAAUUCAAUUCUGAAGUACAGUGUGAUUGGAACAAUAUUAUGAAGUUUGCGUACAAGUUACACAUAAGGAAAAAGGAUGCAUGUGUGCUUUGAAUGAGGUCACUCGCGAACACAUAGAAGUCAUUUUGUCGAUGAUUAAAUGUAGUUUAGUCUAGUCGUUUGUUAGAAUUGUGUUACUCAAGUUUUCAUAUUGUUUUUCAAUUAAUUGAUAGGAAUGCAAGUGCAAUAGUUUGAAUAACCACCGUAGGUUGGUUUAUGGUUUUUUUAGGUAAAUGAUAGUAUUUCUUCUUUGAGUUUAUAAAUUCAUGUUUCAAAAAUGAAAUAAAUUAGUUAUGUUAUGAGUUAAGAACAAGCAUAUUCCUUGCAUAAAUUGGAUUUAGCAUUUACUACCAUUUGCGUAUUAGAUGUGAAAAUGUUAUAUUUUGAUUAUAGUCUAAAUUGAUUACUUGCAAAUGGGUUUACAAAGCCUUUUGGGAAAGACUCACGAGAAGUCUUUGAUUAUAAAUAAGGUUUGUGAAUGGUUAUAUAUUGAUUUGUGAACUGGUUCACGAAAUGGACUUUGAAAUAGUUUGGGAAAUGUAUUGUGAUAUGUAAGAUGUGAUUUGAUAGAGAUUAAUUAAUGGACUUGACCAUUGAUAUUUGAAUUGUAAUGGUGAAAAGUUGUGAUCUGGUUGUUAAACCUAAGUUGUAAGAUUGUAUUUUAUUUUACUUGUGGAUUUCUAGAGAUUGAGCUUGAUGGAUUAUGCUUAGUGUCUUUAUAAACCUAUUGAGGUGUGUGUGGGUAUGUGCAUACUAGUUUAGAAUAUUUUUGUGGACGGAGUAGCUAGCUGUUAAUAGGUGGAGACCUGACUAAGGAGAGAAUCUUAGUCACCUUUUUAUGAGCAUUAUGUAUGAUCAUGACUAGAUACUUGAGCAUGAGAUUGGUCAAUGGAAUGGACUAUUUAUUGGUGGAUGAAGCCAAAUCUUUUUAGGGGCUUUUUUGUCUUUUAUAUUAAUUUUUCUUUUAGGUUAAAAGCUACACCAUUAUAUUAGUGAUAGUUAGACAUUAGCAGUUAGCCAUCAAGGGGUUGAAAAGGAAAACAAAGAGAAAAGAAAAAGCGAGAAGAAAAAGUGAGUUUUUCUUUAUGAGUGUACUCAACCUUUUUGUGCCUUGAUCUUGACCAAAAAUUAUCGCUAUAUUCCAAAUUUCUUCAAAGUGCAUUCAUAGAGUGCCUUGUGCGAAAAUGUAGUCCAGGUUUGGAUGAACUUCAACAAUACAUUUUCUAGUGUGUUCUUUCGACUCUGCUCUUUAUUAUUAUAUUAUGCUUGAGUGAAUUGUUUGCAAACGUUAUUUUUCUGAAAUUGACAUGCUCUUUCCUAACAUCUAGUAUCGUAGCCUAGGUUGGCUAAUUGAGAACAUAGAGGAUUUGUUUGGUAACGUUCGAUGGGCAGGAUUUUGGAGGUGGAAACUCCAAAUUGAGAACUAUAUUUAUUAGAAGGAUCUCUAAGCACCACUUUAGGGUUGGAAACCCAAGAUCAUGGAGGUGGAUCUAGUAGCAAAAUUGGGGUGGAAAAUUGAUCGAAAUGCAUUAGAUGCAAUUCAUCUAGGGCUAACGAAAAAGAUAAGAUACCAUUGCGAAAGCAAAAACUACAAAAGAAGCCAUGGAUAUUCUAACGAAUAUUUAUGAGAAGCCAUCCACAUCAAAUAUGGUAUUCUUGUUGAAGAAGUUGGUUAAUAUGAAGUUAUUUGUGGCAAAACUUAUCAAUAGUUUCACAUAAGUCACAUCUUAGUUGGAAUUCACAAGCAUAAUGAGGAUAUGAAAUUUCAAGCAUUGUUAUUUUUAUGUUCCCUUAUAGAAAGGUAUAAUACCAUAGUGCAAGGAAUUUCAUACCCCAAGAAGGAUCAUUUGACUUUAGAUGGAUGAAGAGAUGCCAAAGAAAGUCUCAAGUGGAGAUAAUUUUUCAGCAUCUACAUCGUUGUCCCAAGGACCAAUGUCAUUUUCAAUCACACAUCCACAUCAUGAUGCAGCAAUUCCAUGAUUCAAUUUAAAAACACGUUGACGUCAGUACAAUCCAGGGACUCAACCAUCAAUCGAAUAAAUCCUUAGUCAUUUCUUAUCCCUGAGAGUACUAUAAACUCACUAGUGCUUAUAUUAUAUGAACUGUAAAAAGAAUCUCAUAUUCUAGGCCCUAAAUUAGCCUUGAAAGGUGUUAUGCGCGCCCUUAGAAAUGACAUUUGUUAUCUAGGUAAACAGGUUUAGAAAAUAACGAAACUUUAAUAUAAGAUAGACAAGACCUAGUGGGACAUUUUUCAGCGAAGGACCCAAAGUUCGAUUCAGCUAAAUAACUUUCAUGAAGGACGCAUGUUAAGAUUCUUUGACCAAAAAUUUGUGGAAAAUGGAAAGCAAAAAGAGGUUGGUUCGGCGACCUCGAAAAUAGAUUUCUAAUCAUGUAGUUUUCAAAUGUAUUUUUGUCAUAUGAAGUCCUAAAAUUCGGAUAUUAAAGUAUGUUGUAGAACGGCCAAAAAUGGACAAUUUUCCUGAAGAAUGCCUCUGAAAUUCACAUCAUAUAAGUCAGUAAAAAAUUAGCAAAAUUCAUGGUUGGGCUAAAUCGAAUCUGUCCUCAAUCCCAGCACUAAUUUCACCCAUAAAUUCAACUACCAGCCCCCGUACGUGGUAAAUAUUAACCGUCCAUGUUCCUACGACCUAACCACAAGCUCGACUACUUCGAACUCGACAAUGUAGCUAGCUAACAUAAUUGAAACUUUUGAUAAAAUGAGGAUCUAAACAAUAUUCAUGAAUUUCUAGGAAACCAUCCUCAUCACACGUAAUCGGUCGACAUAUGAUAGAACGGGAGAUAUCUACUUGCCUUGGGUCCUUAUGGAUUGUGGUGGCAGUUCGGCAGGACAGUGGGGUGGCUGAUGGUGGCGACGUGCAUGGCUGCGACGGAAAGGGAAGCUGCUAGUGGUCGCAAGUUGUAGUGGUGCGCUGGACAAAGGCUUGGGGGAGAGAGCAUGACCGUUAACUGAGGAGGGGCGGUCUUCGCUAGCUUCUAGCUUGCUAGCAUAGACAUGUAGAGGGCAACCGAAGAUGAGUGUGAGGUGAAUUGUGGCGUGACAACAGAAGAGAAAGAGGGAGGGAGCAUGUAGUGUUUGAAGAGGGAUUAAGGAAGCAGCUUCUGCUCCGAGCGAGGAUGGGUAGAGUUUUUGUUAUACUCUGUUUUUGCCUUCUCGCUGUUGUUCUGGAGUUGGGCAGCACCGUUGCUCGAGUUGGUCGUCGUGAUUGACUUGAGCGGCAUUGCUGUUGGUGGCAAAUGGAAGAAGGGCCAACCGGUCAGGCGUGUCUUGUAGGGAUGCGGCCAGGUGGUGGCAUGCGGAGGUGCCGAGUUGGCAAGCUGGCAUGGCAUUGCCGUGGCGGUGCGGUGGAAGUUUGCCAAUGCCGGAAACUACUAACGUGAGAAACUACUAACGUGAGGCACGAUGGAUCCGGUGUUGAAAUUCAAUAGUGGGCUUGGCAAGUACGAGGUGACGGUAGGACCUAGUGGCUUGUUUUAAUGGCGGUUUAAGACACGGCACUAAGUGAGGGAGUGGUGGUGGCGCGUUGCGACAAUGUCAACUUGACCGACUGAGGCGUCUUGAUGGUGCCGAAGACGAGCUUACUUGCGCCGCAUGAUUGUCAAGUAUUUGAGGCUUGUUAUUUUGUCGAGGGAAAUUUUGGAUGCCACACUCCCCAUCCCUAUGAUUAUGCAUCACCAUAAAAUUGACAAUUCGUUUAUACAACUUCCAAUUUUCAUCAAAAAAAUGUGCAGUGAGGCAUAAAUAAUUCAGGUUUUGAAUGGAACUUCAUGUAUCAGUCGUGAGUGUAAUCCUAAAUUAAAGACAAGGUGGGCUCAUUACUUCAGAACAAAACUUGGGAGAUGACCAAGUUGCCUAAAAGUAAAAAGGCCUUAUUAAACAAUUGAUAUUAAACAAGUGAGUGUAUAGGAUAAAAAAUGAAGCAAGUGGUGGUAUUAGAUGCAAGGUGAGACAUGUGGUCAAGAGCUUUUCAAAAAAAGAAUGGAUUGACUACACCAAGAUAUUUCACCAUAGUUAAAAUGACAUCAGUCAGAGUUCUACUGAGUAUAGUUGUAGUGGAGGAUCUUCAUCUUGAGCGGUUAGACGUAAAAACGACAUUUUUACAUGGUGACCUAGAUGUAGACUUAUACGGCGCAAUCUAAUCGUUUUGAAGUCAGAGAUAAUGAGCACAUGGCAUGUCGCUUGAAGAAAAGCUUGUAUAGCUUGAAACAAGCUCCACAACAGUGAUAUUUAAUUGAUGGUUUUAUGGAAGAAAACGGAUUUGCUCAUUGUGAGGUUGACCAUUGUGUUUAUUUUCGCAAAUAUGACGAUGGUGAUAUUGUGUUUCUCUCUUUAUUUUUAAAUGACAUGUUAACUUUUAAUUGAUGGUCCAUGAACUUUUUGUAUUUAUUCGAUAUAAUCCAUAAACUAUAUAAAAAUGUUUAAUGUAACUAUCAAUCAAAAUUCUAUAUGAUACACAAAUUAUGUAAUUUGUAUAUUUGGUUGUAAUUAUCUUGUGGUGCACGGAAAAGUUACUCCCCUAUACACAAUGUUUAUGUCACGUUCACAUGUAAUGAGCGAUUUGAAAUGUCCACAUUCGUCAAUUACUUAUGACAUUGCAAGACUAAGCAAGUGAGACACCUUGCAAUAAGAAAGAAGAUGUAUGCCUCGGAUUGAUUAAAUCAUAGGGACCGAAUGGACAGGAAGAAAACACACAAGGAACAUAAGGUUUUAAUUCAAUAGGACAAACAACAACAAUCGACAGUGCUGAUGAGGCAUGUUAACGAUACUCACAGAAGAAGAACAAGAAGAAUCAAAGGAGAUUAAGAUGGUUAGGGGUCAAUGGCUUGAAGACGGUGGGAGCGUGGGACUCAAUGAAGGCCACCUGAGACCUGGGGAGGUGAAGGUAGGCCACCCAAUCCCCAUUGGAAAGCAAGCUGGGCAUGGGCAUAAUGAACCCGGCUUUGCCUCCCCAUGGGAAGUGGUAGGACCCUAGCACUAGCUUCCCCCACUCAAAGUCCAUCUUGGUCACUGGGAACCUCUGUUCGGAUGACACCACGAGCACCGUCCACCCUUCCUCCUCCACCUUGCUGUCGGGCUUGCAGAAUAUCCUUACCAAUGCUGGCAUUCGCCGGUGUUCUUCCACCCAAUCUAUCAGGUCUAGAAAGUGCUCCUUCGUUGCUGCCCUAUCCACAAACUCAUGCCUUGGUGAGAUUUAAGAUUAGUUCUACACGCUCUAGACAUACCUUUGGUAGCUUACCCUGAGAAGUUAUCAAAUAACAUAUUGACCAUAUAGAACAAUGUUAUUUCAAUAAAUAAUUAUAUAUGUCCGAACAUGGAACGCAUGAUUAACAUAGAGACUGCGAAAAAGGUGAUAUCCAUUAUCUAAUUACUUCAUAUGAGACUUACUAAAGAGAGGAGAGAUUAUUUAAGAGUCUUAGGAUGUAUUUGGUAACCAUUCUAUUUCCAGAAACAAUUUGCACUCGAAAAUAGUUUUUUUUUUUCUGAUUCUGCUCCCUAAAAAAGUUUCUAAGGGUGCGCAUGACAAUCAUUUUGUUCUAGAAAUAGUUUCUAGAAUAUAAAUAAAUUUUUCUAUUUCUAUUUUUAGAAGAUUUUUUAAGUAAAAAUAACCGUUUGAUAACGAUGCAAAAUUUCUAUUGUAUAGAAAUUCAUUUAAUAAUGACAUAAAAUUUCUUUCUUUCAAACGGUAGUGGACCGGCGGCGGCAGCAGCCGACAACUGGCGGCAGCGACGUGGCGGCCGGUGAUUGGCAGCAGCAGCAUGGCAGUCAGCGACUGGCGGCAGCGGCGGCCGGCCGACUGGCAACAAUCAACCAAUGGUGGUCAACGGCAACAAAUGAAAGACUGGUUGACGAAUGAUGAGAAAUUUUUUUAUUUUUCAUUUCUGUUCCAGAAAUAGAGAAGUAGAAAAUUUCUACUUUUGAUUUCUAUUCCAAACCUAUUUCUUGAAUAGAAAUCUAUUACAGAAAUAAAAAAACGGAAUAAGUUUAUCAAACGGAUUUCUAUUCCAAAAACAGAUCCGGAAUAGAAAAAUUAUUGCCGGAACAGAAAUAUGCAGUUGUCAUGCAUCCCCUAAGUAUUCAAAUGUGUUUGAUCAUUGCAUAAAUUUUUAUUCCCAAAAUAUUAAAAGAACAUCAAUGCGUUUUGUACGAUCCUCAAACCUUUUUUAACCUUUUUUUUCUAUGAAGUAAAAUGUCUUUCAAUUUUUUAAUAAUUUUGUGAGAUUUUUCGUUUUUUUUUUACUUUGUUCUUCUUCCUCCUCUAGCUAAACGCUAGGCCUUGGCAAUGGUUAGUAACCAACCAAAGACAAGAGCUAGCAACCUCGUUAGCCCCCAGGGAGGUUGGCCUAGCUACCAACAAGGCUCGACCUCACCCAAUCAAGGCAAGGCCAACCUUGUUGAGGGCCGGCGAGGUCACUGGGCCUCAUCUCUGAUUGGUCAUUAGCUAGUUGCCACCAUUGCCGAGCCCUACAAUUAGUUAGAGGAGGAAGAAGAAGAAAAGGAAAAAAAAAAUGAUUUGGUUUUAGAAAUUGUUCCCAAAAACAAAAAAUUAAUUUUUUUCAAUUUCUUAUUUCUAUUUCAAAUCUAUUCGAUGGUCACUGAUUUAUUCCCGUGAAUAGAAAAAUUAGCUAAUGUUAUCAAAUGAAUUUAUUUUCUUUUUUUAUUUUGAGAAAUAAAAGAAUAAAAAUAAUCAAGGAUUGACCGGUCAUCUAAUAAGACCUUAAAAUGUUUCCCAUGAAGUCGAGGGUAAAAGAGAGAUCCCACCUCUGCCACAUAUAUUUGAAUUAUUUUGUGCUUGAGGGCACUAGGAACCCACGCCAUGCCAUUACGGUCUCAAUAAAUUAAUGAUUGCUUUUGAGGUCCACCUUCGCAAUAUUUUUCCACUCAUUCAAUUCGGUCCAUAAAAAAAAAAAAAAUGAUAGUCUCCUCCUGCGCUAUAUUAUUAUCGCUCAUCUAUCAUGCUAUUAUUAUCUCGCUAUUCUCUAUGGACUCAAUGAGCCAAUGUAUAAUCUCAAUGAUCACACAAGUAAACGAGAGAAACUCGUGCAAAGUGUGAGAUUCUUUUUCCUUUCAAUAUUUAGGUUCAAUUUAUUUCGGAAAAAAAUAUAAUAUUUCUGAAAAAUAUUUUUCAAGGAAUCACUUUUGAGGAAAUGACUAUUUUAUAGUGCUUAGCUAAAAAAUGAAAAUGAAUUAGAAAAUAUUUUCCACCGUUUGGCAUGGAAAUUGAUUUUCUUGGAGAAAAUUAAUAUAUUCAAUUAUUUUUUCCAUUCUUUUUAUCUUUUUCCUUCUUCCUUGACCAAUCGCUGGCCAUAGCGGCAAUUGGCUAGGCUCAUGCUCUCCAAAUUCCAGCAAGCUUGAGCCAUGGCUUGCCUGCGAUGGGUUGUCGCCGUGGUGGUUGAGUAAGAAGCGAAAAAGAAAAGUAGAAAGAAAAAUAAUAAAAAAUAAUUUAAAGUUUGAAUUUUGAAUUUUUUUUUUUUUGCAAUAUUUUAAUAAGAGCAAACAUUUCAUCAACCAAGGACUCGAGUCCAAGUGCCGAAGACCGAUGUCGAUAUAUAGUCAUAUUUUGGAAAAUGUUUUUCAACCUUUUAAGGAGGAAAUCAUUUUCCCAAAUUUUAGUAUAGAUUUUUUGCUGACUAGGAAAACAUUUACCAUUGGCUCAUUUUCCUAAGCAAACCAAAUGAUGGAAAAAAAUGGAAAAUGUUUUUAAUAAAAUAUUUUCCACGAAACAAAUAGAACCUUAGCAAUAAAUCUUUCUACAUUGUUAUGUUUUGUAUGAGAAAUCAUUGAUGUACUUAUGCUCUAUUUGUUUCACAGAAAAUAUAAUAUUUCUAGAAAAUCUUUUCCAAAAGGUCAUUUCCCAAGAAAAUGAUAACGUUUUAUGGUGUUUAGUUGAAACCUUAAAAUGAAUUGGAAAAUAUUAUUCACCAUUCGGUAUAUAAAAUAUAAUUUCAUUUUUCUAAGGAAAAUUACUACUAAAUUCAAUAUUUUAAAUAAUACUUUGAAUUUAUUAAUUUUCUUUCUUCUUUUUUUUGUUUUCCCUUCUUUCUCAGCUUGUCACUGGCCAUGGUGACGAUUGGUGAGGCUCAAGCUUGCUAGAUUUCGAUGAGCUAGAGACUUUUUAGUGGUCAUUGAGGUGUCUAGCAAGCUCAAGACUUGCCAAAUUUCCACAAGACUGGAGCUCCCCAGAAUUUGGUGAGCUCAAGCUCAAGUCUCACCGACCUUUGGUGAGACUCAAGCUAGCUUAUGGCCAUUCGAUGAUUGUUGGUGUGGCCCACAAUUGGCCAAAAAGAAGCAAAAUAAAAAAAAUUAAUUGAAAAUUCAAAUUUUUAAAUAUUUUUAUAAGAAUGAACGUUUCAUAAACAAGAACUCAAGCCCGUGUACCGAAGACCCACACCAAUACCAAAUCAUAUUUUGAAAAAUGUUUUAUGAUCUUUCAAAGACAAAAUCAUUUUCCUGAAUUUCUUGUCUGAUUUUUUUUUUUUUGAGUCAGAUUUAAGCAUAGUUUUCCAUUAACUCAUUUUCUUAAAAGAACUAAACGCUGGAAAAUAUUUUUCAUGAAACAAACAAAGCCUUAAUCAUAGAUUAUGCUAUUAGGCGUGAUCAAAGUCCAAGCAUUAUUCUUCUUUUUGAACAAUGGUAGAGGGUAUCCAAAUCGAUCAGUCAAAUUUGCACACUGAGUGAUGUAAACAAUUAGUUUAUAUUCAAUGCCUAUUGAAAACACUUCAAUAUCGAUGAAAAAUCAAUUUAGUGAACCGUUCUAAGUAAAGUUGGAAAAUUCGACUAAUAGACUACAUGCAGAAGAUGCACUAUUUUGUUCGACGCUAGUUAUGCAUAAAUAAAAGAUUUAAGAAAAACACUAUAGAUUUAGGUGAAACAAAGAUGAAAAUGGGUGCGAUUGCUUAUACAGUAAUAUGAUCUUAGAUGGAUAAAUGAUAUAUAGUGAGGUUGUAUCUAAUAUCAAUACCUGAACAGCAAGCACGCCUCGCUUCUUUGUGGGCACCAGUUUCCCUUCAAUGGUGUCAUCUGGAUUAUCCAGGUUGAGAUGGCGGAGUUCCAUGUCUGCGAAAGCUUCGAUGAAGCCGACCCCCGAAUUGUUGCAUAGGAGCUCAGGCUCACCGGCUGAGUUUUGCACCACCUCUCUGACGAGAGCAUAGUAGGAGACCAAAGCUUGGGCCAAGGCAGCUUUUAGAACACCAACCACAGACCCAUAUUCCAGCCUCUAUGAUGCGAUGGUGAUUGGAUUGGUGUAGUAGAAGAAGACGCCUACGUCGAGUAUGAUAAGGCUAGUAAGGACACCUAGAGGGGGGUGAAUAGGUGUUAAAAGAUGUUUUUGCAAUACUUAAUAGAUUAACUCGUCUUUUGAGGAUAAUAGAGUGAAGAUGUAAAAGACUACAAAUAGUUAUAUAAAGCUACGAAUUAAAGUAAAGAGUUCGGGGAAAGAAAAUUGAAACACAAGAUUUAUAGUGGCUUGGCUUAGACCAAGCCUACGUCCACUCUCCCGCAUUGACAGCCUACUGGCUAGAUUUCACUAAGAAUCAAAAGAGAUUUUACAGUCUCACAUCCUUAAUUCAAUAGUGUAGAAACUUUACUACACUUCCUCAAGGUCUCACAAGUAUUUGAUCUCUCUUUUGAGCACAACUUAAGCUUAGCGAUUGAAAUAUCAAUGAACUAAGAGCUUCAAACUUUGGAAUUUUUCUUUCACGCACACACUCAAAUAACUUGAGCGUCUUCCUUAUAUACUCCUCCAUGCCUUUAUAACCGUUGGUACUUUCCAAAAGAGUUCUUCCAAUCUACCCAUUGGACAGAAUCAAUCAAAGAGAUCUCGAGUUAUUUAAGGAAUGUGAUGAUAGCCUACCAAUCCUACUUGCUCAUACAAUCAGGAUCUAGGUUUCCAUAAGUAGAACUUGAUAUAGCUAGUAUGAGUACCUAGAGGGGGUGAAUAGGUAUAUAAAGGAUUUUUCUUGAUAACUGCACAAUACUAGACAGUUGAUAGAUUUGAGACAAACGAUAAUCAAAGUAAGACUGAGAGAAGAGAAAAUUGAACACGCGGUUUAUAGUGGUUCGGCUUAUGUCAAGCCUAUGUCCACUCUUCUGCACUGAUAGCCUAUUGGCUAGAUUCCACUAUGAACAAAGAGAUGUUACAGUGUUGUUCUCUCUUGCUUUCUCGGUGUAGAUGAUCUACCACACUCGCUCAAGGAAUCACUAAGUAUAGACACUCUUUGUGUGUACAAUUUUGCUCAAAAUGUAUCGACUGAUAAUCAAGGUACUUCAGACUCUGGAAUUUCUCUAUCGAUCAUGCACUAAAGUAACUAGAACGUCUUCCUUUUAUACUCCUUUAUGCCAUCAUACCCGUUGGCACUUACUAAAGGAAUUCCUCCAAUCUACCCGUUGGACGGAAUCAAUCAAGAAGAUCAUUCAAGCUAUUAAAGGAACCUGACAAUAGCCCAUCAAUCUUGUUCGCCCAUACAAUCAGGAUCUUGGUUUCCAAGAAUAGAACCUUCCAAGAAUAUUUCGUCGACCAUCGGAUCUUCAAACGAUCUUGAAUACGAAUAAAAGAAUCCGUUAUAUUUAUCCAGCCAAGAGAUCUUCUCCAGAGGAUAAGACCAAAUCCUCAACCAAAUACUUUGGCUUUGGAUUGCCUUCGUCACUGGAUUAGAAGAACUGUCAAUGAGAAUAGUCUUGAGUCUUGAGUCUGGUGAUCCGAAAGUCUUCAGACUCUAAACCGAAGGUCUGUACUUAUCCAGACUAGACUGAUAGAAAUGUUUUGUCAGCUUCAAAAUAUUCUGGAAAGAUUUCUCCAACAAUCUCCCCCUUUUUUAUGGUGACAAAACUUUCCUGUAGAUUUGAACAACUUUGACCUACAAAACAUUACUCAAGCAAUAUGGCUAUCUCAUAAAGAUUAAUAAAUUAACCAGACUCUGCAUCCACAGAAAAUUGGUUAGUCUUUCAUGAGUAAGACCAUACAACAAUACUUGAUAUAAAUGCAAACAGUCAAAGAUCAAAAUCCACACAAGUCAGUCAAAUUCAAGUUCACACCCAAGUCAUACUCAAAUAUUCAAACACGUCUCAAAGUUUAAAGUUAAAGAGUUUAAAGAGUUCAAAUUGCAAUUCUCCCCCUUUUUGUCAUCAUUAAAAAGGUGAGAAAUGAGUCAAGUCUUUUUGGGAACGCGCACAAUCUGGAAGUCUCCCAUCGAUUGGACGAUGCCUUCCAGCCUCUUCAAGUCUUCCCGAAGAUGAGCCACCUCUUCUCCUUUGGCAUUGGCUUGAAUUUGAAGAGCGAGGUCUUUCAUUUGAUCUGCCAGGGUAACAGAAGAUGCUUGUCCAGCAUUCUUCAUGACUUGAAGUUCACAUUCCAGAGCAUAGAUUUGACCCUGCAUUUCCAGAAGAACAUCAAGGAUACAACGAAAAUCUGCUGUAUUGUCCGUCUGUGUGCUCGCAUUUGCUUUUUCGGAUGGAGUGAAGGCAGACGAUGGAACUUCAGCGUAAUCGAGCAGAUUUGGUGUUGACGUAUCAUGUCCUUCCUCAGGCAUUUGAGAAGCCUGAAAAUCUUCUGGAUUUGCUGGUGAGCGACUCACACCUUCACUGUUGACAGCAUGUGGUGUAGUCCUUCCUUGCUCUCCAUCUCCCCCUGUCUCUAAGACCUCUAUUGGGGAAGUGUUAAGGUCAUGCUCUUCUGCGCCUUGAUUCCCUUCCUCUACAGCUUCAUCUGCAGACUUUUCUUUUUCUGCUUCUCCUUCUGCUUCAGCUUCUUUUUCUUUCUCUUGUUGCUCCUUUGCUUCUCUGUUCUUUGAUUGUCCCUCUUCUUCUCUCUGUGGUCCCCUGUUUGCGAUUCUUGAAGACUUUCUCGAGGAAGACAUUCUUUCUUGUCGUUGAAAGAUUCCUUUACUCGCUUUCCCAAGAAAAAAUGACAACUUUCUCGAAGAUAAACACGAAGUAGAAACAGGAUUGGGAGGAGAAUGCUUUUUAGGGUUUUGAAGAUUGAGCGAGAAAAACUGUAUAUAUAUAUAUAUAUAUAUAUAUAUAUAUAUAUAACUCAGUUUAAAAAGGAAAAACCAAUCGGCACAAAGGAAAAUGAACAGACGCCUUUUUUUUUUAAAUCAAUAACUGCCAAAUAGAAGUUAAUCUUUUUUAAAAGACAAGAUUCAGUUUUUCACGGAAAUUAUAAAUUAACUGAAUUAAUGAUCGUACCUUUUCGAGAUUGAAUAUAAUAACAACUUACAGUCUAUAGCCAUGUAUGUCUAAGUAUGAGGGUUGGAGAGUCUCUAGACUUUAACUUCCUCAAGCUUCAAAAUGUUGAGUCUGGAACGGAUGAAAUCGAAUUGAUUUUUCUCCAAAGGCUUUGUGAAUAUAUCCGCUAGUUGAUUUUUUGAAUCAACAAAUUGAAUUGAGAUUUCUCCAUUUUGAACAUGAUCUCUAAUGAAGUGAUGGCGAAUCUCUAUAUGCUUUGCUCUUGAGUGAAGAAUUGGAUUUUUAGUGAGAUUGAUUGCGCUGGUGUUGUCACAUCUAAUCUCUGUGCAUGAGUCUUCAAUUUCAAAGUCUUGUAGCUGUUGUUUUAUCCAUGGAAUUUGCGAACAGCAACUUCCAAGAGCUACAUACUCUGCUUCUGUUGUUGAAAGAGCCACAGUGCUUUGUUUCCUUGAAAACCAAGACACUGUCCUGCUUCCAAGCAACUGGCAAGUUCCCGAAGUGCUUUUUCUAUCAACUCUGCAACCGGCCAAAUCUGCGUCUGAAUAUCCUUGAAGAUUAAAGUCUCCCUUCUUAGGAUACCAAAGACCGAUGCUUGAAGAUGUAGCAACAUAUUUAAUAAUACGUUUCGCAGCACUGAGAUGGGAUUCUCUAGGAUCUGAUUGAAACCUAGCACAGAUGCAAACACUCAACAAAAUGUCAGGUCUAGAAGCAGUAAGAUAAAUAAGUGAACCAAUGAUGCUCCUAUAAAGCUUUUGAUCAAUUUUUUUCCCUUCUUCAUCUUUGUCUAUCUUCAAAGAACUUGACAUUGGUAUGUCGGUCUUUUUGCACUUUUCCAGUCCAAACCUUUUGACAAGAUCGUUAGCAUAUUUUUCUUGAUAAAUAAAAGUUCCUUCCUUCAAUUGUUUUACUUGAAGACCAAGAAAGUAUGUUAACUCUCCCAUCAUACUCAUUUCAAACUCAUCCUGCAUAGACUUAGAAAAUUUCUUGCACAGACUUUCAUUAGAUGAUCCAAAAAUAAUAUCAUCAACAUAUAUUUGAACAAGUAAGAAACUUUUGUUUUCCUUUUUGAUAAAUAAAGUAGUAUCUACUUUACCUUUGACAAAACCAUUCUGUAUUAAGAACUUACUUAGCCUGUCGUACCAAGCUCGAAGUGCUUGCUUUAAACCAUACAAAGCCUUUUUCAGUUUGAAGACUGAGUCUGGCUUCUUUGGGUCUUCAAACCCUGGUGGUUGUUCCACAUAAACUUCCUCAUGUAUAAAUCCAUUUAGGAAGGCGCUUUUGACGUCCAUUUGAAAUAACCUGAAAUUUUUAUAACAAGCAAACGGAAGUAAUAGUCUAAUAGCUUAUAACCUUGCUACUGGCGCGUAAGUCUCAUCAUAGUCUAUUCCUUCUUCUUGCGUAUAUCCCUUGGCCACGAGUCUUGCUUUUUUUUGUACGACUUUUCCUUUCUCAUUCAUCUUGUUCCUGAACACCCAUUUAGCUCCAAUAACAGUUUUACCUUUUAGUUUGGAUGUCAAUUCCCAGACAUCAUUAAUGUUGAACUGUCUGAGCUCUUCUUGCAUAGCUUCAAUCCAGCUUUCAUCAGAUAAAGCUUCUUCUAUGCUCUUUGGUUCAAUUUCAGAAACGAGAGCCACAGCACUAGACUCUUCUCGCCUUUUGGAUCUGGUGUGAAUUCUUUCAUUAAUUUCGCCGAUAAUGAGAUCUUUGGGAUGACUGGACUUAUGCUUCCAGUUACUGGUUGAUUUGUCUGGUUGAUGAUCUCUUUCUUUAUUUGAAUCUUCACAAACAGCUUGAUGCUGGUCUUCCAGAGUCUGAGAUGCUUCUUGAGUUGUAAGCUUUGGAGGGUCUGGAGCAGGUUCAGACUCUUCAUGAUGAGUCCGACUGGAUUCAUCUUGCGUAGAGUCUUGAAAUUUGACAUUCAUUGACUCCUCCACAGACUGGCUCUUCUUGUUAUAGACUCUGUAGGCUUUGCUUGAUGUAAAAUAUCCAAGGAAGAUGCCUUCAUCUGAUCUUUCUUCAAACUUACCAACUCGAUCUUUUGCAUUUUUCAAUAUAAAGCAUUUGCAACCGAAUACAUGAAAGUAUGAAACAAUAGGCUUCUUAUCUUUGAAUAACUCAUAAGGGGUUUUCUCUAGAAUAGGUCUUAAGAAGACUCUAUUGAUGAUAUAGCAUGCUGUUGAAAUAGCUUCAGCCUAAAAUCGUGAAGAAAUCUUACUUUCAAUUAAAAGAGUUCUAGCCAUUUUUUGAAGAGAUCUAUUUUUUCUUUCCACAACUCCAUUUUGCUGAGGAGUAUAUGGAGAGGAGAACACAUGCUUAAAACCAGAUUCAUCACAAAAUUUUGUAAAGUCUUAAUUUUCAACUUCACCUCCAUGAUCUGUUCUUAUACUUGAGAUAACAUACCAUUUUUCAUUUUGAACCUUUUUAGCAAAUUUUUCAAAAUAUGAGAAGGUUUCAGACUUACUUACAAGGAAAUAUACCCAAGUAAAAUGGGAGUAAUCGUCCACAAUUACUAGGCAAUAUUUCUUACCUCCAAUGCUCUGGGUUCUGGUUGGUCCGAAGAUAUCCAUAUGCAGCAGCUGUAGAACAUGAUUAGUAGAGACAUGAUUUAUUGGCUUAAAUGAAUUUCUUACCUGCUUUCCCAGAUUGCAUGGAGUGCAUGGAUCAAUCUUUUGGUAAGGUAAUUUGGGUAGACCUCGAACAAGCUGCUUUGAUGAAAUUUUGGCUAAUUGCUUCAUGUUGACAUGACCAAGCUUUUUGUGCCAUAAGCUUGCUUCGUCUUGAAUUGAGAUUAGACAUUGCGAUUCAUUUGGUUUCACAUCCAGAAGAUAGAUAUUUCCAUGUCUUCGACCCAUGAAAGACUGAGUAGAGUCUUUACUGAUUCUAGAACAUAUUCAUUCUUGAAAGAAGAUCUUAAAACCAGUAUCACACAAUUGACUAAUGCUGAGAAGAUUGUAAUUGAGUCAUUCCACUAGGGAAACAUUACUUAUUGUGAGAUUUCCAAUUUUCACAGUUCCAAAUCCCACAAUACUUCCUUUGAUGUUUCCUCCAAAUGAAACUUUUCCACCAUUUACUUGAACAAGCUUUAUGAAGCAAUUUGAGUCUCUUGUCAUGUGUCUUGAGCAUCCACUAUCAAGAUACCACUUCACAUUUUUCUUGACGGAGACCUGCAUUUAAAAUAGAGUCUCAAGCUUUCUUUGGUACCCAAACUUUCUUGGGUCCUUUGGUGUUAGUAAGAUAAGCAGUAUUAGCCCAUGCUUUCUUAACAGGUUUCCAAACCAUAGGACACUCUUUUUCAAAGUGAUCCAGACUGUUGCACUUUGAACAUCUGAGAGCAUUUCGACCUACAGACUUUACAAAAACUUUCUUGAAAUGAUUUUUGUAAGCCUCUCUCGAGGGUCUUUUCUUAAUUCUUUCUUUUACUUUAGGAAAAUCAAUCAAGGGAAUUGUUUCUGCUGUCAUACCUAGACCGGACUUAUUGAAGUAAGGUCUUUGAGCUGAAAGAAUUUUUUCAAGUUUUUCGGACCCUAUUGAAAAUUUCUUUGAAAUAUUUGAUAUGUCAGUUUUUAAAAGAGCAUUUUCUUUCAAAAGAUUAUCUUCAUUUUCUUUAAGAGAGGAAACAGUCAAGUCUUGACUUUUAACUCUUUCUUCUAAAACAAUUUCCUUUUGUUUUAGAGUUGAGUUUUCCUUCUUAAGUUCUGAAAUUCUUUUGAGAGAAGUCUUAUUACUAAAACACAGUUCAUCAAUGUAUUNNNNNNNNNNNNNNNNNNNNNNNNNNNNNNNNNNNNNNNNNNNNNNNNNNNNNNNNNNNNNNNNNNNNNNNNNNNNNNNNNNNNNNNNNNNNNNNNNNNNAUUACUUGCCUCAAAUUCACUGUCUGAGUCUGAUCCAGAGUCUGAGUCUGAUUGUGCCAUUAGACAUAGGUUGGCAUUUCAUUAUCACUUUCUUCACACUCUGUAUCACUCCAGGUUUCGGCUUUGAGAGCUUUUCGAAACUUUUCAGCUUUUCCUUUCUUCUUCUUCAGAAGAGGACAAUUGGGUUUGAUGUGUCCCUUUUUCUUACAUUCAAAGCAAACUACAUCUUUGUUUGGUUCCUCAUCAUCAACAGACUUAGUCUGCUGUCUUUGAAAGCUUUGUUUCUUUGAGUUGAACCUUCUUCCUUUUCUAUUCAGUUUUCUGAAUCUUCUUAUCAUGAGGGCAAGCUCCUCAUCGUCCAUAUCAUCUUCAGAAUUUGUAUCAUCAGAAUCAUCAUUUGAUUUUAAUGCAAUAGAUUUCUUACCUUUUGGAUCUUCAUCAUCAUUGAUCCGUUCCACUUCAUAAGACUGAAGAGUUCCAAUCAGCUCGUCGACAGAUAAUGGCAUAAUCUUUGCAUCUCUCUUAUUGAAGUCUUUAUGUGAUUCCAAUCCUUGGAGAGUCCACGCAGUAGCUUGUUUACCUUCAUGGGAUCAGAAAUUGCUUGUCCUUGAUUCUCAAGACCAUUGACAAUAUCUGUAAAACGGCUAAACAUGUCAGUUAUAGAUUCUCCUGACUUCAUUUUGAAGGCUUCAUAUUGACCGAGGAGAAUGUUAAUUCUGGUUUCCUUCACUCGAUCUGUUCCUUCAUAGGUGAUAUGUAAUCUGUCUCAAACUUCUUUUGCUGUAACACAAGAAGAUAUUCUAUUAUAUUCAGUUGGUGACAAAGCACAAUAUAAAGAGUAAAUUGCUUUUGCAUCGAGUGCUUGUCUCUUGAUUAUCUCUUCUUGAGUCAUUCCGCUGGUCUCAACAGUUUCUUUCCCUCUUUUAGAGACUGAUGCAGCUGUAGGAGUAAUUCUUUUUUCUACAACGUCCCAUUCCAAAGGAUCCUUUGAUCAUAGGAAAGCUUUCAUCUUGUUCUUCCAAAUGUUGUAAUCCUUUCCAUCAAAGUAGGGUGGUCUGGUAUUGCUUUUCCCUUCCAUCAGCCCUGGUGCUAACAUACUAGCCAUGGAUCUUUUACUCUGAAGCAAAACACUUCAAAUAAAAUAAGUACACGAGCUCUGAUACCAAUUGAUAUAGCUAGUAUGAGUACCUAGAGGGGGUGAAUAGGUAUAUAAAGGAUUUUUCUUGAUAACUGCACAAUACUAGACAGUUGAUAGAUUUGAGACAAACGAUAAUCAAAGUAAGACUGAGAGAAGAGAAAAUUGAACACGCGGUUUAUAGUGGUUCGGCUUAUGUCAAGCCUACGUCCACUCUUCUGCACUGACAGCCUAUUGGCUGGAUUCCACUAUGAACAAAGAGAUGUUACAGUGUUGUUCUCUCUUGCUUUCUCGGUGUAGAUGAUCUACCACACUCGCUCAAGGAAUCACUAAGUAUAGACACUCUUUGUGUGUACAAUUUUGCUCAAAAUGUAUUGACUGAUAAUCAAGGUACUUCAGACUCUGGAAUUUCUCUAUCGAUCAUGCACUAAAGUAACUAGAACGUCUUCCUUUUAUACUCCUUUAUGCCAUCAUACCCGUUGGCACUUACUAAAGGAAUUCCUCCAAUCUACCCGUUGGACGGAAUCAAUCAAGAAGAUCAUUCGAGCUAUUAAAGGAACCUGACGAUAGCCCAUCAAUCAUGUUCGCCCAUACAAUCAAGAUCUUGGUUUCCAAGAAUAGAACCUUCCAAGAAUAUUUCGUCGACCAUCGGAUCUUCAAACGAUCUUGAAUACGAAUAAAAGAAUCCAUUAUAUUUAUCCAGCCAAGAGAUCUUCUCUAGAGGAUAAGACCAAAUCCUCAACCAAAUACUUUGGCUUUGGAUUGCCUUCGUCACUAGAUUAGAAGAACUGUCAAUGAGAAUAGUCUUGAGUCUUGAGUCUAGUGAUCCGAAAGUCUUCAGACUCUAAACCGAAGGUCUGUACUUAUCCAGACUAAACUGAUAGAAAUGUUUUGUCAGCUUCAAAAUAUUCUGGAAAGAUUUCUCCAACAGAACUUUCCAAGUAUACUUUGCCAAUCGACAGAUCUAAUUAUCCAAAUUGAUUUCAAUAAGAAUAUUUGAUCAUGAGAUGCUAUCUCCAGCCAUAAGAUCUUCUUCAACCAUACCAACCAAAUCCUUAAAGAUAAACUCGCAUUUGAAUAAAUCUUCUCUUCAUCGGUCUAGAAACUAUCAGUGAGGGUAGACUUUAAAUCUUGAGUCUGGAAGUCUUCAGACUUUGAUGAUAGAGUCUACAAGCCUUCAGACUAUACUGAUGGAAACGUUUUGUCAAUUUCAAAAUAAUAAAGAAGUUUUCUCCGACAAUCUACGCCAUUUUGAUGGUGACAAAACUUUCCCGCAAAUUUGAACACUUUUGUUCUGCAAAAUAACACUUAAGCAAAACAAGAUAUCUCAUAAAAUAUAAGAAGAUUAGGACAUGGAUAGUAAUGAUUUUGCAACCAUAGAAAACAUGUUAGUCCUGCAAAAUAACUAUCCUUCCAUAAUCAUUAUCAUAGCCUAAGUUACUGCAGGCAUCAAAAGAUUAAAUCAAACAGUCCAAAGUCAAAAAGUCCAAUCCACAACCAAAACAAAAGAUAAGUCCAAGGGUAAAAUAAUCCAAACCAACAAACAAAAGUCAAAUCUGCAUCAAACAUCUCUCCCUUUUUGUCAAUAGCAAAAAGUGGAGAACAAAUAAAAAGAGUUGUUUGAAAAUAGCGGGGUUUGAGUCAAGGCUGUUUGGGCAGGCAAACAAGCUGGAAUUCUCCUAUAGAAUUCACUGUCUUAUCAAGAUUUGCUAUAGUCUCCUUCAACGGUUAUGAAUCUUCACCCUUCACAUUUGUCUGUACUUGAGUCUUCAAGUCGAGUAGCCAUUCUUGCAGUGACACUGAAGUGGCCAUGAAAGCUUUCUUAAGAUCCUUCAUCUCAUACUCCAAACCAUAUUACUGUCUCCUCAAAUCCAACAUGAUAUCAAGCAGUCUUGAAAAGUUUGAUGUUUGUUCUAGUGCAGCACUAGGUCCAGCUGAGUCUAAUCUAGGAGUUUUGAGAAUAGAUGGCUCUUCAGCAGUUUGUCCACCAUGACUAGGAGUGGAUGCUUCUGGAUAAUGAGAGACAUACACAUCCUCUAGGUCUGUUGCAGAACGACUCACAUCACUAGUAAAGAUAUGUGAAAAAAUACAUCGUUUUUCAAUAACUUCCCCUAUUUGUUUACCUUCUAGUGGAGUGGUGAAUUCUUCUUCUUGUUCAACUUCAGCUUCAGAGUGAUUUUUUUCUUUUUCAUGCUCUUCAGCAAUUCCAUUUCCUAUCUUCUUAGAGUGAUUUGACAAGGAUAUAGCCAAAGUUGGCUCAAAAGAGUCAUCUUGAGCCUCUUCUUCCUCUUCCCUUCUUUCUUCUUCUCUUUGGUCAAGUCGAAGUGAAUAGGACCUCAGGCAUGUGUUAUGGUCCCCUGCUUACGAUUCUCAAAGACUUUCUCGAAAAUAUUGUUGAUUCAAGGAAGAAAUUCUCAAACUUGCUCGAAAAGGUGAAAUUUUUUUGGGUUAAUCGAGAGUGAAAGUGAAAGCAAGUAGGAGUUUAGUAUUUUAAGGUUUGGGAGUGAAAACGGAGAAGACGAAAUUGAACAGUAUAUAAAGCAAAUGAAGCGAGGUAAACGAAUCGUCAUAAAAAUGCCUUUUCAAAAAUGAAUAGCUGCCUUUUUGAAAAUGAAUAACUGCAUUUUUUAAAAUGAAUAACUACAUUUUUUGAAAAUGAAUAACUGCUAUAAAUUCAAAAACUUGGAAAGGUAAUUUCAAUAAAUUUGCAAUUAAAAAGUAACUGAACCUUUUCAAGCCUUUAAUCAAAAAUUAAAUUGCUAGAACCGAAAUAAUUUACAGUCGUAACUUUUGGUCUUCUAAGUCUGAACACCUUCAAACUUUACCUCUAAGUCUGAGCACCUUCAGACUUUAUUGGAUAAGAGAUGUGAUAUUCAAUCUGGUGCGAAUGGACUCAAAUAGGUUUUUCUUCAGUGGCUUUAUAAAUAUGUCUGCCAGUUAAUUCUUUGAAUCAUUGAACUGAAUCAUAACUUUUCUAUUUUGAACAUGUUCUCUAAUAAAGUGAUGUCGAAUCUCUAUAUGCUUUGCCCUUGAGUGAAGAAUUGGAUUUUUUGUGAGAUUAGUUGUGCUGGUGUUGUCACAUUUGAUCUCGGUGCAUAAAUCUUCGAUUCCAAAGUCUCUCAGUUGUUGUUUUAUCCAUAAGCUUUGAGAAUAGCAACUCCCAAGAGCCACAUACUCUGCUUUUGCUGUUGAAAAAGCUACAUUACUUUGCUUCCUUGAGGACCAAGAUACUGUCUUGUUUCCCAUCAAUUGACAAGUACCGAAAGUACUCUUUCUAUCAACGCUACAACCCGCUAAAUAUGCGUCUGAAUAUCUAAGGGGAGUAAAGUCUCAUUCUUUAGGAUACCACAAACCUAACUUUGAAAUAGUUGCAAUGUAUUUGAUGAUGCAUUUUGCAGCACUUAGAUGAGAUUCUUCGGGAUCUGAUUGAAAUAUAGCACAAAUGCAAACACUAAACAAAAUGUCAGGUCUAUAAAUAGUAAGAUAAAGAAGUGAACCAAUAAUACUCCUGUAAAGUUUCUGGUCAACUUUCUUUCCUCCUUCAUCUUUGUCCAGCUUCGAAGAACUUGAUAUUGGUAUCUCAGUCUUUUUGCAAUUCUCCAAUCCGAACCUUUUUAACGAGAUCUUUUGCAUAUUUUUCUUGGUGAAUGAAAAUUCAUUCCUUCAAUUGUUUCACUUGUAAUCCGAGAAAAAAAGAUAGUUUACCCAUCAUGUUCAUCUCAAAUUUAUCCUACAUAGACUUAGAAAACUUCUUGCACAGAUUUUCGUUAGCUGAUCCAAAUAUGAUAUCAUCAACAUAGAUUUGAACAAAUAAAAAGUUUUUACCUUGUCUUUUAAUAAACAAGGUAAUAUCCACUUUUCCUCUAACAAAACCAUUUUGAAUUAAAAAGUUACUUAACCUGUUGUACCAUAUUCGAGGUGCUUGCUUUAAUCCAUAUAGAGCUUUUUUCAGUUUGAAAACCGAGUCUGGUCUCUUUGGAUCUUCAAAUCCAAGAGGUUGUUCCACAUAGACUUCUUCUUGGAUAAAUCCAUUUAGGAAUGCACUUUUGACGUCCAUUUGGAAUAACCUAAAAUUUUUAUAACAAGCAAAAGCAAGCAAUAAUCUAUUUGCUUCUAACCUUGCUAUUGGUACAUAGAUCUCAUCAUAGUCUAUCCCUUCUUCUUGCGUAUAUCCUUUGGCCACGAGUCUUGCUUUGUUUCUAACCACAUUUCCUUUUUUCGUCCAUCUUAUUCCUGAAAACCCAUUUAGCUCUAAUAAUAAAUUUACAUUUUGGUUUAGGAGUUAGUUCCCAAACAUCAUUAAUGCUGAAUUGUCUCAGUUCUUCUUACAUAGCUUCAAUCCGGCUUUUGUCAGCUAAAACUUCUUCUAUGCUUUUGGGUUCUAUUUCAGAAAUAAGUGCCAUGGCGCUAGACUCUUCUUGCUUUUUGGAUCUGGUGCGAAUCCAUUCAUCAAUGUCACCAAUGCUGAGUUCUUUUGAAUGACUAGACUUGUGCUUCCAAUUACUGGUCGGUCUGACAGUUUGCUGAUCUUCUACUUUAGUUGAUUCUUCAACUUCCGUUCGUUGUUGUUCUUCAGAAGUCUGACCCACUUUAGGGGAGGUAGACUUUGUAAAGUCUGGAGCAAUUUCGGAAUCUUCAAGUUGAGUCUGAAUCAAUUGAUUCUGCAAAGAGUCUUGGAAUUUGACGUUCAUAGAUUCUUCCACAGACUGAGUCUUCUUUUUGAAUACCCUAUAGGCUUUGCUUGAAGUUGAGUAGCCAAGGAAAAUUCCUUCGUCUGAUUUCUCUUCAAACUUACCAAUUUGAUCAUUUGUAUUUUUCAAGACAAAACAUUUGCAACCAAACACAUGAAAAUAAGAAACAAUUGGCUUCUUUCCUUUGAAUAACUCAUAAGGAGUUUUCUCCAUAAUAGACCUUAAGAAUAUUCUGUUAAUAAUAUAACAGGCUGUAGAAACUACUUCAGCUCAAAAAAGAGAAGAAAUAUUACUUUCAUUAAAAGAGUUCUUGUCAUUUCUUGCAAAGAUCUAUUCUUUCUUUCCACAACUCCAUUCUGUUCUAGAGUGUAUGGGGAGGAGAAAAUAUGCUGAAAACCAGAUUUAUCACAAAAUCUGGCAAAGUCUUGAUUUUCAAACUCACCUCCAUAGUCUAUCCGUAUGCUUAAAAUAACAUAUCCUUUCUAAUUCUGAACUUUCUUGGCAAACUUUGAAAAGUCAGAAAAUAUUUCAAACUUACUUGCUAGAAAGUAAACCUAAGUAAAUUGAAAGUAAUCAUUCAUAAUUACUAGGCAAUAUCUCUUUCCACCAAUGCUUUGAGUUCUGGUUGGUCCAAAUAAAUCCAUAUGCAGAAGCUGCAAAAUACGAUUAGUAGAAACCUGAUUUAUUGGUUUGAAAAAACUUCUAACCUGUUUUUCGAACACACAUGGUGUGCAUAAGUCAGAUUUUUUAUAUUUCAGGUUCAGUAGUCCACAAACAAGCUUCUUAGAUGAGAUCUUGGCAAUUUGUUUCAUGUCAACAUGGCCAAGCUUUCGAUGCCAUCAAUUCGCUUAAUCUUGAAUUGAUAUUAGACAUUGAGAUCUUUCUGGUUUUAUAUCCAUAAGAUAAAUGUUCCAAUGUCUUCAUCCAGUAAAAGAUUGAGAAAGAUCUUUACUAGUUCCCAAACAUAUUCCUUCUUGGAAAUUAAUCUUGAAUCCAAUGUCACACAAUUGGCUAAUGCUGAGUAGAUUGUAAUUUAAUCAUUUCACCAAGAAGACAUUAUUGAUUGUGAGACUUCUAAUCUUUAUAGUUCUGCGCCUAACAAUACUUCAUUUGAUGUUUUCACCAAAAGAGACUUUUCCACCAUUUAUUUGCAUAAGUUUUAUAAAACAACUUGAAUCUCCAAUCAUGUGCUUCAAACAGCCACUAUCCAAAUACCAUUUAACUUUUUUUUUUUUUUAUAAUGACCUGCAAUUAAAGAUGGAACUCAAACUUUCUUUGGUACCCAUAUUUUCUUGGGUCCAGGAGAGUUAGUGCAAUAUACAGUCUUUGUCCAUUCCUUUUUAACAGGUCUUUAAACCAUAUGGCAUUCUUUCUUAAAAUAUUGUAAACUGUUGCAUUUUGAACAUUUGAGAAUACUUUAGCCAACAGGUUUUACAAAGACUUUUUAAAAAUGGUUUCUGUAAAAAGUUUUUGUAGGUCUUUGUUUGAUUCUUUUAUUUACUUUUGGAAAAUCAAUUCGAGGAAUAGUUUCUAAAGUCAUUUCAAAGCCUGGUUUGUUGAAAUAAGGUCUUUGUACUGAAAGAAUCUUUUAUAACAUUUCGGAUCCUAUUGAAAACCUUUUUGAGAUAUUUGAAAUGUCCCUUUUUAAAAUUGUAUUUUCUUUUGAAAGAGAGUCUGCGUUUUCUUUUAAAACAACAAAAAUUUUAUGUAAAUUUUCGAACUUUUCUUUCCAAGAAUUUUCCUAUUGCUUAAGUGUAGAAUUUUCCCUUUUUAGCUCGGAAAUCCUUUUAAGAGAGGUUUUGAAACUAAGACAAAGUUCAUCAAUAUAUUUCGAGACUUUAGUAGGAAUUUUUAAAUUGCUUACCUUGAUUUCGCUAUUUGAGUGUAAGUCUGAAUUUAUCUCAGAUUCUGAGCCUGAUUCUGAUUUUACUAUUAGACAAAUAUUGGCAUAACCUUCAUCACUUUCUUUGCAUUCAGUAUCACUCUAUGUGUCUGCUUUGAGUGCCUUUCUAUUUUUCUCAGCUCUUCCCUUCUUCUUUUUUCAACAAAGGACAGUUGAGUCUGAUGUAUCCAUUUUUCUUGCAUUCAAAACAUAUUACAUUUUUGUUGGCUUCAUCAUCCUCAGUUGAUUUGUUUUGAAAUUUUUGAGUGCUCUACUUCUUCCAAUUGAAUCUUAUUCCAUUUUUGUUCAAUUUCCUAAACCUCAUUAUCAUGAGUGCUAACUCUUCAUCGUCCAUAUCAUCUUCAGAAUCAGUAACAUCAGAAUCAUCGUUAGAUUUUAAAGCAAUUGAUUUCCUACUUUUAGGAUCUUCUUCCUCGUUGAUUUGCUCCACUUCAUAAGACUGAAGCGUGCCAACCAGCUUGUCUAUAAAAAGCAGUAUGAUCCUUUGAGUUUCCCUAAUAUUCAGGACAAAGCGUUCAGACCGGAUAAACCCGAUCCGACUCACUAACCCGACCCAAUCAGAUAAAAACGAAAUUUUUUUAGUUUUUUAGUUUUUUUUCUUUCUUUUUUGUCUUUUUGUCCUUUCCCUGUUUUAGCCAAUUCACUGCACUCCCUACUUCUCCACCCAACGUCCCCAUCUGCCGUCCUUUCUUCCCUUUUGUCUUUUUUCAAUUCUUUUCAUUACCCCUUUUUAUUUCUUUUUUCUUUUCUUUUCCUCUUACUUUUGUUUUCCCUUUUGGUCUUCUUCUUUUUCUUCGUGCAUCCCCUAUGCACGCCCGAAGUUAUCCAAACCCACUAAAGCCAAAGCAAACCCAGACUCAUUAAACUCAUCUCGGUGGAGGUCAGCUCCAUAGACCAGAUUAAACCCAUCGUCCAGCAUGACUCUUUUAACAUUCCGCACCAAAGUAUGAGUUCUAAAACAAAGCCCGCACUAACCUACAGCAACGCCCUUUUCAAUUUCACCAAAAUAAGCCCAACACCAUCUCCUAUUGGCCACUUUACUCAGCCUCACGCGGUCUUCUUGCUCCUGUUAUUGUAGAACAAAAAAGGAGCCGAAGAUGGAAUGUGAACUCCGGGCAAUCAAAGGGGUGAUAACACCUCCAAACUCCAACAUAACCGAGACUCCAUCACCACCCGACCAUCAUCUACUCUCACUUAUGAACAUGCCAACAUUUACCACACAAAGGCCACAAAGGCACAUUGAACCACAGAGUUAAAAAAUCCAUGUGUUGAGGUUAGUAAAAGAUCACCAUUAAGCAAAACCUAUCACAACACAUUUCAGCGACUGAAAAUCGGAGGAAAAUAUGUGCGACCUUGGUUCAAAUAUUUUGUCAAACAAAUGGUCUGCGGUAGCUCUGUAAAACCCAAAACGCAAACGGACUAACAAAAAGAACAAGUCUCGGUUUCUUGGCUUGGCCAAACUAGGGUGAGGCACCAAAAGAUUUGAGGAGCGAGCAUUUGGUCGUGGGGGUCCCUACCAGCUCACAGAUGGCGGCGGGAGGGCGAGCUCGAGAUGAAUCAAGCAAUGGCCGACCGCCCCCACAAUGUUUCCGAGGCGUGAUCCUCGGGAGAAGGGAGGUUCUUACCGGAAAAAUGAAACUCACUGGAGAGGUUUGGUUACAGGGGUGACCAGGUCGGAACGACGAGGAUAACGACCGGGGUCGUUGAACAAGACUCAGGCGCGCCAAUCGACCCGAGAACUCCUCGCUUUCAGUCGCUCUCCCUCAAUCGCCCCUUCUCCCAAAAAACCAUAUCCUCUCUCGGUUUCUCCAGUUCUCUCUCUCUCUCCGCGAACCCUCUCCUCUCGCAAAUGAGCGAGUCGCCCCCCUUUUGAGAGCAACCGGCCAGCGCGCAUGGCCUCUGCCGCUGCCAACUUGCCGGCCGAACUGCUCCCGACCCGCGGAUCACGCCGCCCGCUUGCCCCUCGCGAUCCCCUGCUCUCCAUUGCUGCUGUCCUCUCCUUUCUUUUCUGCAGGUCGCACGCGAAGCUCGUCCGGAGGGAGAAGACAAGCUGGGAUGGGCCGGGCCGAAGGGCAGGGAAGACUGGGCCAGGCCUGGUUGCGCGAAAAGGAGAAAAGGGGGGAAAAGAAGGAUGGGCUGGGCCGCGCAGGGAAGGAAGGAAGGGCGGGUUGGGUCGAGGUCGGAUUCGGCCCGACCCGGCCUCUCCCACGCGUUUUUUUCUUUUUGUAAACAUUUUUUAAAAACAUUUUUUACUUCUUUUUUUUCUUUCCUAUUUUUUUUUUGAGACUUUCAUUAAUAUAUGUUUGAGAAAAAAACUAGGUGUCGACAGGUUUAGUUGUGAACUCAAAUAAGAUUUUUCAACGUAGAAGGCUAGAAAUAAAGAAAGGAGGGCAAAUUAAGAAAUCAAGAGUUACACAAUUAAACUACUGCAAGAAAACAAAUGAUACUGAAUCAAUCAUUAUUAUUCAUUUAAGACCUUAUUUAUUUCAUGACAUGAAGGUAAACAAAAGAUGAGACACAUAACUUAGGACCACUAGUACAACACACUUAACUUAGUACCACCAAUACAGCUCAAUCAAACCACUCCACUUUUGCAUUACGAAGCUUUAUUAUGGUACUGCUAAGUCAUAAAGCAGCAACUUACUGGUAAUAGCUAAUCACACAGUAAUAUAUAUAUAUAUAUAUAUAUAUAUAUAUAUAU
Molecule: long non-coding RNA, 89429 nt
Filed under: Eucalyptus grandis
Lineage: Eukaryota; Viridiplantae; Streptophyta; Magnoliopsida; Myrtales; Myrtaceae
Description: long non-coding RNA (EGRA_LNC003034)
Source: RNAcentral